UGAGGUGUAUGUAUGUGUUGAUCCAUGUUUACUUGUAUGGUAGUUUUUCCCCUCAUGUUGUUUUUGGGGUUUUAGAGCUUGUGAUGAGAUUGUGGUGUUGAUAUGUAUGUGCUGAAAACAGCCCCAUUUUGCAACUUGUGCACCUCCUCAUGUUUAGCUAUGUGAUACUUAUUCUAGUGAGAGUUGCAUAAAAUGUUGCACUAUUCACUAUGUUGGAUUCUAUGUAGUUUUUCCUUCCUAGUUUGAGCUCAGUUGCUCCAAGCAAGUGCAUGUGUUUUAUAUAUGGUUUUACGGUAGAAAGAUCCAGGAAUCCAAUGUUGAAAUCAUUUUUUCCAUUGGAGCAUUUUCUGGAAAUGACAUAUUUACAUUUCCUUCUAAGUUUGGAGCUUGGUUCCAUGAGUUGUGGUGAGCCUUUGUGUUUGUUUCUUGGUUGUGCUAGUAGAGGGUGACCCCCUCUACCUCAUGUUGGUUUCCUCUCAUGAUUAGGAUUCCAUAUGUGCAAGUUUUUCCCACUCAAAGUAGGCAUGUGACUGAAAUUCCAGAUUAGUGAAAAUCAAGUCUGAGAAUCUGUUUAUAUUUUCUUCUCGUGUAGAUGAGGUUGUGCUGGUCAUUGUGUUGUGAUCUAGCCCUAGCUUUCAACUAGAAAGUUGGACGGGAUAUGUUUGUAUAGCGCCCUGUAAAAUUUCAUGUCAUUUGGAUCCCUGUAGGUAUUGUUUUGGCUGCUGUCAAAAAGCUUCAGAGCAAAGAUAGAAAGUGAGAAUCUGGAAUUUUUCACUAAGUCCCUGAAAACUGAUGUUUUUGGGCAAGUUGCAGCCUUAUAACUUUCUGUGUUUAAUUCCUUUUUGUGUGUUUCUUGCUUGUGCUUGUAGUAUUCUUGGCUAGCUACAGCCACAUAUAUUAUUUGUCAUAGCUGGGUGGCUGUAGGUGCUUUGCAUGUAGCUCACAAAGUGCUAUGAUGCAGUUUAUGGCAGAUUGUGUAGUUUUGUCAUUUUGAUGAUUGUGAGUGCUUAGUUGAUGUUGCGGUGUUCUUCCUUGCUCCACCCCAUCCAUGAUGGGUUGUUUUAUGUAUUGUCAACCUGGGAAUACCAGAUUUGUGCCAUUUAAGUGUGUGGUGAUGAUUUUGACACGUAGGGCUUCAUAUCUUGUUUCGUUGAUUCCCGUUGAUCCGUAGCUCUUAUUGUAUUGUUCUUUAUAUGGUUUUGCAUCGUUUUCACGAGACGCAUCUAAUCAUGUCAUUCUCAUGCAUGUCAAAUAGGUUAGCAUGCAGCUCUAUCCAGGAACAUGUUUUAACUCCUUUUGCUUGUGCUAGUGAUAGAAAUAGUGAUGAAUGCUGAUAUUCAUCUCAUGCAUUAUGUGAUUGUUGCAUCUUGAGGUGCUGUCGUUCAUUGGAUGUUAUUCUUAUGUUGGGUAGCGCAGGGAUCGGAGAACGAGUACGCGGAGUCGGGAGAGUACGUGCAGGACGAACAAGAACCAUUCCAAGCUGAGGAUCUCACAGGCAAGAUGAUAUGACCUUGAUUCCAUCUCUAGACUUGUUAUGCUAGAUUACGUUUCCUUUGCCAUAUGCUCGCUGCCUACCACUGAAAUAUUUGCCUCUUGAUAUGCCAUGACCCAAACACUGAUCCCUUCCUAGCAAACUUGAAUGGCUAAGUAGGCUUUGCUCAGCUACUAAUGUUAGUGUUGCUAGAUGCAGGUGCUUUGUCUCAUUUGACAACAUAAGCUUGAUAUCAUUAUCUAAAUUCUGUUAUUUAAUUAAUGCACCUAUAUACUUGGUAAAUAACGGAAGGCCUAGCCUUUUGCCGGGUGCUUUGUUCCGUUAUCGCCGCCAUAGUUACCGGCUACCGGUGUUUGAUUCCAUAUUGAUCGCUCCUAACACGUUCGGGGUUGUUAUGGGGACCCCCUCGAUAAAUCGCGUAGUGUUAAGACUUGUCCGGCAGGACCCAACAUUGGUGUUAAUUUGCUAAUCACUUAAUAAUAAACUGCAUAGGGAAUAGCUACUCCAAGUAAUUUAAUCAACAACCCGGGCCAGUGCUCCUCAUGAGUGUUGGUCCAAAAUGGACAGACUGCGGGGGCCACCACAGGGAAUCUUGAGGUUUGGCUCCUGUAGGCUUCUCCAUCCGUCGUGUCCUGAGACUGAGAUACGCGGCUCUUAUCGGGGUCGUCGACACGACGGGAGGUCCUGCUAGUCUUGCCUUAACUUAGCGAUAUAUCUUACGUAUAGGAAUCCCGGUGAAGCUUUGGUUCUCCCCAGAGUUGAUGUUUUCCUCUAAGGAAUCCGACGAGAUCACGAGAAUCGUGAUAGAGGAUUACUUUGCGGCCUGUGUACCUUUGUGAUGGACUAGUUGGAGCACCCCUGCAGGGUUUAAUCUUUCGGAAAGCCGUGCUCGCGAUUAUGUGGCAACUUGGAAUAUUUUGUUAACAUCCGGUAUUAGAUAACUUAAACAAAAGCUAAUAAAUUUGCCAACCGUGUGCGUAACCGUGACUGUCCCCUCGUAGAUCUCUCUUUUAUCGGGAACACGGUGGGGUUAUGAAUGACGUAGCUAGGUGUUCAGGAUCACUUAGUGAUCAAGUAUUCGCGACCGCUAGUAUAGUCCACCUUCAUAAAUGCUCUACGUAAGUUAGCCACCAAGUCAAGCUUAGGAUGCUGCAACCUUAAACACUUUACCUUAUCCUGCCUAAUAACUUGACUAGUUCUGGCACCAAGGUCUUAGAUUGCUUAGUCCCCAUGGCUCACGGAUUCCUCCACAAUACCAACAGGUUCAGGUACCCUAGAGACAGAUGAUCCCCACGGCACGCAGCUAGCAUGGCAGUACGAUGAGGAGACAGACCGCCUGUACGUGAACUAUACAAAAGAUUGAGGCGUGGUCGUGAUCGUGGGCCUGCAGGCAGGGUAGCAUAGCCUUUUCUCCGUUUUGUAGUCCGUAGCGGAACUACUUUGGUUGUAUGCGUGAUGUACUCUGAUAUAUUUAUGAGAAGGCAAUUGAACCCGUGAUUGUCUAUCUUUUAUUAUUAAGUAUGUGCUGUGUUACGUGUUUGCGAGACGCUUAGAUGCACUCCUUUCCAAUUCGGGGCCUCGAUCCCCAGAUUGAGAAGGACCGCAUCUUAGUCGUUACAGGAUCGGUGAUGGAUGAGUAUGCCAGAUGUGAUUCAUCAUGUAGCAACUAUAACACAGAGAGAUAAGUAACUAGCCCCCAUUCGUCAAUCUAAUGUAGGCAUGUAUUUCGUAUGUAGUCAUACGUGCUUAGGGAAAAGAACUUGCAUGACAUCUAUUGUGCAUCCCUCCUGUGGCAGCGGGGUCCUAAUGGAAACUACGGGAUAUUAAGGUUCUCCUUUUAAUAAGAACCGGACCAACGCAUUAACACGUGGUGAAUACAUGAACUCCUCAUACUAUGGUCAUCUCCGGGAGUUGUUCCGGCUAUUGUAACUCCGGGGUUGCCGGGUCAUAACACAGAGUAGGUGACUACAACUUGCAAGAUAGGAUCUAAAACACACAUAUAUUGGCGACACCAUAAUAGGUUCAGAUCUGAAAUCAUGGCACUCGGGCCCUAGUGACAAGCAUUAAGCAUAGCCAAGUAGUAGCAACAUCAAUCUAGAACAUACUGGAUACUAGGGAUCAAUCCCCGUCAAAACUAACUCGAUUACAUGAUAGAUCUCAUCCAACUCAUCACCCUCUAGCAAGCCUACCAUGAGAUUACUCACGAGCGAUGAAGAGCAUCAUGGAAUUGUCGUUGGAGGAAGGUUGAUGAUGACAAUGGCAACGAUUUCCCUUCUCCGGAGCGCCAAACGGACUCCAGAUCUGCCCUCCAGAUGAAGAACAGGAGGUGGCGGCGCCUCCAUAUCAUAAAACGCGAUGAAACCUUCUCCCUGAUUUUUUUCCGGGAAAGACGGAAGCUAUAGAGAUGAGUUUGGGGGCGGUGGUGCCACGUGGGCCCCACAAGCCCUCACGGCGCGGCCUAGGGCGUGGCCGCGGCCUGUGGGCUUGUGGCCCACUGGCACACCCCCUCCGGUGGAUCUCUGCGCACGUAUUUUUGUUUAUUUCCAGAAAAAAUCUCCGUAAAUUUUCAGGACAUUCCGAGAACUUUUAUUUCUACACAAAAACAACACCAUGGCAAUUCUGCUGAAAACAGCGUCAGUCCGAGUUAGUUCCAUUCAAAUCAUGCAAAUUAGAGUCCAAAACAAGGGCAAAAGAGUUCGGAAAAGUAGAUACGACGGUGACAUAUCAACUCCCCCAAGCUUAAAGCCUUGCUUGUCUUCAAGCAAUUCAGUUGACAAACUGAAAGAGACAAAAGAAAAACUUUGACGAACUCUGUUUGAUCUUGUUGUGGCAACUGUGUCUAAAUCAUAACCAGAAUUUCAGCGAGAUCACAAGAAAACCACAUAAGCAAAUGAAAUCUAGGUCUCAUGGUAAACUCAUAUCAAUGGCAUAAUCAACUUGCGAGCAAAUAAUAAUAAGUCUCAAACGUCAACACUUCAAUCAAAACAACAUGAAGCCGUACGGAUAGGUGGUAUCUCGCUAGCUCUUUCUGAGACCGCAAAACAUAAAUGCAGAGCACCUUCAAAGACCAAGGACUGACUAGACAUUGUAAUUCAAGGCAAUGAAGAUCCAGUCACAGAAUUCUCAACACAGUAAAAAGAAAAGCAUAAAAAUGACAGAUGUGCUAUCUAAUUCGUGCUUUUAUAAGAGGACAAUGACUCAACAGGAACAUAAAUAGACAGGCCCUUCGCAGAGGGAAGCAUUGAUUUGCAGAGGGGCCAAAGCUCAAGCUUUGAAAACAGAGAUUAUUUCUUGAAGGUUUAGAGAGUGGCACAUGCAAAUUUACUUGGAACGGCAGGUAGAUACCUCACAUAGGUAGGUAUGGUGGACUCAUAUGGAACAACUUUGGGUUUAUGGAAGUGGAUGCACAAGUAGUAUUCCCGCUUAGUACAAGUGAAGGCUAGCAAAAGACUGGGAAGCGACCAACUAGAGAGCGACAACAGUCAUCAAAAUGCACUGAGAUUAACUAACAUUGAGUGCAAGCAUGAGUAGGACAUAAAACACCAUGAACAUGAACAUCAUAGAGGCUAUGUUGAUUUUGUUUCAACUACAUGCAUGAACAUGCGCCAAGUCAAGCCACUUGAAACAUUCAAAGGAGGAUACCAUCCUAUCAUACUACAUCAUAGUCAUCUCAACAUUCAUGUGGGCAUCCAAGACAAACCAUUAUAAGCUCCUAGCUAAGUAAGCAUGGCAUAAGAAACUAUGAUCGCUAAGUUGUCAUUGCAAACAUGUUUCUCUCACAACAAAACUGAAUCAUGCAUGAUGAGCUAGUCGUAUUUACAAAAACACAAUAGAUCGAGUUCAUACCAGCUUUUCCAGGCUCAGUCACUUCAUCUAAUAUCAUCAUUAUUGCCUUUCACUUGCACGACCGAAUGUUGUGAACAAUAAUAAGCGUGCUUGUGCAUUAGACUACGCUGGAAUCUGCAGGCAAACACAAAGGAGAAGACAAAGUAAGAUGGCUCUAUGAAAGCUAAACAUGUAUGCAUGCAAGAGCCACUAAACAUUGUAACCAAUAUCUUCUACCUUGACCAAAAGAAAAAGAAAACUAUUUACACGGGAAAGCUCCCAACAAGCAAAAGAAGAAAAUAAAAUAUUUUUGGGUUUUCUCAAACUAGACAGACACACGAAAAGAAAAUGAGAAAAAGAAAUAAACUAGCAUGGAUGAUACAGUGGCAAAGUGUGAACACCGGCUAACAAAGUGAAAGCAUGAGCAAGAAUGUAAAGUCGGUGAGAACACGUACUCCCCCAAGCUUAGGCUUUUGGCCUAAGUUGGUCUACUCCCAAGGAGGGAAAUAACCAGCUCCGAGAUACUCUGGAGUGGACUGAGGAUGCCACUGCUGCGUGAGCUCCUCUGACUCCCACUGAUAAACUAGCGUCUGGUACUCGACUGGUGGCUCGAGCAUGGGCACCUGUGGUUGGGCUAGGCCCCAAUAUGCGUAGAUGUCCGAGAGCAUAAUAAUGUACCUGCCUGCAUGAAGUUUGAACAAAGAAGGAGCAGGCAAAGUAAUAGUCUCACGAGUACCCUGACUAAACACUAGGUUAUAAAUCAUCCUUCUAUUUAUAUCUCUAUCAAGAAAGUCAUGGCGAACCAUGCUAUCGUAAUCUAGAUAUCUCUCGGUAAGAAGAAUCUCUUCUUCCUCCUCCAGUCUAAUGGGUAUCUCAAAGUGUCUAGCAAGACGGGUAGCAUAGAUACCUCCAUAGAGAACUCCUUUAGAACGGUUCAGGUUCAACCGUUGAGCUACUAUAGCGCCCAAGCUAUAAGUUUUAUCAUUAUAAAGGGCUUCGCGUAAGACCGCAAGAUCUGGGGAACUAAGUGACCCAGAUUUCCCACGGCCAAUCAAACAUUUUCCCACAAAAAUGAAUGCUAGCAGCUCUAGCGUAAGACACUCCUCUCUCCUCUCCUACAGCAAUUGUAUCGAUGAAAGCUUCCAAGUCCCGUGGACGAGGUUCAAGAAUAUCCCCAACAUAAGGUAAUUUGCAAACAUUGCAAAAAUUCUGGAGGGACAUGGGCUGGGGGAUAUCAUAAAGUUUAAACUCAACCAUAGGAGGAUUCUUCCUCGGAUAGAAGUUAAAGCUUUGUACAAAGAUAUUAGUGAGGAGGAGGUAUUGCAGACACUUAUCUUCGACGAAGGCGGUAAGGCCUGCGUUUUCCACCAAGUGAUAAAAGUCCUCAUAAAUUCUAGCGGCGCGUAAGAACACGUCGCUUGGCCACUCGCAUGCUCGAACUUCUGCGACUCGAGGGACCAGAUACUUGGGCUUCUUCUCACUUCCAUCAUCCUUGGGGUCACGGCUUGAAGAGCCUCUUAAGAACCUCCUCAUGUUUUCCCUUUUCUAUCUCUGAAAAUUUCUGAAAUUUUUAGUGACUCUAAGGAAAAGUGAACAAGGCUCAACAAAACUCAUAGCAACUACUCCCACAAGUGCCUAGAGGCCAUAUUACACAUCAAAACUACUUGGGACCAGCUAAAAUUAGCAUGCAAAGCUCAAGAACAUGGUUACCAAGGCAGCAAAAAUACGCGAAGUAUAAUGCACUAGAGCAAAAACUAAUUGGACAAUGGAGGAGUCACUUACCAAGGAGUAAUUUCCCCAAAACAGUUCGGAGAACGGUGCUUUGAGCAAAGAGAUCGAAAAUCCCAGCAAGAGGAGCAAGAACACGGGUUUGAGCUACGAAACGAUUUUUUCUGGAGGUAGGAGAACCAUAUGAGAGCAAGAAUGAGUGGAUGGGGUGCCUGUGGGCCCCACAAGCCUGGGUGGCACGACCAGGGGUGGUGCCCGCGCCCUUAGGGCCUGUGGCCUACUGGUGUGGCCCCCAGACUACUAGAUUUUCAGGACGUUCGGAGAACUUCUAUUUUUGGGGUACUUUUCUACCAGACGCUAAAACAGAAAACAGGGAAAACUAAACUAAAUCUAUCAUUUUUCUUCUAAGGAACCUAAAGUGAAAGCUUGGAACAGAGGUUUGUGACUCCUUGAUUCAUCCACCUCAUGGUCAUCGAAAGAAAUCCGUCAGUGAGGUUGAUCAAGCCUCUUUGACAAACCUUUUCGAAUCACAAAAGAGAACGGAGAAUUUUCGAAUAGUCACUAGGUCACCUCAAUGGGGAUGUGUAUUUCCCCAGCAAGCAAAUCAUACUUCAUCUUGACACGAGGAAUAGGGCAUUCAAAGCUCCCAAUAAGUAUCGAUGAAGUCUUUUCGAUAGCAUUGAUGCAAUGUACUCGAUAUUGUAUCUUCGGAAAGUGCCUUUGUUGCAAUCUAUAACAGCCCCUGCGGUGUUUAAAAAGGGUCUUCCGAGGAUGACAGCCAUGGCAUCGUCCUCGGGAAUAUCCAAGAUAACAAAAUCUGUUAAGAUAGUGGUGUUAGCAACCACGACAGACACAUCCUCGCAAUUGCCGAUAGGGAAAGUAGUUGAUUUGUCGGCCAUUUGCAGAGAGAUUUCAGUGGGUGUCAACUUAUCAAGUUCAAGUCUACAAUAACGAGAGAGAGAGGCAUAACACUAACACCGGCUCCAAGGUCGCAAAACGCAGUUCUAACGUAGUUGCCUUUAAUGGAGCAAGGUAUAGUGGGCACACCGGGAUCACCUAGUUUCUUAGGAGUUCCACCCUUGAAGGUAUAAUUAGCGAGCCUGGUCGAAAUCUCAACCUCAGGUAUCCUCCUCUUAUUAGUCACAAUAUCUUUCAUGUACUUAGCAUAUAGAGACAUUUUGAGCAUAUCUGUCAAACACAUUUGCAGAAAGACAGGUCUAAUCAUUUCAACGAAUCGCUCAAAAUCCUCAUCAUCCUUUUUCUUGGAUGGUUUUGGAGGAAAGGGCAUGGGUUUCUGAACCCAUGGUUCCCUUUCUUUACCAUGCUUCCUAGUAGCGAAGUCAUUCUUAUCAUAUCUUCUAUUCUUAGGCUGUGGGUUAUCAAGAUCAAGAGGUUCAAUCUCCACAUCCUUAUCAUUGCUAGGUUGAGCAUCUUCAUGAACAUCACUAUUGAUAUUAUCAUGAGGCUCAUGCUCAUCACCAGAUUGUGUUUCAACAUUAGAGACAGAGAUAUCGUUUGGACUCUCAGGGGUAGCAGCAACAUGGUUGCUAGCGUGCAGGUUCCUAUCAUCUUUCUUCUUCUUUCUAGGAUGACUAGGUGCAUCAAUGCUUACUCCUUGAGAAUCUUGUUCAAUUCUCUUCGGAUGACCCUCAGGAUACAAAGGUUCCUGGGUCAUUCUACCGCCUUUAGUGACGACUCUAACGGAAUUGUCAUUCAACUCAUUAAGCAAGUCAUUCUGAGCUUUAAAUACUUGUUCUACCUGAGUAGUAACCAUAGAGGCAUGUUUACUCAGAAGCUUAAGAUCAUUGACAUUUCUGUCCACACAAGCACUUAAAUGACUAAGCAUACGAGCAUUCUGUUCCAAUUGUCUGCUAACAAAAUCAUUGAAACUUUGUUGUUUGGCAACGAAGUUAUCAAAUUCAUCCAGGCAUAGGCUAGCAGGUUUAUCAAAAGGAAUAUCACUCUCAUGAAACAUACGCAGAGAAUUUACUUCUACUACCUGUGUCGGGUUAUCGAGACCAUGGAUCUCUUCGAUAGGUGGUAGAUUUUUGACAUCUUCAGAUUUAAUGCCUUUCUCUCGCAUAGAUUUCUUGGCUUCUUGCAUAUCUUCAGGACUCAGAAAUAGAACACCUAUUUUCUUCGGAAUUGGCUUAGGAGGUGGUUCGGGAAUAGUCCAAGCAUUCUCAUUGCACAAGAUGUUAUUUAGUAGAAUCUCAGCUUGUUCUACGGUUCGUUCCCUAAAAACACAACCGACACAACUAUCUAGGUGGUCUUUGGAAGCAUCGGUACGUCCAUUAUAGAGGAUAUCAAGUAUUUCAUUCUUCUCAAGAGGGUGAUCAGGCAAAGCAUUCAAUAGCUGGAUGAGCCUCCCCCAAGCUUGUGGGAGACUCUGUUCCUCAGCUUGAGCAAAGUUGUAUAUUUCCUGCAAGGCAGCUUGCUUCUUAUGGGCAGGGAAAUAUUUUUCAGAGAAGUAGUAGACCAUAUCCUGGGGGCUACGCACACAACCAGGAGCAAGAGAAGUGAACCAGGUCUUAGCAUCAUCCUUUAGCGAGAAAGGAAACAACUUGAGGAUAUAAUAGUGGCGGAUCUUAUCCUCACUAGUGAAUAGGGUGGCUAUAUCGUGCAGUUUGGUAAGAUGGGCUACAACCGUUUCAGACUCGUAACCGUUAAAAGGAUCAGAUUCGACCAGAGUGAUUAACUGAGGGUCGACAGAGAAUUCAUAAUCCUUAUCGGUCACAAAGAUAGGCGAAGUAGCAAACUUCGGGUCGUAUUUCAUGCUAGCAUUCAGAGAUUUUUCUUUCCACUUGCGCAGUAAUUUCUCAACAUUAUAGCUAUCCUUACACGCAAGAAGGUCCUCAGCUAUCUCUUCCUCCAUAACAUAGUGCAUAUCAGGCAUAAUAGACAAUUCAUGCAUAGUAGCAGGUUCUACUUCAAUAGUAUCAGCAGUUUCAGAAGUAUCAUCACGUCUAGAAGCAAGUCUAGCAAUAUGUGCAUCAAGGAAUGCACCAAGUGGAAAAGCAGUAUCAGGCAUAGCAUCAUCAGGCAUAGUAUCAAGCAUAGCAUCAUUAGGCAUAGUUUCAAGCAUAGCAUCAUCGGGCAUAGUAUCAAGCAUAGCAUCAUAAGGCAUAGUAUCAAGCAUAGCAUCAUCAUAAGCAUCAUGGGCAGCAGAAGUAGCAUCAUCAAGCACAGGCGACAUAUCAAGAUUUCUAGCAGGAGGCAAAGUCGCAAACUUACUCAAAACUGAAGGUGAAUCAAGUGCAGAGCUAGAUGGCAGUUCCUUACCUCUCCUCGUAGUGGAAGGCAAGAUUUUAGUUCUUGGAUCUUUUGGAUUCCUCAUAGUGACCAGCAGACGUCAAUCCCAAGUGACUCAGAGAAUAUAGCUGUGCUUCCCCGGCAACGGCGCCAGAAAAUAGUCUUGAUAACCCACAAGUGUAGGGGAUCGCAAUAGUUUUCGAGGGUAGAGUAUUCAACCCAAAUUUAUUGAUUCGACUCAAGGGGAAGCGAAAGAAUAUUCUUAAUUAUUAGCAGCUGAGUUGUCAAUUCAACCACACCUCAAAUAUUAUUGUCUGCAAGCAAAGUAUCAGUAGCAAAGUGGUAUGAUAACAACAGUGCUAGAAAAGGGUCUGUUGACGGAAGACUAUUUGUAACUAGUUAUAUCAAUGGCGCUAGAAAAUAGCAAGUUGACGGGGGACUAUUCUUGAGAAUAAUGCUUCCCCGGCUACGGCUCAAAAAGUCUUGCAACAGGUAACAACAAAGUAGCAAGUAACAACAGAGUAAUAGCAUUAGUGAUAGCAACAACAAGUAACAUCAUUAGUGACAACAAUAGCAGCAAAGUAACGUAGCAAGGACCAGUAGUAAAAGACUCGUUGGCAGUGGAUCGCUGAUGGAUGAGUAUGCCAGAUGUGAUUCAUCAUGUAACAGCUAUAACACGGAGAGAUAAGUAACUAGAUCCCGUUCGUCAAUCUAAUGUAGGCAUGUAUUCCGUAUGUAGUCAUACGUGCUUAGGGAAAAGAACUUGCAUGACAUCUAUUGUCCAUCCCUCCCGUGGCAGCGGGGUCCUAAUGGAAACUACGGGAUAUUAAGGUUCUCCUUUUAAUAAAGAACCAGACCAAUGCAUUAACACGUGGUGAAUACAUGAACUCCUCAUACUAUUGUCAUCUCCGGGAGUGGUUCUGGCUAUUGUCACUCCGGGGUUGCCGGGUCAUAACACAUAGUAGGUGACUACAACUUGCAAGAUAGGAUCUAAAACACACAUAUAUUGGCGACAACAUAAUAGGCUCAGAUCGGAAAUCAUGGCACUCGGGCCCAAGUGACAAGACCUAAGCAUAGCCAAGUAGUAGCAAUAUCAAUCUAUAACAUAGUGGAUACUAGGGAUCAAUCCCCGUCAAAACUAACUCAAUUACAUGAUAGAUCUCAUCCAACUCAUCACCGUCCAGCAAGCCUACGAUGAGAUUAGUCACGAACGAUGAAGAGCAUCAUGGAAUUGUCGAUGGAGGAAGGUUGAUGAUGACGAUGGCGACGAUUUCCCUUCUCCGGAGCCCCGAACGAACUCCAUAUCAGCCCUCCAGAUGAAGAAUAGGAGGUGGCGGCGCCUCCGUGUCGUAAAACACGAUGAAACCUUCUCCCUGAUUUUUUUUCCAGGCGAGACAGAAGAUAUAGAGCUGAGUUUGGGGGUAGUGGUGCCACGUGGGCCCCACAAGCCCUCACGAUGCGACAUAGGGGGGUGGCUGCGGCCUGUGGGCUUGUGGCCCACUGGCACGCCCCCUCUGGUGGAUCUUUGCGCAGGUAUUUUUCUUUUAUUCCAGAAAAAUCUCCGUAAACUUUCAGGACAUUCCGAGAACUUUUAUUUCUGCACAAAAACAACACCAUGGCAAUUCUGCUGAAAACAGCGUCAGUCCUGGUUAGUUUCAUUCAAAUCAUGCAAAUUAGAGUCCAAAACAAGGGCAAAAGAGUUCGGAAAAGUAGAUAUGACGGAGACGUAUCAGGGGCCUUGUCAUUGUUGUUCCCGGCAGGGGAGCGAUGGUCUGCCGGGGUCUUGUCAGCCUUCCCGGUAGGGGCGUCUUGUGGGGGCUCAGUCCUUCUCCCUCGAUGGGGAGGCUCCGUCAUGGGUUUGUCUACUUCUCUGGUAGGGAACUCCUGUCAGGGUCCUUGCUUCUUUCCCGACAAGUGGGAGCUUGUCGGGGCUUGUGAUUUGCACCUGGUGAUCUUUGGGCUUGCCUCACUUCGAGCCUUGGCAUCGCGCCUUGCCGCUGUGGGGCUGUCGGUGUCCGCGCACUAGUCUGGGGUACUAGAGACCCCAGUCUUCAGUGCACCGACACCCUUAUCACUAACUAUUCGAGGAUACCUCCUCCACUGAACAAGGAGAAAAAGAAGAAAGCGCCUUCGCAAAAAGGUCGUUCGACUGUCCCAACGUCCCCUCCUGUUACACUAGGCCGCCAUUCCACGCGUCGAACACCCAUUGUUAUAGGGUCUGUUGAUUCUACGCCCUAUACUAGUCGACCUUCCAAACACGGAGCUCCCACACGGACUGCUCCCACCACUUCCUCUUCUCCCAAGAGGUAUUAUUUUAAGAAUAAGCAUUGUUUUUUCCCAAUAAAUGAUAGGUAUUUACACCUGUCACUGUAUUUGAUAGGACCCGAACACAACCACCCCCUUCGAUGGUAGUGAAAAAUGCGGACAUCCCUCCUACAGGUCAAGCCACCGAAGAGUAUGACUAUAUUUGAGUUACGAACUCUAAAAUGGAGAGUGUAAUGAACCAUCAUCGAAGGAAAGAAUCCAUACGCCAUCCUCAUUUUACCGAACAAGAGUUUAAUGCCUUGAGUUUGGUCGAAUCGUACCUCGGAGCUGCCCGAGCAGGACUCGAAGGAGUAGCCGAACGUAUGUGAGCAAGCCUCAAGGUAUGCAUUCCGAUUUUUGUUGUUUUUGCGUAUAAAUUCCCAGCUACCAGACCCCGAUCCUCGAUUGGGCAGCAUGACCGAUCUGAGGGUCUAACCAUAUGUGUCGACAUGCUUUGUAGGCUGCGAGGGACAAAAACAAAGAACUAUCCCACGAGAUCGGGUCUUACUAAUCAGAACUCAAAGCUGUGAAAGCUGAGGUAGAACAAGUGAAAAGUUUCACCAGACAAGCACACGAUAAGAGGUUUUGUCUUGACCUCAUAUGCAUAGCUAUCCUAUUGCCCCCUUGUUUAAAAUGAAAGCAUAUUUAUAGCAGCUGGAUCCAUAGGCUAGUUGUAAAAAGAUCUAGAAACGACCAAAUAAUUGCAAAGAUAUGCCGAAUCUCAAAACAAGGCCAACUAAAAGUCCUUAUUCUGAAGUGUAAACAAGAAUAACAAGCUUGAGGCAGAAAAUCAAGAAUGUAUAAACCAGACUGAAAGUUUAAAGGCUCAACUGGUACAAGCCACCGAUGAAAACAAGAAACUUAAAGGUGGAAUGUUCGUAAGUAACAUGCCGAAUUUUUUGAAUAAAUUGAUAGGACUUUUCAAAUACGAUCAACAAUCACAUUCCUUUCGUGCAACACUCUUGACCGGGCAUCCUAAAGAAGAAGUCGACUCGUUUAGUGGCGAUCUUUUAAAAGAUUUGUCCCUGAGCUAUGAGCGUUGUCGCAAGGCGAUGAGAAGCAUGAUAAAGACCUUAUCGCCGGCACAGACACCCCCAGAAAGGAUGUCGGAACUAGUCGAGCGCUUUAAAGGGGCUCGGAGCCGAUUUGAGUUGUGGAAGACUUCGGCCUGCCAAGAGGGUGCUCGGGAAGCAUGGGCGAUGGUGAAGACAAGGUUUACAAGGCUGGCACGAGUCGGCCCGACUGGGCCCGAUGGUAAAGAGGUGCCACUUCACUUGGUUUAUGACCAAGUGAUGCCUGUCGCACGUUUUUUGUAGCAAGAUUGUUGUCUGGAUGCAAUAAUAGAUAACUUAGAUCAGCAGCCUAACGCAUAAUUGGAUGCGAGUGAGUUUUUGUAAUUCUCUAUCCGACGUGUAAAUGCUAUCUUAAUGGACCAUCCGCUUCUAGUUUCCCAGAUACUCAUCGAGAAGUGUUCCAUACUGUAUAACCUAUAAAAUCAGUAAACAGGUCGGGGAACUAGGCCAUCCGGCCAAUUGGUGCUACCAAAUAGACAAUUAUUAUGGAGUAGUGUUAUAUUACUUUUUACAUGAGCAAGAAACACCUUCCCAAGAAAAUAGUUCCUUUAUAUGUUCCUUUCUCGAGGUUUUGUGAGCAUCCGCUUUAUAUGGAUCUACUAUAUGUUCGGGGAUUAUAACCCUUCGUGUUAGCCACGAAAUUAUUGUUAUUUACCUUCCAUUGCCAGAACAAUUUUGUCCUUUAAGAACCCUAGCUUUCGGCUUCACCCCUCUGAGGUACGUAUCCGGAUUACCCGACCGUAACAAUCGAAUAGGUGCUCCCUUUAUCCUAUAGCCGAACAAUCGGGAACGUGGAGGAUAAGCACAUGAGCCAGGCAACCCAGCUUGGCAAAAUCUUAAGUCAAAUUUAGUGCAUAUUGAGGCUUUUAAGUAAAGGAAGAAAAGACACAUUAUAUAUAAAUAAUGCAAAAAAUGUAUUAUUAUCGGCUUUCCAGAGCCCCAGGUGCCUAUAGAAAUUACAUAUUUAACGGACACAAUUCGGUUAAUCCGAACAUGAACUAGGAUACGCUAAGCCCCUCUAGAGAGGAAAAAGGAAACAAUUUUUUUUUAAAAGACAACGAGGAAAUCAAUAAAUAUAACUAUGUCAACUUAGGUGUAGAAACGCCGAAGACGAGCCACAUUCUAGGGGUUCGGUUCAAGACGAUUGUCCAACGCAUUGCGUAGACGAUAUGCCCCUCCGGUAAGUACAUCGUCGUUGAUGAAGGGACCCUCCCAUUUGAGUGCAAGUUUGUUCUUUUUCUUCCCAGGGAGGCGUAGCACAAGCUCGCCCAUGUUGUAAGUCUUUGCCCAAACUUCCCUUCUUUGAUAGCGCCGAGCCUGCUGUUGAUAAAAUGUGGACCGUGUCAGGGCUAUGUCGUGCUCCUCUUUUAAUGCGUCCAAGUCAUCCUGCCAAUCUAACUCGACUUCUUCUUCCUCGUACAUGCGCACUGUUGGUGCAUCGUGGAUAAUGUUGCAGGGGAGGACUACCUCCGCCCCCUACACCGUAAAAAUGGUGUGUAACCCGUACUCCUGUUAACAGUUGUUCGUAGGCCCCACAAUACGGAGUCGAGCUCCUCUACCCAAUGGCAAUCAGACUCUUUAAGAGACCGAACUAGACGAGGCUUAAUUCCGCUCAUAAUGAGACCAUUAGCCCUUUCGACCUGUCCAUUUGUUUGUGGGUGGUAGACGGAGGCGUGGUCGAGCUUGAUGCCCAAAUUUUCGCACUAGUCCUUGACCUCCUAGGCUAUAAAAUUGGACCCAUUAUCCGUGAUUAUACUAUGUGGAACCCCGUAAUGGUGAGCCACGUCGGAUAUAUAAACUCAAUGACCGGCCUAGAUUUGGCAGAAGUUACUGGUUUGGCUUUGAUCCACUUUGUGAAUUUAUCAACCAUAACCAGUAAGUACUUCUUUUUCUUGGAUCCUCCUUUCAGAGGCCCCACCAUAUCAAGACCCCAGACCGCAAACAGUCAAGUGAUCGAUAUUGUCGGAAGAGCCAUUGCAGGCAUGUGGCUCUGGUUUGGAAAGAUUUGACAUCCAACACAAUGUUGUACAAGCGCAUGAGCGGCCCUUGAGCUGUUGGCCAAAAGAAACGAGCUCAGAAUGCCUUCCCUACCAAGGCUCUAGCCGUCAUGUGAUGGCCACCCAUACCUGCAUGUAUUUCAGCCAAGAGUUGUUUACCUUCUUGUUCGGAUAUGCAUCGCUGGAGGACACCGAUAGUGCUUUUUCUAUAAAGUUCCCCUUCGUGAACCUUGUAAGAUUUGGAUCAUCGAACUAUUCGUCUUGCUACUGUCUGGUCAUCGGAGAGUUCCUGGCGAAGGAGGUAAGCUAGAAAAGGUUCGGUCCAUGGUGCAAUUAUAGCCAUGAUCUCAUGAGUUGAGAGUGUUUCCUCUAAUGCGGAUCCACCAAUGGGGUCAUCAUGUGGCUUAACUAUAGGGGGAGCAAUGUGCUCCUUCUUUGUUUUUUGAAUAUCCCCUUGCUCAUCAUGCUAUACCACGGAAGGUUUAAACAUUCAUUCCAAGAAGAUAUUUUUAGGGACAGGGUCACUCUUGCCACACAUGCGAGCGAGGAUAUCGACGACCUGAUUAUUGUCCCUAGAGACGUGAUGGAACUCUAAACCUUCGAACCGAGUUGAUAUUUUGAGGGCAGCAUUCCGAUAAGCUGCCAUCUUUGGAUUUUUGGCAUUAAAUUCACCAUUGAUUUGAGAGAUAGUGAGGUUCGUGUCUUCUCGUACCUCCAACCUUUGUACACCCAUCGAGGUUGCCAUUCUUAAUCCAUGUAGCAGAGCUUCGUAUUCGGCCGCAUUACUGGAAUCAGUAUACAUGAUUUGCAGAAUGUACCAAAUGUUGUCGCGAGUGGGGCAUGUAAGUAUAACACCAUCACCCAGGUGAGCUAGCUUCUUGGAGCCAUCGAAGUACAUUGUUCAAUGGGAGUAUGUGCUAUACUCUGUAGGGAGUCCGGCUUCCAUCCAUUCUGCUAGAAAGUUAGCCAACACCUAAGAUUUAAUAGCUCUAUGUGACUUGUAUACAAUUUCAAAGGGUAAUAGUUCUAUGCCCAUUUAGAUAUGUGUCGAGUGGCAACCUUAUUGUUGAUUAUAUCGUUCAAGGGUACCUAAGAUGCCACUGUUACUGAACACUCUUGGAAGUGGUGUCGGACCUUGCGUGAUGCCAUGAAGAUGGUAUAAGUUACCUUUUGGUAGUGAGGAUAGUGAGUCUUGCAUGGGGUGAGGACUUCAGACACAUAGUAGAUUGGCUUCUGUUCCCUUACUUUUCGGUCUAUUGCUUCUCGUUCGAUCACGAGUACUGUGCUGACAACCUCGUUCAUGGCUGAUAUGUACAAUAACAUUGGUUCCCCUAUUGUGGGUGCUGUCAGUACUGGGUUGCUAGCCAUCAAUUUUUUGAUUUCUUCCAGGGCUGCCGUUGCCUCUUCGGUCCACUCAAAAUUUUUGGUUCAUUUGAGCAUGUGAUAGAGCGGCAGUGCCUUUUCACGGAGGCAAGAGAUAAGGCGGCUUAAUACCGCAUGCAACUGUUACCUCUUGAGCUUGCGUUGGUUUUUCCCUUGAAGAGGAAAGGGUGAUGCAGCACACUAGCAGUAAGCAUUUCCCUCAGUUUGAGAACCAAGGUAUCAAUCCAGUAGGAGUAUCAAGCCAAAUCUCCACCGUAACUGCGCAAAAAUAGCAAACUUGAACCCAACGCUACAAAGGGGUUGUCAAUCCCUUCAUGAUUGACUCCAAGGUGAGAUCUGAAGGCAGAAAGUGCAACAAAGUAAAAGUGUAAGGCUGAAAAUAUGAUGUCAAGUAGACCCGGGGGCCAUAGUGUUCACUAGAGGCUUCUAUCAUGAUAGCAAAUAUUACGGUGGGUGAACGAAUUACCGUCGAGCAAUUGAUAGAACCGCGCAAAGUCAUGACGAUAUCUAAGGCAAUGAUCAUACAUAUAGGCAUCACGUCCGAGACAAGUUGACCGAUACUUUUUGCAUCUACUACCAUUACUCCACACAUCGACCACUAUCCAGCAUGCAUCUAGUGUAUUGAGUUCAUGACAAACAGAGUAACGCCUUAAGAAAUAUGACAUGAUGUAGAGAGAUAAAUUAAUGCAAUAGAUAUAAACCCCAUCUUUUUACCCUUGAUGGCAACAACACGAUGCGUGCCUGGCUACCCCUUCUGUCACUGGGUUAGGUCAAUGCACGGUAUGAACCCAAAACNNAGCACUUCUCCCAUUGCAAGAAUCAUAGAUCAAGUUGGCCAAACAAAACCCACAACUCGAAGAGAAUUACAAGGAUAUGAAAUCAUGCAUAUAAGAGAUUAGAAGAAACUCAAAUAAGAUUUAUAGAUAAUCUGAUCGUAAACCCACAAUUCGUCGAAUCUCGACAAACACACCACAAAAGAAGAUUACAUCAGAUAGAUCUGCAUGAAGAUCAUGGAGAACUUUGUAUUGAAGAUCCAAGAGAGAGAAGAAGCCAUCUAGGUACUAGCUAUGGACCCGAAGGUCUAUGGUGAACUACUCACGCAUCAUCGGAGAGGCAAUGGUGUUGAUGAAGAAGCCCUCCGUGUCCGAAUCCCCCCUCCGGCAGGGCACCAAAACCUUCCCCAGAUGGGUUCUUGCGGAGACAGAAGCUUCCGGCGGCGGAAACGUAUUUUCGUGGCUCUCUCACGUGGUUUUGGAUUUUUCGGGGAUUUAUAGGCGGAAGAAGUAGGGCAGAGGAGCCAUAGGGGGCCCACAAGCCUGCUAGGCAUGCCCCCAGGCCACGGCUAGGGGCCUUGUUGCCUCCCCUGGUGCCCUUUGCCUUGGUUCUCAAGCUCCCUGCGUAUCUUCUGUUCUGGAAAAAAUCUUUUCAGAGGUUUUAUUCCGUCUGGACUCCGUUUAAUAUUCUCCUCUGAAAAGGGUCAACAACACGGAAAAAGCAGGAACUAGCACUUGGCACUCAGUUAAUAAGUUAGUCCCAAAAAAGAUAUAGAAUUCAUACAAAACAUCCAAAGUUUGACAAGAUAAUAGCAUGGAACCAUCAAAAGUUAUAGAUACGUUGGAGACGUAUCAAGCAUCCCCAAGCUUAAAUCCUGCUUGUCCUCGAGUAGGGAAGUGAUAAAGAAUGAAUUUUUGAUGUGGAAUGCUACCUAGCAUAUUUGUCUUUUGUAACUUCUUUCAUGUGACAUGAAUGUUCAGAUCCGUAAGAUUCACAACAAUAGUUUGCUAUUGACAUGAAAACAAUAGUACUUCAAGCAAACUAGCAAGGUAAUCAUGAACUUUUGAAAUAAUAAGGCCAAAGAAAGCUAUCCCUAAAAAAUCAUAUAGUGUGGCUAUGCUCCAUCAUCCCCACACAACAAAUUUAAAUCAUGCACAACCCCGGUAUUGGCCAAGUAAUUGUUUUCGCACUCUUACUUUCUCAAACCUUUUUGAACUCUCACGCAAUACAUGAGCGUGAGCCAUGGAUAGAGAACUUAGAGGUGGAAUAGAGUGUGGUGAAGGUUGUGAGGCAAAAAGGAGGAGAUGGUCACAUUGACGCGGCGUAUCAAAGGGCUAUGGAGAUGCCCAUCAAUAGAUAUCAAUGUGAAAGAGUAGGGAUUACCAUGCACUGGAUGCACUUAGAGCUAUAAGUGUGUGUAAGAUCAAAAGGAGAAAUAGUGGGUGUGGAUCCAACUUGCUUGCUCACGAAGACCUAGGGCAAUUUUGAGGAAGCCCAUCAUUGGAAUAUACAAGCCAAGUAAUGAAUAUUCCCACUAGUAUAUGGUGGUGACAAAACAAGAGACUCUCAAUCAUGAAGAACAUGGUGCUAUUAUGAAGCACAAGUGUGGAAAAAGAUAGUAGCAUUGUCCCUUCUCUCUUUUUCUCUUUUUUUGUUUGGGCUCUUUGGCUUCUUUCCAUAUACUUUUUUGUGUGGGCAACUUUGGCCUCCUUUUUUUAUUUCCUCACAUGGGACAAUGAUGAUCAUCACACUUUCAUUUACUCACAGCUCAAUGCUUAGAAAGAUGAUGACUCUAUAGGAAAUGCCUCCGACAGUGUACCGGGAUGUGCAACGAUCUAGCUUGGCGUAUGAUGUUGAAACAUCUCGCUAGCUAUCCUAUGAUCAUGCAAUGGAAAUAUGUAAGUGAAGGCACAAGGCAUGAGACGGAACGGUGGGAGUUGCAUGGCAAUAUAUCUCGGAAUAGCUAUCAAAAGGCCAUGAUAGGUAGGUAUGGUGGCUGUUUUGAGGAAGAUCUAUGGUGGUUUUGUGUACCGGCGAAAGUUGCGCGGCACUAGAGAGGCUAGCAAUGGUGGAAGGUGAAAGUGCAUAUAUACCAUGGACUCACAUUAGUCAUGAAGAACUCACAUACUUAUUGCGAAAGUUUUUAUUAGUAAUCGAAACAAAGUGCUAAAUGCAUACUCCUAGGGGAAGGGUUGGUAGGUGUUAACCAUCGCGCGAUCCCGACCGCAACACAAAGGAUGACAAUCAAUAAAUUAAUUAUGCUCCGACUUUCUAACAUAGCGGUUCACCAUACGUGCAUGUUACGGGAAUCAGUAACUUCAACACAAGUAUUUCUAGAUUCACAACACCUUACUAACAUGUCUCUUAACAUUACCAAAUCAAUGUCUCCAGACUAAUUGAGAGGAAUCAAACUUAUCUUUCUAAUGAAUGCACAAGAAUAUGGAAGUUUUAUUGUAUCCUCUUUCGACGCCUAUCAUCUUUAGGACUACUUUCAUAGCACAAGCCAACUACCAAGUUACUCAGAGAGAGCACUCUCAAAAAGAUAUAAGUGAAGAUUGAGAGUUCUUGUUUCUCCAAAAUAUGACACCGCCGUGCUCUAAAAGAUCUAAGUGGAGCACUAAGAGCAAAGUUAUCUAGCUCAAAAGAUAUAAGUGAAGCACAUGUGAGCUAAAUUGCCUAACUCAAAAGAUAUAAGUGAAGCUCAAUGAGUAUUCGAGCAAAUUCACGAUGAGUGCAUGUCUCUCUCAAAAUGUGUGCAGCAAGGACGAUUGUGACACAACAAAAAGAAAAGACUCCUAUAAUACACGAUGCUCCAAGCAAAACACAUAUCAUGUGGUGAAUAAAAAUAUAGCUCCAAGUAAUGUUACACAUGGAUUGAAGACAAAAGAGGGGAUGCCUUCCCGGGGCAUCCCCAAGCUUAGGCUUUUUGGUGUCCUUGAAUUUGGCUUGGGAUGCCUUGGGCAUCCCCAAGUUGAUCUCUUUCCACUCUUUAUACCUUUGUCCAUGAGAACAUCACCCAAAACUUGAAAACUUCACAACACAAAACUUAAACAGAAACUCGUGAUAAGAUUAGCACAAGAAAACAAACUACCACCUCUUUAGAUACUGUCGCAAUCUUGAUUUCCAUUUGCAUUGGUGUUAGAUUACUGUAUUGUCACUUCUCCAUGGCUAGUACCCCCCGAUACUAUCCAUAGUUUCAUCAAAAUAAGCAAUCAACACAACAAAAAACAGAAUCUAUCAAAAACAGACCAGUCUGUAGCAAUAUGUAUACUUCGUAUACUUCUAGUAUCUCAAAAAUUAUGAACAAUUACGACAAUUUGGGCAAUUGGCAUAUAAACCAGCAGAAAAAGAAUAAACUCAAAAUCUCUUUGUGGAUAAAAAUGAAAAAUAAUUUCGUGAGCAAAAAGUUUCUGUCUUUUUCCAGCAUGAUCAAACAACCAUCACCAAAUCUAGUCAUAAAGGUUUUACUUGGCUCAAACAUAAAAAGAAACACAAAAAACACAAUCAUAACAGAAUUAUGAUGGUGUGGACGCAACAAAACAGAAAGCAAAAAAGCAAAGAUAAAUUCAUUGGGUUGCCUCCCAACAAGCACUAUUGUUUAACGCCCUUAGCUAGGCAUAAGGCGAUAGAAUCACGUAUCAUCGUCUUUGGUACUCAAACCAUAAGUAGCCCUCAUCAUGGAUUCAUAAGGCAAUCUUAUUUUAUUUCUAGGAAAAUGUUCCAUGCCCUUCUUUAAUGGAAACUGAAAUCUAAUAUUCCCUUCCUUCAUAUCGAUGACAGCACCUAUAGUCCUUAGGAAAGGUCUACCAAGAAUGAUAGGACAUGUAGGAUUGCAAUCAAUAUCAAGCACAAUGAAAUCUACGGGUACAUAGUUCCUAUUUGCAAUAAUAAGAACAUCAUUGAUCCUUCCCAUAGGUUUCUUAAGAGUAGAAUCCGCAAGAUGCAAAUUAAGAGAGCACUCAUCAAUCUCAUUGAAGCCUAGAAUAUGACAUAAAGACUUUGGAAUCGCAGAAGCACUAGCACCCAAAUCACACAAAGCAUUGCAUUCAUAGUUUUUGAUCUUGAUUUUGAUAGUAGGUUCCCACUCAUCAUGAAGUUUUCUAGGAAUAGAAACUUCCAAUUCAAGUUUCUCUCCAAGAGAUUUCAUCAUAGCAUCGACUAUAUGAUCGGUAAAGGCCUUGUUUUGGCUAUAAGCGUGUGGAGAGUUUAGCAUGGAUUGCAUCAAGGAAAUACAUUCAAUCAAAGAGAAACUAUCAUAAUUGAAUUCNNNNNNNNNNNNNNNNNNNNNNNNNNNNNNNNNNNNNNNNNNNNNNNNNNNNNNNNNNNNNNNNNNNNNNNNNNNNNNNNNNNNNNNNNNNNNNNNNNNNUGGACUAGACCCAAACUAAUAGACGUAGCAUGUUGAUCGUGUCAUUUUGUUGCUACUGUUUUCUGCGUGUCAAGUAUUUGUUCCUAUGACCAUGAGAUCAUAUAACUCACUGACACCGGAGGAAUGCUUUGUGUGUAUCAAACGUCACAACGUAACUGGGUGACUAUAAAGAUGCUCUACAGGUAUCUCCAAAGGUGUUCGUUGAGUUAGUAUGGAUCAAGACUGGGAUUUGUCACUCCGUAUGACGGAGAGGUAUCUCGGGGCCCACUCGGUAAUACAACAUCACACACAAGCCUUGCAAGCAAUGUGACUUAGUGUAAGUUGCGGGAUCUUGUAUUACGGAACGAGUAAAGAGACUUGCCAGUAAACGAGAUUGAAAUAGGUACGAGGAUACUGACGAUCGAAUCUCAGGCAAGUAACAUACCGAAGGACAAAGGGAAUGACAUACGGGAUUAUAUGAAUCCUUGGCACUGAGGUUGAAACGAUAAGAUAUUCAUAGAAUAUGUAGGAUCCAAUAUGGGCAUCCAGGUCCCUCUAUUGGAUAUUGACCGAGGAGUCUCUCGGGUCAUGUCUACAUAGUUCUCGAACCCGCAGGGUCUGCACACUUAAGGUUCGACGUUGUUUUAUGCGUAUUNNNNNNNNNNNNNNNNNNNNNNNNNNNNNNNNNNNNNNNNNNNNNNNNNNNNNNNNNNNNNNNNNNNNNNNNNNNNNNNNNNNNNNNNNNNNNNNNNNNNUGGACUAGACCCAAACUAAUAGACGUAGCAUGUUGAUCGUGUCAUUUUGUUGCUACUGUUUUCUGCGUGUCAAGUAUUUGUUCCUAUGACUAUGAGAUCAUAUAACUCACUGACACCAGAGAAUGCUUUGUGUAUAUCAAACAUCGCAACGUAACUGGGUGACUAUAAAGAUGCUCUACAGGUAUCUCCAAAGGUGUUCGUUGAGUUAGUAUGGAUCAAGACUGGGAUUUGUCACUCCGUAUGACGGAGAGGUAUCUCGGGGCCCACUCGGUAAUACAACAUCACACACAAGCCUUGCAAGCAAUGUGACUUAGUGUAAGUUGCGGGAUCUUGUAUUACGGAACGAGUAAAGAGACUUGCCGGUAAACGAGAUUGAAAUAGGUAUGCGGAUACUGACGGUCGAAUCUCAGGCAAGUAACAUACCGAAGGACAAAGGGAAUGACAUACGGGAUUAUAUGAAUCCUUGGCACUGAGGUUCAAACGAUAAGAUAUUCAUAGAAUAUGUAGGAUCCAAUAUGGGCAUCCAGGUCCCGCUAUUGGAUAUUGACCGAGGAUUCUCUCGGGUCAUGUCUACAUAGUUCUCGAACCCGCAGGGUCUGCACACUUAAGGUUCGACGUUGUUUUAUGCGUAUUUGAGUUAUAUGGUUGGUUACCCAAUGUUGUUCGGAGUCCCGGAUGAGAUCACGGACGUCACGAGGGUUUCCGGAAUGGUCCGGAAACAAAGAUUGAUAUAUAGGAUGACCUCAUUUGGUUACCAGAAGGUUUUCGUGCAUUACCGGAAAAGGUUCGGGCUCAUCGGUAGUGUACUGGGAGUGCCGGGAGGGGUGCCGGGGACCAUCAGGAGGGGUGUCACGCCCCAAGGGGUCUCAUGGGCUAUGGGAAGAGAUAAACCAGCCCCUAGUGGGCUGGAAUAAGUUCCCACUAAGGCCCAUAAGGUUUGAGAAGGAAAAAACACAAGGUGGAAAGAGUUUCCAAGUGGGAAGGUGGAAUCCUACUCCAAGUAGGAUUGGAGUAGGACUCCUCCACCUCCAAUUUAGGCCAAACCUUUAGGUUUUGAGGCUGCCUCCUCCCCUCCCUCCCUCCUAUAUAUAGUGGGGUUUUAGGGCUGAUUUGAGAUAACUUUUGCCACGACAGCCCGACCACAUACCUCCACGGUUUUACCUCUAGAUCGCGUUUCUGCGGAGCUCGGGCGGAGCCCUGCUGAGAUUAGAUCAUCACCAACCUCCGGAGCGCCAUCACGCUGCCGGAGAACUCAUCUACCUCUCCAUCUCUCUUGCUGGAUCAAGAAGGCCGAGAUCAUCGUCGAGCUGUACGUGUGCUGAACGCGGAGGUGCCGUCCGUUCGGCACUAGAUCGGAGCGGAUCGUGUGACGGAUCGCGGGACGGUUCGUGGGACGGUUCGCGGGGCGGAUCGAGGGACGUGAGGACAUUCCACUACAUCAACCGCGUUCCUUAACGCUUCUGCUGUGCGAUCUACAAGGGUACGUAGAUCGGAAAUCCCCUCUCAUAGAUGGACAUCACCAUGAUAUGUCUUUGUGCGCGUAGGAAUUUUUUUGUUUCCCAUGCGACGUUCCCCAACAAGACAUAACCCCACCGCGUCCUCGAUCGGAGAAGGAACUCACAUAAGAGACAGUCACGGUUAGCACACAGUUGGCAUAUUUUAAUUAAGUUAACUUCAAGUUAUCUAGAACCAGUGUUAAACAAAGUUUCCACGUUGCCACAUAACCGCGGGCACGGCUUUCUGAAAGAUUUAACCCUGCAGGGGUGCUCCAACUAGUCCAUCACAAAUUACCACAAGCCGCAUUGAAAUCCUCAAUCACGAAGCUCGCGAUCUCGUCGGAUUCCCUAGUGGAAAACCUCAACUCUGAGAUUACCCAAAGCAUCACCGGAAUCUCGAUGCACAAGAUAUCUCGUCAAAGGUAAAACUUAUCCAGCAAGGCUGCCCGGCGUGUCGACGAUCCCGAUAGGAGCCGCGUAUGUCGUUCUCAGGACACGACGGAUAAGCGAAGCGUACGAGUACCAAACCUUGAGUUUCCUCGCGGUGGCCCUGCACGGUGCUCUGUUUUGGACCAGCACCAUCAACACUGGCCCUCCCUGUAUUAUAUAGAAUUACUCCCCGGGUAGCGCUAACUCCCUAUGCAUUUCAAUUUAACAGAAUUAUUCUGUUGGGAAAAUGCAGUACCAAUGUUGGGCCUUGCCGGACCAGCUUUAAUCUAAAACGAAGUAUCAAGGGGGUCCCCAUAACAACCCCGAUCAUGUUAGGAGCGCUCAUUUAUGAAACAUAACACCGGUAGCCGAAAUUAAGGGGGCAAAGGUGGAACAAAGCACCAGGCUAGAAAGGCCGAGCCUUCCACCUUUUACCAAGUAUAUAGGUGCAUUAAAUUAAAUAGCAUUUAAUAGGGUGAUAUAACAAGGAACCCAUGUUUACACAUGGAAGCAUCUGCACCUGCAACUAGCAACGCUAACACAGGGUUAAGCAAGCAGUAACUUAGUCAAUCAGUGGUUUGCUAGGUCGAACAGGGUGAAGGUUUCAUGGCAUUGUUGAGAGGCUGAUAUUUAACAUGUGGUAGGCAACGAGACAUAAUCGAUGGAAGCGAUAAAACUAGCAUGGCAAUGAUAGUAAUGGUAUAUGGGGAAAUGGUCAUCUUGCCUGAGAUCCCGCUUGGAAGAAGAACAAAUCGAUGGAGUCGGCAAACCAUCAUAGUCGAACGGGUCCUCACAUUCCGACACGCUUGCGGAACUCUAUCAAGACGGGCAAACCGGAAACAAACAUCAACACGAAUAUUCACCACAACAAAAGCAAGACAUGAUGCAUACCCUAAUAUGAUGCAUGAUCAGUUCAUUGAUGCAAGGGAUGGCAUGGCAAUUCACCUCACGCAAACACUACACAUUAAGUGAAGCUCGAUAUGCAACGGGUUACAUAUCGACGAAACUCCAUGAUUGAUUAUUUAGUUCACUCCCGAUUAUUUACACGGCAAUAUUAAAUUGUACUUAACAUGUCAAGGGGUGAAGCGUUGAUCCUAAGUGUCAUCCUAGUCGGUUUAACUCGCGGAACAAAGAGCGGAGCUACGGCACGAGAGACAUGCAACACAAGAUCAUAUGCCAUGAAUGCUUUAUGCAUGCAAGUUACAACAUCACGGGCAAGAAGAGAAAGAAACAGGUGUCGCCACGGCGAGCGAAAGGGAAAUUAUGGCGGCNNNNNNNNNNNNNNNNNNNNNNNNNNNNNNNNNNNNNNNNNNNNNNNNNNNNNNNNNNNNNNNNNNNNNNNNNNNNNNNNNNNNNNNNNNNNNNNNNNNNUAGUUGAUCAAGGAUGGUUAAGGUUUUCUGACCAUAUACAAGUGUUGUGUGACAGCCCUAGACCGAUGCCUAGAAGAUUCCCCCUUUUAUUUCUGUUUCCGUCGUGUGCUUAUUUUUAUUUGUUGCAUCAUCAUGUAGUUGCAUCAUCGCAUCAUGCAUGGCAUCUUGCAUCGUCUGUCGCGUGUGGUGCUUGGAGUGUUGUGCUUCGAGUGAUCACCGAGUCAUAGAGCGAUAGUAGCUCACCCUCUCUCUCCCUCUUAUUUCAUUUUUGUGGUUUUUGCUUAAGAACAGUUUUAACCCCGUCAAGGGUUCGUUUUCUUCUUUUCAUUAAAAAUCUUUUUUAUUAAAUGUGGGGGCAACCCUUGGGUUUUGAUUUUAUUUUUCCUUUUGUUUUAUUUUAAAACCGUCUCAUUUUAUUUUCUCUUUUAAAAGGCUUUUAUUUUAUCCUUUAAAUAAAAGAGAUUUUAUUUUAUUCUCUUGUCAAAAGGGGUUUAAAUUUUAUUCUUUUUUAAAAGGGUUUUAAUUUAAUUCUUAAGGAAAAGGUUUCAUUUUUAUUUUGUUUAAAAAGCCCAAACUAUUUCUUAUAGUUGGGGUAUUUUUUUAAAGGAGUAAAAGGCAUUUUUUUUAUUUUGUUAAAAACCAUUUUUUUCUCUUGUGAUUGUUUCGUGAUUUUUUUAAAAAGAGAGGGGUUGAGAGGGAGCCAGCCAUCCUGCCAUGCCCAAGGCCGAGUCCUCCCGUGCUGACCUAGCGAGCCUGCCCGAGACCCCCAUCUCCCCGUGUGUCUCCCUCCUUUGCCCGAUUCCUCCUCGAUCGCCUCUGCCCCACGAUGCAAGCCCCCUGCCGCCGCCUCUCCAUCCUCCCUGUUCCCCUGCCUUGCCCGAGAUCCACGCUGGCCUCCCAUCCGUGCCGCCGCCCCCGUCUGCGAGAUGCCAGCGCCGAGCCCGGCUCGCCCCCGUUUCCCUCGCCUGCCGUAGGAGCUCGACGCCCUGGCCGCCGUGCUCGUCGUUCGUCGUGCCCCGUGUUGGCCCGUCCCCGCGUAGUCCCACGCGCCGCCCUCAUCCUCGCCGCCAGCAGCCGGUCACCGCCCGAGGUCCCCGUCGGGGUCAGCCCGUGCUGGCUCGUUCCCGCGCGGCUGCCGCCCGUCGUGAUGUCAUGCUAACCUGCCGCCGUGCUCGGCCCUCGCCGCGUCGCCGUGGCCUCGCCGUCCCCAGCGCCCUUGGUCCCACGCCGCCUCCUCCGCCUUCCUGCGCCAUUGCCUGCUGCCGUGUGCAGGUUGCUGGUGCCAGUUGCCGUUGCUGCAUUUUAUUUUCCCGCCGAGCUGCCCUGCUGUGGCGUUGCUAAGCUGCUACUGCUAGCUUGCUGUUGCUGUGCCAUGCUCCUUGCGCGUUGCUGCCUACCAUUUCCGUUGUAGUUGCUGCUUGCUGCUGCCGCCUGAUGUUGCUGGUACCUGCUUGUUGUUGCCCGCCGAUAGCUGCUGUUGCGUGUUGUUUGCUGUUGCUGGUACCCGUGCUGCCGCUGAGGCUAGAAGCUGCUGCUAGGUAGUUGCUAGUUGCUGUAGUUGAUGGUUGUUGUUCCUGCUACUUUGCCGUUAUUGCUUGCUGUUGCCGCAUGUUGUAGGUUGCUUGCUGAGGCAUUCUAGUGGCUAGAUGUUAGUUGCUGCCGCCAGUAGUCGUGGCCGCCGCUCACCUUUGCUCGUGCUGCCGCUUGCGCCGCCGCGUGCGCCGUUUCCCUCCGUCAUGGAACCGACAAGAUCACGGUGCACAACAACGACCCCGACGACCCCGGAAGCGAGUUCGACUUCCUCGACAUCGCCGAAGACCCGUGAUCGACUACCGACGCCAAAGACUGUGAACCACGAUGCCGAGUACGACUACCGUCGACGAGACCCGAGUUCCUCGACGACCACGACUUCCACGACGACCGUUGUUCCCCUUCACCGAACCGCUCCGAUUCGCACGCGUCGAAGGUAUACCGAUGAGACGUGGCCGAGAACCGUAUGCAUGUGAUGUAUGAGUUGUAUCGUGCGUAUGCAUCUUAUGUUGCCCGAGCACGUUGUCCCUCUUAUGUUGUGCCCGACACAUGGGAACCCGAGAUACGGGAUCACCCAUCUUAAUUUAACGUUCCCGCACACGAUCCCUAUUCGUUGGCACGAUAUCUCGUCGAGUUAUCGGGAUAGGAACGUUGCCAUGGCAUCGUAUCCGUCUUGCCGCCAUAAUUUCCCUUUCGCUCGCCGUGGCGACACCUGUUUCUUUCUCUUCUUGCCCGUGAUGUUGUAACUUGCAUGCAUAAAGCAUUCAUGGCAUAUGAUCUUGUGUUGCAUGUCUCUCGUGCCGUAGCUCCGCUCUUUGUUCCGCGAGUUAAACCGACUAGGAUGACACUUAGGAUCAACGCUUCACCCCUUGACAUGUUAACUACAAUUUAAUAUUGCCGUGUAAAUAAUCAGGAGCGAACUAAAUAAUCAAUCGUGGAGUUUCGUCGAUAUGUAACCCGUUGCAUAUCGAGCUUCACUUAAUGUGUAGUGUUUGCGUGAGGUGAAUUGCCAUGCCAUCCCUUGCAUCAAUGAACUGAUCAUGCAUCAUAUUAGGGUAUGCAUCAUGUCUUGCUUUUGUUGUGGUGAAUAUUCGUGUUGAUGUUUGUUUCCGGUUUGCCCGUCUUGAUAGAGUUCCGCAAGCGUGUCGGAAUGUGAGGACCCGUUCGACUAUGAUGGUUUGCCGACUCCAUCGAUUUGUUCUUCUUCCAAGCGGGAUCUCAGGCAAGAUGACCAUUUCCCCAUAUACCAUUACUAUCAUUGCCAUGCUAGUUUUAUCGCUUCCAUCGAUUAUGUCUCGUUGCCUACCACAUGUUAAAUAUCAGCCUCUCAACAAUGCCAUGAAACCUUCACCCUGUUCGACCUAGCAAACCACUGAUUGACUAAGUUACUGCUUGCUUAACCCUGUGUUAGCGUUGCUAGUUGCAGGUGCAGAUGCUUCCAUGUGUAAACAUGGGUUCCUUGUUAUAUCACCCUAUUAAAUGCUAUUUAAUUUAAUGCACCUAUAUACUUGGUAAAAGGUGGAAGGCUCGGCCUUUCUAGCCUGGUGCUUUGUUCCACCUUUGCCCCCUUAAUUUCGGCUACCGGUGUUAUGUUUCAUAAAUGAGCGCUCCUAACAUGAUCGGGGUUGUUAUGGGGACCCCCUUGAUACUUCGUUUUAGAUUAAAGCUGGUCCGGCAAGGCCCAACAUUGGUACUGCAUUUUCCCAACAGAAUAAUUCUGUUAAAUUGAAAUGCAUAGGGAGUUAGCGCUACCCGGGGAGUAAUUCUAUAUAAUACAGGGAGGGCCAGUGUUGAUGGUGCUGGUCCAAAACAGAGCACCGUGCAGGGCCACCGCGAGGAAACUCAAGGUUUGGUACUCGUACGCUUCGCUUAUCCGUCGUGUCCUGAGAACGACAUACGCGGCUCCUAUCGGGAUCGUCGACACGCCGGGCAGCCUUGCUGGAUAAGUUUUACCUUUGACGAGAUAUCUUGUGCAUCGAGAUUCCGGUGAUGCUUUGGGUAAUCUCAGAGUUGAGGUUUUCCACUAGGGAAUCCGACGAGAUCGCGAGCUUCGUGAUUGAGGAUUUCAAUGCGGCUUGUGGUAAUUUGUGAUGGACUAGUUGGAGCACCCCUGCAGGGUUAAAUCUUUCAGAAAGCCGUGCCCGCGGUUAUGUGGCAACGUGGAAACUUUGUUUAACACUGGUUCUAGAUAACUUGAAGUUAACUUAAUUAAAAUAUGCCAACUGUGUGCUAACCGUGACUGUCUCUUAUGUGAGUUCCUUCUCCGAUCGAGGACGCGGUGGGGUUAUGUCUUGUUGGGGAACGUCGCAUGGGAAACAAAAAAAUUCCUACGCGCACAAAGACAUAUCAUGGUGAUGUCCAUCUAUGAGAGGGGAUUUCCGAUCUACGUACCCUUGUAGAUCGCACAGCAGAAGCGUUAAGGAACGCGGUUGAUGUAGUGGAAUGUCCUCACGUCCCUCGAUCCGCCCCGCGAACCGUCCCACGAACCGUCCCGCGAUCCGUCACACGAUCCGCUCCGAUCUAGUGCCGAACGGACGGCACCUCCGCGUUCAGCACACGUACAGCUCGACGAUGAUCUCGGCCUUCUUGAUCCAGCAAGAGAGAUGGAGAGGUAGAUGAGUUCUCCGGCAGCGUGAUGGCGCUCCGGAGGUUGGUGAUGAUCUAAUCUCAGCAGGGCUCCGCCCGAGCUCCGCAGAAACGCGAUCUAGAGGUAAAACCGUGGAGGUAUGUGGUCGGGCUGUCGUGGCAAAAGUUAUCUCAAAUCAGCCCUAAAACCCCACUAUAUAUAGGAGGGAGGGAGGGGAGGAGGCAGCCUCAAAACCUAAAGGUUUGGCCUAAAUUGGAGGUGGAGGAGUCCUACUCCAAUCCUACUUGGAGUAGGAUUCCACCUUCCCACUUGGAAACUCUUUCCACCUUGUGUUUUUUCCUUCUCAAACCUUAUGGGCCUUAGUGGGAACUUAUUCCAGCCCACUAGGGGCUGGUUUAUCUCUUCCCAUAGCCCAUGAGACCCCUUGGGGCGUGACACCCCUCCUGAUGGUCCCCGGCACCCCUCCCGGCACUCCCAGUACACUACCGAUGAGCCCGAACCUUUUCCGGUAAUGCACGAAAACCUUCUGGUAACCAAAUGAGGUCAUCCUAUAUAUCAAUCUUUGUUUCCGGACCAUUCCGGAAACCCUCGUGACGUCCGUGAUCUCAUCCGGGACUCCGAACAACAUUGGGUAACCAACCAUAUAACNNNNNNNNNNNNNNNNNNNNNNNNNNNNNNNNNNNNNNNNNNNNNNNNNNNNNNNNNNNNNNNNNNNNNNNNNNNNNNNNNNNNNNNNNNNNNNNNNNNNACUACACGUCAUUAAGGCAGAAACUUGUUUCUGUUAAAACCCCAAGUAAAAAUAUUUUUUUAAUCUUAUACCACAGUAAUAUAUAAUCACUAGGAAGCAGUAGCAAAAAGAAUCAACUCAAAAUCAUUUUUUAAACUCUUGUAAUAAGCAAAACAAGGUUUAAACUAAAUCUGAUCUAAUUCAAAUUUUAAAAUUUGAAACAUAGACAAAUUAUAUGUUUUCAAAAACUACAGAAAAAUUGGGAUCUACUGGAAAAAGAAUCAACCUCAUUGGACUUCGGGAUCAAAAGCUAUGCUCAAAACAAAAUUGAAACUUUUCUGUUUUUGGAACUAAACAGAAAAAGAAAACAAAUACUAACAGACACGUGGCAAUCCCUGAUUUGCUGCGGGGGUGUGUGCUGCGGGUAUAAUGAGCAAACGGCUGAAACUUAAGAAAAUCUACGGCUAAAAAAUAAGUGGGGCAGAAAACCGUUCGGGUUUUUACUUAAAAACCGAAGGGGUACCUAACUUCUAAUCUAGCGCGUUGGUUCUUGAUCUAACGGUGGAGGAGGGGUGGGGUGCUCACCGUGGUGGAGAUGAACUCCGGCAGGGUCUGAGGCGGCGGCUGAAGGUGGUGGAGGUUGGGGAGAAAGCUCCGGUGAGUCCCGACGGUGGCCGAAGGCUUGGGGAGGCGGCGACAAAGCUCCCGCGUCCUCUGGCAGCGACGGCAAGGCGAGGGAGGGGCGUCGGGCGAGCAGGGGAAGCUCGGGGCUUCGGGUGGUGGCCAACUCCGGCGGUGCAGCAGGGGCGGUUUGGGCGGCGAGACGGCGGGGCGAGGUGGGGAACGGGGUGCGGCGUGCGGUGGGGGUAUUUAUAGGGGGAGAGGGGGCCUCGGGAGGGAAGGAGGAGGGAGAUCCGGGGAGAGGGGAUCGGCUCCGGCGAACUUGGAAGGGGGCCGAGGUGACGGGAAGGAAAGAGAGGGAGGGAAAGGAAAGAGGUGACCGAGCGGGUGGCGGUUCGGAGGGUGGGGCCCGCUGGCAGGGAGAGAGAGAGAGAGGUGACUGGGGAUCGGCCACCCGAUCCGGAGUGGAUUCGGAUCCGGCGAGUGGGAUUCGGCCCACAGGGGCUAUCUAGCGACGGUGCGAUUUUAGAAAAAAAAAUACCUUUCCUAUUUUUCUAAAAUAGGAAGUAAAACAAAUAAAAAGGUAGGUAAAUAAAAUCCUAAAAUAGGGGUAUUAUAUACCGAAAAAAUCAGAAAAAUAUCCUCUACUCGAUUAACAUUUUUCCAAGGCAAAAAUAGAAACUUUUAAAAAAUGAUUUUUUUAGAAAAUCCCCUAAAUGCUUUAUUUCUUUUUGGCAAUUAUUUUCACGAUAAAACUUUGGAUGUCUUGGCUCCAAAUAUUUCAGAGAUGCCUCACAUUUUGGAGGGUCAUUUUCCUCCGCUCUCUCUUGCGUGCAAGAGAUUAUUUCCCGGCACUUCUCGUGUGAAAAAAAAUAGAAAUGCAAAAGGCAAAAGUCGAAAGAAUUCAAAUGCAAACUUUAUUUAAAUCAAUAUGCAUAGAUGCUUAGCUACAAUGUAAAACAUUCCCAAUUAGGAAAAUUGGGAUGUUACAGACCACCAUAAUUUCCUAUAAAUACAUAACCGCCCAAAAAGGAACCUAGAUCGGGAGUUCCGCCGCCGCAAGCCUUUGUAGCCACCAAAAACCAAUCAGGAGCCUGUUCUGGCACCCUGCCGAAGGGCGAAUCCAUCUCCGGUGGCCAUCUUCAUCAUCCCGGUGAUCUCCAUGACGAGGAGGGAGUAGUUCUCCCUCGGGGCUGAGGGUAUGUACCAGUAGCUAUGUGUUUGAUCUCUCUCUCUCGUGUUCUUGAGAUGUCAUGAUCUCGAUGUACCACGGGCUUUGCUACAAUAGUUGGAUCCUAUGAUGUUCUUCCCCCUCUCCCUUCUUGUAAUGAAUUGAGUUUUCCCUUUGGAGUUAUCUUAUCGGACUGAGUCUUUAAGAACACUUGAUGUAUGCCUUGCACGUGUCUAUCUGUGGUGACAAUGGGAUAUUCAUGUGAGUACUUGAUGUAUGUUUUGGUGAUCAACUUGCGGGUUUCGUGACAUUGGGAACCUAUGCAUAUGGGUUGGCACACAUUGUGACUCUCCGGUAGAAACUUCGGGGCACUCUUUGAAGUUCUAUGUGUUGGUUCAAUAGAUGAUUCUGAGAUUGUGUGAUGCAUAUCGUAUAAUCAUGCCCAUGGAUACUUGAGGUGACAAUGGAGUAUCUAGGUGACAUUAGGGUCUUGGUUGAUAUGUGUCUUAAGGUGUUAUUCUAGUACGAACUCUAUGAUGGAUCGAACGGAAAGAAUAGCUUCGUGUUAUUUUAGUACGGACUCUUGAAUAUAUCGAUUAGAAAGAAUAACUUUGUGGUGGUUUCGUACCCGACAAUAAUCUAUUCGUCUGUUCUCCGCCAUUAGUUACUUUGGAGUGACUCUUUGUUGCACGUUGAGGGAUAGUUAUAUGAUCCAAUUAUGUUAUCAUUGUUGAGAGAACUUCACUAGUGAAAGUAUGAACCCUAGGCCUUGUUUCCACGCAUUGUAAUACCGUUCGUGCUCGCUUUUACUUUUAGUUACCUUGCUGUUUUUGUAAUUUCAGAUUACAAAAACCUAUAUCUACCAUCCAUAUUGCACUUGUAUCACCAUCUCUUCGCCGAACUAGUGCACCUAUACAACUUACCGUUGUAUUGGGUGCGUUGGGGACAUAAGAGAUUCUUUGUUAUUUGGUUGCAGGGUUGCUUGAGAGAGACCAUCUUCAUCCUACGCCUCCCGCGGAUUGAUAAACCUUAGGUGACCCACUUGAGGGAAAAUUGCUACUAUCCUACAAACCUCUGCACUUGGAGGCCCAACAACGCCUACAAGGAGAAGGUUGCGUAGUAGACAUCAGUGACGUCCGUGAUCUCAUCCGGGACUCUGAACAAAACUUCGGUCACCGCACCUAUAACUCAACUAUACCGAAACGCACCGAACCUUAAGUGUGCAGACCCUGCGGGUUCGAGAACUAUGCAGACAUGACCUGAGACACUCCCCAGUCAAUAUCCAAUAGCGGGACCUAGAUGUCCAUUUAGGAUCCUACAUAUUCUAUGAAGAUCUUAUCGGUUGAACCUCUAUGCCAAGGAUUCAUAUAAUCCCGUAUACCAUUCCCUUUGUCGUUCGGUAUGUUACUUGCCCGAGAUUUGAUCGUCGGUAUCCCUAUACCUAUUUCAAUCUCGUUACCCGCAAGUCUCUUUACUCGUUCCGUAAUACAAGAUCCCAUGACUAACACUUUAGUCACAUUGCUUCCAAGGCUUAUAUGUGAUGUUGUAUUACCGAGUGGGCGCCGAGAUACCUCUCCGUCACACGGAGUGACAAAUCCCAGUCUUGAUCCAUGCUAACUCAAUGGACACCUUCAGAGAUACCUGUAGAGCACCUUUAUAGCCACCCAGUAACGUUGCAACGUUUGAUACACACAAGGUAUUCCUCCGGUGUCAGUGAGUUACAUGAUCUCAUGGUCAUAGGAAUGAAUACUUGACACGCAGAAAACAAUAGCAACAAAAUGACAGGAUCACAUGCUACGCUUAUAGUUUGGGUCUUGUCCAUCACAUCAUUCUGCCAAUGAUGUGAUCGAGUAAUCAAGUAAGAACACUUGUAUAUGGUCAGAAAACCUUAACCAUCCUUGAUCAACUAGCUAGUCAACUAGAGGCUUACUAGGGACAUAGUUUUGUCUAUAUAUCCACACAUGCAUUUAUGUUUUCAUUCAAUACAAUUAUAGCAUGGAUAAUAAACGAUUAUAUUGAUACAAGAAAUAUAAUAAUAACUAUUUUAUUACUGCCUCUAGGGCAUAUUUCCAACAGUCUCCCACUUGCACUAGAGCCAAUAAUCUAGUCUCACAUUGCUAUGUGAUUUACAUUGUAAUGAAUCUAACACCCAUACAGUUCUAGUGUUGAUUAUGCUUCGCUCGUGGAAGAGGUUUAGUUAGCGGAUGUGCAACAUUCAGAUCCGUGUGCACUUUGCAAAUAUUUACGUUCUCUCCUUCGACAUAGUCGCGGAUCAGGUUGAAGUGUCGUUUGAUGUGUCUGGUCUUCUUCUGAAAGCUUGGUUCCUUGGCUAGAGCAAUGGCACCAGUGUUGUCACAGAACAUAGUUAUUGGAUUUAGUGUGCUCGGCACAACUCGAAGAUCCUUCAUGAACUGCUUCAUCCAGACACCCUCUUAGCCGCCUCCGAGGCAGCCAUGUACUCUGCUUCACAUGUAGAAUCUGCUAUGACGCUUUGCUUGGAACCGCACCAGCUUACCGCACCCCCAUUGAGAAUAAAUACGUAUCCGGUUUGAGACUUAGAGUCAUCCGGAUCAGUGUCAAAGCUUGCAUCAACGUAACCCUUUACGACGAGCUCUUCGUCACCUCCAUAAACGAGAAACAUUUCCUUAGUCCUUUUCAAGUACUUCAGAAUAUUCUUGACAGCCGACCAGUGUUCCACUCCUGGAUCACUUUGAAACCUACCUGCCAUACUUAUGGCCAGGUUGACGUCCGAUCUUGUGCAUAGCAUUCCAUACAUGAUAGACCCUAUGGCUGAAGCAUAGGGGACGGUAUGCAUCUUUUCUCUAUCUUCCGCAGUUACUUGACAUUGAGUCUUACUCAACUUUAUACCUUGUAACACCGGCAAGAACCCUUUCUUGGAUUGUUCCAUUUUGAAAUUCUUCAAAACUUCAGCAAUAUGUCAUCCACAUAUAAUAUUAGAAACGCUACAGAGCUCCCACUCACUUUCUUGUAUAUACAAGAUUCUCCAACAACUUGUAUAAACCCAAACGCCUUGAUCACCUCAUCAAAGCGUUUAUCCCAACUCCGAGAUGCUUGCACGAGUCCAUAAAUGGAUCACUGGAGCUUGCAUACUUUGUUAGCAUUCUUUGGAUCAACAAAACCUUCGGGUUGCAUCAUAUACAACUCUUCCUUAAGAAACCCAUUAAGGAACACCGUUUUGACAUCCAUCUGCCAGAUUUCAUAAUCGAAAAACGCAGCUAUUGCUAACAUGAUUCAUACGGAUUUAAGCAUCGCUACCGGUGAGAAUGUCUCAUAGUAGUCAACUCCUUGAACUUGUGAAAAACCAUUUGCCACAAGUCGAGCUUUAUAAACGGUCACAUUACCGUCCGCGUUCGUCUUCUUCUCAAAGAUCCAUUUGUUCUGAAUAGCCUUGCGACCUUCAGGUAAUACUUCCAAAGUCCACACUUUGUUUUCAUACAUAGAUCCUAUCUCAAAUUUCAUGGCCUCUAACCAUUUGUUGGAAUCUGGGCCCACCAUUGGUUCUUCAUAAUUCGCAGGCUCAUUUUUGUCUAACAAUAUGAUAGAUAAGACAGGAUUCUCGUACCACUCAUGAGCAAUACGUGAUCUUGUCGACCUGCGAGGUCCGAUAGUAAUUUGAUUCGAAGCUUCAUGAUCAUCAUCAUUAGCUUCCUCCUCAACUCGUGUUAUCUCGAUAGAGAUUUCCCUAUGCCCUGCUCCACCAUCCUGUUGGAGCAGAGGUUCCACAACAUCAUCAAGUUCUAUCUUCUUCCCACUCAAUUCUUUCGAGAGAAACUCUUUCUCAAGAAAAGCUCCGUUCUGAGCAACAAACACUUUGCCCUCGGAUCUGUGAUAGAAGGUGUACCCAACUGUCUCUUUUGGGUAACCUAUGAAGAGGCACUUUUCCGCUUUGGGUUCCAGCUUUUCAGGGUGAAGCUUUUUGACAUAAGCAUCGCAACCCCAAACUUUAAGAACCGACAACUUUGGCCUCUUGCCAUGCCAUAGCGCAUAUGGUGUCGUCUCAACGGAUUUUGAUGGCGCCCUAUUUAAAGUGAAUACAACUGUCUCUAAUGUAUAACCCUAAAACGAUAAUGGCAAAUCGGUAAGAGACAUCAUAGAUCGCAACAUAUCUAACAAAGCAUGAUUACAAUGUUCGGACACACCAUUACGUUGUGGUGUUCCAGGUGGUGUCAACUGUGAAACGAUUCCACAUUGUCUUAAGUGAGCACCAAACUCGUAACUCAGAUAUUCACCCCCUCGACCAGAUCGUAGGAACUUGAUCUUCUUGCUAUGAUGAUUUUCAACUUCACUCUGAAAUUGUUUGAACUUUUCAAAUGUUUCAGACUUGUGCUUCAUCAAGUAGAUAUAUCCAUACCUACUCAAAUCAUCAGCGAAGGUGAGAAAAUAACGAUAUCCGUCGCGUGCCUCCACACUCAUUGGUCUAUACACAUCAGUAUGUAUGAUUUCCAACAAGUCACUUGCACGCUCCAUUGUUCCAGAGAACGGAGUCUUAGUCAUCUUGCCCAUGAGGCAUGGUUCGCACGUGUCAAGUGAUUCAAAAUCAAGUGACUCCAAAAGCCCAUCAACAUGGAGUUUCUUCAUGCGCUUUACACCAAUAUGACCUAAGCGACAGUGCCACAAAAAGGUGGUGCUAUCAUUGUUAACUCUACAUCUUUUGGUCUCAAAGUUAUGGAUAUGUGUGUCAUCACAAUCAAGAUUCAAUAUGAACAAAACCCUCACAUUGGGUGCAUGACCAUAAAAGAUAUUACUCAUAUAAAUAGACCAACCAUUAUUCUCUGACCUAAAAGAGUAACCGUCUUGCAAUAAACAAGAUCCAAAUAUAAUGUUCAUGCUUAACGCAGGCACUAAAUAACAAUUAUUUAAGUUCAUAACUAAGCCUGAUGGUAACUGAAGUGAGACCGUGCCGACGGCGAUUGCAUCAACCUUGGAACCAUUUCCCACGCGCAUCGUCACUUCAUCCUUCGCCAGCCUUCGUUUAUUCCGCAGUUCCUGCUUCGAGUUGCAAAUGUGAGCAACAGAACCGGUAUCAAAUACCCCGGCUCUACUAUGAGAGUUGGUUAGGUACACAUCAAUAACAUGUAUAUCACAUAUACCUGGUUUCGCGUUGGCCACCUUCUUAUCAGCCAAAUACUUGUGGCAGUUGCGCUUCCAGUGACCCAUCCCCUUGCAAUAAUAGCACUCAGUUUCCGGCUUAGGUCCAGCCUUGGGUUUCUUCGUCGGAGGGGAAACAGUUUUGCCGCUCUUCUUGGAGUUACCCUUCUUGCCUUUGCCGCUUUUCUUGAAACCAGUGGUCUUAUUGACUAUCAACACUUGAUGUUCUUUCCGGAUUUCUGACUCCGCGACUUUCAACACCGCAAAUAACUCGUGGGGUGACUUAUUCAUCCCUUGCAUGUUAUAGUUCAACACAAAGCUCUUGUAGCUAGGUGAUAGUGAUUGAAGAAUUCUGUCAGUGAUAGCCUCUUGCGGGAGUUCAAUCCCCAUCUCAGCUAGAUGGUUUGAGUACCCCAGACAUUUUGAGCACAUGUUCACUGAUAGACGAAUUCUCCUCCAUUUUGCAAGCAUAGAAUUUAUCAGAGGUCUCAUACCUCUCGAUCUGGGCAUUCUUCUCAAAGAUAAACUUCAACUCCUGGAACAUCUCAUUUGCUCCAUGACGUUCAAAGCAUCGUUGAAGUCCUGGUUCUAAGCCAUACAAGACUGCACAUUGAACUACCGAGUAGUCCUCCUUACGCGCUUGCCAAGUGUUCAAAACAUCUUGAUCAGCCGUAGCGGGUGGUUCAUCUCCUAGCACUACAUCAAGGACAUGAUUCUUUUGCCCAGCUUGUAAGAUAAGCCUCAGAUUAUGAGCCCAGUCUACAAAGUUGCUACCAUUAUCUUUCAACUUAGCUUUCUCUAGGAACGUAUUGAAAUUCAGGGUUGCUACUGCGCGAGCCAUUGAUCUACAACAUAAAAAUAUUUCAAAGUUUCCUUAGACUAUGUUCAAGACAAUUAGAGUUUAGAUGAUCAUAUUACUAAUAAACUCCCACUCAAAUAGACAUCCCUCUAGUUAUUUGAGUGUGGCAUGAUCCAAAUUCACUAACUCAAGUCCGAUCAUCACGUGAGUUGAGUGUAGUUUCAGUGGUAAACAUCUCUAUGUUAAUCAUAUCAACCAUACGAUUCAUGCUCGACCUUUCGGUCUCUUGUGUUCCGAGGCCAUGUAUGUACAUGCUAGGCUCGUCAAGUUUAACCCGAGUGUUCCACGUGUGCAACUGUUUUGCACCCAUUGUAUGUGAACGUUGAGUCUAUCACACCCGAUUAUCACGUGGUGUCUCGAAACGACGAAUUGUCGCAAUGGUGCACAGUCGGGGAGAACACAAUUUUAUGUUGAAAUUUUAGUGAGGGGUUGCUACGGCGACAGAAAAAUUCUGUCGUCUCUUGAGCUUGCGUUGGUUUUUCCCUUGAAGAGGAAAGGGCGAUGCAACACAGGAGCAGUAAGUAUUUCCCUCAGUUUAAGAACCAAGGUAUCAGUCCAGUAGGAGAAUCGCGUCAAGUCCAAAGUACCCGCACUAACAUAAAAGAGCUUGCACCCAACGCUAUAAAGGGGUUGUCAACCCCUUCAAGAUUGAUUGCAAAGUGAGAUCCGAAGGCGGAAAGUGCAACGAAGUAAAAGAGUAAGGCUGACAAUAUGGUGUGAAGUAGACCCGGGGGCCAUAGUGUUCACUAGAGGCUUCUCUCAAAAUAGAAAAUAUUAUGGUGGGUGAACAAAUUACUGUCGAGCAAUUUAUAGAACUGCGCAAAGUCAUGAUGAUAUCUAAGGCAAUGAUCAUACAUAUAGGCAUCGCGUCCGAGACAAGUAGACCGAUACUUUCUGCAUCUACUACUAUUACUCCACACAUCAACCGCUAUCCAGCAUGCAUCUAGUGUAUUGAGUUCAUGACGAACAGAGUAACGCCUUAAGCAAGAUGACAUGAUGUAGAGGGAUAAUCUCAAACCAAUGAUGAAAACCCCAUCUUUUUACCCUUGAUAGCAACAACACGAUGCGUGCCUCGCAACCCCUUCUGUCAAUGGGUGAGGUCACCGCAUGGUAUGAACCCAAAACCAAGCACUUCUCCCAUUGCAAGAAUCAUAGAUCAAGUUGGCCAAACAAAACCGAAAACCUGAAGAGAAUUACAAGGGUAUGAAAUCAUGCAUAUAAGAGAUCAGAAGAAACUCAAAUAAGAUACAUAGAUAAUUUGAUCAUAAAUCCACAAUUCAUCGGAUCUCGACAAACACACCACAAAAGAAGAUUACAUCGGAUAGAUCUCCAUGAAGAUCAUGGAGAACUUUGUAUUGAAAAUCCGAGAGAGAGAAGAAGCCAUCUAGCUACUAGCUAUGGACCCGUAGGUCUAUGGUGAACUACUCACGCAUCAUCCGAGAGGUCAUGGUGUUGAUGAAGAAGCCCUUCGUAUCCGAAUCCCCCCUCCGGUAGGGCACCAGAACGUGCCCCAGAUGGGAUCUUGCGGAGACAGAAGCUUGCGGCGGCAGAAAAGUACUUUCGAUGAUCUCCUGAUUUUUUCUGGAAUUUUUGGGAAUAUAUAGGCGAAAGACCUAGGGCAGACGUGGCCUAGGGAGCCCACAAGCCUGGGAGGCGUGGGCCCCCUGGACGCGGGUAGGGGGCUUGUGGGGUCCCUGGUGGCCCCCUGCCUUGGUUCUCAAGUCCCCCGAUCAUCUUCUGUUUCGGAAAAAAUAUUUUUGGAAGUUUCGUUCCGUUUGUAUUCCGUUUAAAAUCCUGCUCUGAAAAGGGUAAAAAACACGGAAAAAACACGAACUGGCACUUGGCACUGAGUUAAUAAGUUAGUCCCAAAAAAGAUAUAAAAGGCAUACAAAACAUCCAAAGUUUGACAAGAUAAUAGCAUGAAACCAUCAAAAAUUAUAGAUACGUUGGAGACGUAUCAAGCAUCCCGAAGCUUAACUCCUGCUCGUCCUCGAGUAGGGAAGUGAUAAACACUGAAUUUUUGAUGUGGAAUGCUACCUAGCAUAAUUGUCCUUUGUAACUUCUUUCAUGUGACAAGAAUGUUCAGUUCCGUAAGAUUCAAAACAAUAAUUUGCUAUUGACAUGAAAACAAUAAUACUUCAAGCAAACUAGCAAGGUAAUCAUGAACUUUCAAAAUAAUAAGGCCAAAGAAAGUUAUCCCUACAAAAUCAUAUAGUCUGGCUAUGCUCCAUCAUCCUCACACAACUAAUUUAACUCAUGCACAACCCCGGUAUUGGCUAUGUAAUUGUUUUCGCACUCUUACUUUCUCAAACCUUUUAUAACUAUCACGCAAUACAUGAGCGUGAGCCAUGGAUAUAUCACUAUAGGUGGAAUAGAGUGUGGUGGUGGUUGUGAGACAAAAAAGGAGGAGAUGGUCACAUUGACUCGGCGUAUCAAAGGGCUAUGGAGAUGCCCAAUAAUAGAUAUCAAUGUGAAUGAGUAGGGAUUGCUAUACAAAGGAUGCACUAGAGCUAUAAGUAUGUGGAAGCUCAAAAGGAGAACUACUGGGUGUGCAUCCAACUUGCUUGCUCACGAAGACCUAGGGCAGUUUUGAGGAAGCCCAUCAUUGGAAUAUACAAGCCAAGUUAUAUAAUAAGGAUUCCCACUAGCAUAUGGUGGUGACGAAACGAGAGGCUCUCAAACAUGAAGAACAUGGUGCUAUUAUGAAGCACAAGUGUGGAAAAAGAUAGUAGCAUUGUCCCUUCUCUCUUUUUCUCUUUGUUUUAUUUGGGUUCUUGGGCCUCUUUUUUUUUAUUUGGGCUCUUUGGGCUCUUUUUUUAUUUCCUCACAUGGGACAAUGCUCCAAUAAUGAUGAUCAUCACACUUUUAUUUACUCACAUCUCAAAGCUGAGAAUGAUGAUGACUCUAUAGAAAAUGCCUCCGGCAGUGUACCGGGAUGUGCAACGAUCUAGAUUGGCGUAUGACGUUGAAACAUCUCGCUAGCUAUCUUACGAUCAUGAAAUGGCAAUAUGAGAGUGACGACACAAGUCAUGAGACGGAACGGUGGGAUUUGCAUGGCUAUAUAUCUUGGAAUGGCUAUGAAAAUACCAUAGUAGGUAGGUAUGGUGGCUGUUUUGAGGAAGGCAUAUGGUGGGUUUGUGUACCGGCGAAAGUUGCGCGGCACUAGAGAGGCUAGCAAUGGUGGAAGGUGAAAGUGCAUCUAUACCAUGGACUCACAUUAGUCAUGAAGAACUCACAUACUGGUUGCGAAAGUUUUUAUUAGUAAUCAAAACAAAGUGCUAAACGCAUACUCCUAGGGGAAGGGUUGGUAGGUUUUAACCAUCGCGCGAUCCCGACCUCAACACAAAGGAUGACAAUCAAUAGAUCAAUUAUGCUCCGACUUCCUAACAUAGCGGUUCACCAUACGUGCAUGCUACGGGAAUCACUAACUUCAACACAAGUAUUUCUAGAUUCACAACACCCUACUAACAUAACUCUUAAUAUUACCAAAUCCACGUCUCAAAACUAAUUGAGAGGAAUCAAGACUUCUCUUUCUACUCAAUGCACACGAAUAUGGAGGUUUUUGUAUCCUCUUUGGGUACCUAUCACCUUGGGACUACUUUCAUAGCACAAGCCAACAACCAAGUCACGCACCGCCGUGCUCUAAAAGAUCUAAGUGAAGCACAAAGAGCAAAAUUAUCUAGCUCAAAAGAUAUAAGUGAAGCACGAUGAGCAUUCUAGCAAAUUCACGAUGAGUGCAUGUCUCUAUCAAAAGGUGUGCAGCAAGGAUGAUUGUGACACAACAAAAAGAAAAUACUCCUAUGAUACAAGACGCUCCAAGCAAAACACAUAUCAUGUGGUGAAUAAAAUUAUAGCUCCAAGUAAUGUUACCGAUGGAUUGAAGACGAAAGAGGGGAUGCCUUCCCGGGGAAUUCCCAAGUUUAGGAUUUUUAGUGUCCUUGAAUUUGGCUUGAGAUGCCUUGGGCAUCCCCAAGCUUGAGCUCUUUCCUCUCUUUAUCCCUUUUUCCAUGAGAACAUCACCCAAAACUUGAAAACUUCACAACACAAAACUUAAACAGAAACUUGUGAUAACAUUAGCACAAGAAAACAAACUACCACCUCUGUAGGUACUGUAGCAAUCUUGAUUUCUAUUUAUAUUGGUGUUAGAGUACUGUAUUCUCACUUUUCCAUGGCUAGUACCCCCCGAUACUAUCCAUAGUUUCAUCAAAACAAGCAACCAACUCAACAAAAACAGAAUCUGUCAAAAACAGACCAGUCUGUAGCAAUCUGUAUACUUCGUAUACUUCUGGUACCUCACAAGUUCUGCAAAAUUACUACUGCCUGGACAAAAGGCAUAUCAACCAGCAGAAAAAAUAAUCAACUCAAAAUCUCUUUCUGCAUAAAAAUGAAAAAUAAUCUCGUGAGCGAUAAGUUUCUGUCUUUUUCCAGCAGGAUCAAACAACCAUCACCAAGACUAGUCAUAAAGGUUUUGCUUGGCUCAAACACAAAAAGAAACACAAAAUACACUAUCAUAACAGAAUUAUGAUGGUGUGGACGCAACAAAACAGAAAGAAAAAGAUAAAUUCAUCGUGUUGCCUCCCAACAAGCGCUAUUGUUUAAUGCCCUUAGCUAGGCAUAAAGCGAUAGAAUCACGUAUCGUCGUCUUUGGUGCUCAAACCAUAAGUAGCCCUCAUCAUGGAUUCAUAAGGCAAUCUUAUUUUCUUUAUAGGAAAAUGAUCCAUGCCCUUCUUUAAAGUAAACUGAAAUCUAAUAUUCCCUUCCUUCAUAUCGAUGAUAGCAUCGAUAGUCCUUAGGAAAGGUCUACCAAGAAUAAUAGGGCAUGUAGGAUUGCAAUCAAUGUCAAGCACAAUGAAAUCCACGGGUACAUAGUUCCUAUUUGCAAAAAUAAGAACAUCAUUGAUCCUUCCCAUGGGUUUCUUGAUAGUAGAAUCCGCAAGAUGCAAAUUAAGAGAACACUCUUCAAUCUCAUUAAAACCCAGAACAUCACAUAAAGACUUUGGAAUCGCGGAAACACUAGCACCCAAAUCACACAAAGCAUUGCAUUCAUAGUUUUUGAUUUUGAUUUUGAUAGUAGGUUCCCACUCAUCAUGAAGCUAUCUAGGGAUAGAAACUUCCAAUUCAAGUUUCUCUUCAAGAGAUUUUAUCAUAGCUUCGACGAUAUGAUCGGUAAAGGCCUUGUUUUGGCUAUAAGCGUGUGUAGAGUUUAGCAUGGAUUGCAUCAAGGAAAUGCAUUCAAUCAAGGAGCAACUAUCAUAAUUGAAUUCCUUGAAAUCCAAAGUAGUAAUUUCAUUACUACUCAAAGUUUUAAUAUCUUGUACUCCACUUUCAAUGCUUUUAGCAUCAAGAUAGAUGGACUCCGAAUCAUUGGGGCGUGUUUCAACCAAAGUGGAUUCAUAUCCAGGCCCAUCAUCAUUAGGUUUGACACAAGAAAACAAAGAUUCGAGGGGAGUCACACCAAGCAGUUUAAGAUUUUUGUGAUUCUUAUCACGAGAACACGCCUUUCUAAGCCAUUCAUGUCUAGCACGAAUUUGGGCGGUUCUUUAUUUGCUCUCACUCAUGGAAACACGCAUAGCUUUCAAAGUUUCAUCCAUAUUGAUCUUGGGAGGAGCAUAUCUAACUUUCAGAGCAUCAAUAUCACUAGACAUUCUAUCAACGCUCCUAGCGAAAUCGUCAAUUUUGAGUAGUUUUUCCUCUAUGGACGCAUUGGAAAUAUUUUGUGAGUUGAUAAACUCUUUGAUAUUACUCACUAGAUCAUAGGGUAAUCUAUUGUAAUUUCCAUGAGUAUUGUUGUAGGAGUUGCCAAAGUUAUUAGAGGAGUUACUAGGAAAAGGCCUUGGAACAUAGUUUCCUCUAAAAGCAUUGUUGUUGCCAAAAUUAUUCCUACCAACAAAAUUAAAGUCCUAGCUAGCGUUGCUACUCUCAAUCAAGGAAGAUAAGGGCAUAUCAUUAGGAUCUAAAGGAGCACUUAUACUAGCAACCAAAUUCAUUAACUCAUCCAUCUUAGCACUCAACGAGUUAAUUUCUUCUAUAGCGUGUACCUUCUUACUAGUAGGUGACCUUUCAGUGUGCCACUGAUAGUAGUUUGUCAUGAUAUUGUCUAGGAGUUUUGUGGCUUCUCUUAACGUGAUUUCCAUGACCGUUCCACCGAAGGCGGAGUCCAAGAUAUUUCUAGCAGCGAAAUUCAAGCGAGCGUAGAAGAUUUGUAUAAUAAUCCAAAGACUCAAGCCAUGAGCGGGACAAUUUCUAAUCAUCAAUUUCAUCCUCUCCCAAGAUUGUGCAACAUGUUCAUGAUCAAGUUGCUUAAAAUUUAUGAUAUCAUUACAGAGAGAGAUAAUCUUAGCCGCCGGAAAAUACUUGGAUAUAUAAGCAUCUUUGCACUAAUUCCAAGAAUCAAUACUAUUUUUGGGCAAAGAUGAAAACCAAGUUUUUGCUCGAUCUCGCAACGAGAAAGGAAAAAGCUUCAAUUUAAUCACAUCAUUAUCCACAUCUUUCUUCUUUUGCAUAUCGCAAAGCUCAAUGAAGGUAUUAAGAUGGGAUGCGACAUCUUCACUAGGAAGGCCAGAGAAUUUCUCUUUCAUAACAAGAUUCAACAAAGCGGCAUUGAUUUCGUAUGACUCCGCACUAGUGGCGAGAGCAAUCGGAGUACUAAUAAAAUCAUUAUUAUUAGUAUUCGAGAAGUCACAAAGUUUGGUGUUUUCAGUCAUGGUGACUUCAACAAGCAAGCAAGCACACAAGAGAACAAAGAGCAAGCGAGAGAAAAGGGCGAACGAAAAAGGCAAACGAAGAAAAGGGCAAACGAAGAAAAGGGCAAAUAUUUUUUUUGUAUUGUUUUUGUUUUUUUUCAGAAGUGGGGGAGAGGAAAACGAGAGGAAAAAAGUAAAUGCAAGAGAUGAGUUUGCGACACUUACUUGGAUGAGUUCUUGACUUGAUCCUCCGCGGCAACGACACCAGAAAUCCUUCUACUACGGUGACAGAAACCUUCUAUCGUCUCUUGAGCUUGCGUUGGUUUUUCCCUUGAAGAGGAAAGGGCGAUGCAGCACACGAGCAAUAAGUAUUUACCUCAGUUUGAGAACCAAGGUAUCAAUCCAGUAGGAGAAUCGCGUCAAGUCCAAAGUACCUGCACAAACACAAAAGAGCUUGCACCCAACGCUAUAAAGGGGUUGUCAAUCCCUUCAAGAUUGAAUGCAAGGUGAGAUCUGAAGGCGGAAAGUGCAACAAAGUAAAAGAGUAAGGCUGAAAAUAUGGUGUGAAGUAGACCCGGGGGCCAUAGUGUUCACUAGAGGCUUCUCUCAAAAUAGCAAAUAUUACGGUGGGUGGACAAAUUACCGUCGAGCAAUUGAUAGAACCGCGCAAUGUCAUGACGAUAUCUAAGGCAAUGAUCAUACAUAUAGGCAUCACAUCCGAGACAAGUAGACCGAUACUUUAUGCAUCUACUACUAUUAUUCCACACAUCGACCACUAUCGAGCAUGCAUCUAGUGUAUUGAGUUCAUGACGAACAGAGUAACGCCUUAAGCAAGAUGGCAUGAUGUAGAGGGAUAAUCUCAAACCAAUGAUGAAAACCCCAUCUUUUUACCCUUGAUGGCAACAACACGAUGCGUGCCUCGCUACCCCUUCUGUCAAUGGGUGAGGUCACCGCACGGUAUGAAUUUGGGUUCUCCUUUUGAGCUUUCACAUACUUAUAGCUCUAGUGCAUCUCUUGUAUGGCAAUCCCUACUCAUUCACAUUGAUAUCUAUUAAUGGGCAUCUCCAUAGCCUAUUGAUACGCCGAGUCAAUGUGACUAUCUCCUCCUUUUUGUCUCACAACCACCACCACACUCUAUUCCACCGAUAGUGCUAUAUCCAUGGCUCGUGCUCAUGUAUUGCAUGAUAGUUAUAAAAAGUUUGAGAAAGUAAGAGUGUGAAAACAAUUACUUGGCCAAUACCGGGAUUGUGCAUGAUUUACAUUAGUUGUGUGAGGAUGAUGGAGCAUAGCCAGACUAUAUGAUUUUGUAGGGAUAACUUUCUUUGGCCUUGUUAUUUUGAAAGUUCAUGAUUACUUUCCUAGUUUGCUUAAAGUAUUACUGUUUUCAUGUCAAUAGCAAACUAUUGUUUCGAAUCUUACGGAUCUGAACAUUCAUGUCACGUGAAAUAAGUUGCAAAGGACAACUAUGCUAGGUAGCAUUCCACAUCAAAAUUUCGUUCUUUAUCACUUCCCUACUCGAGGACGAGCAGGAGUUAAGCUUGGGGAUGCUUGAUACGUCUCCAACGUAUCUAUAAUUUUUGAUUGUUUCAUGCUAUUAUCUUGUCAAACUUUGGAUGUUUUGCAUGACUUUUAGAUAUUUUUUGGGACUAACUUAUUAACUCAGUGCCAAGUGCGAGUUCUUGUUUUUUCCAUGUUUUUGACCCCUUUCAGAGGAGAUUUUGAAAUGGAGUCCAAACGGAAGAAAAUCCCCGAAAAUAUUUUUUCCGGAACGGAAGAAGAUCGGGAAGCUUGAGAGCCAAGGUAGGGGAGCCUCAGGAGCCCCACAAGCCACCACCCCGCGGCCAGGGGGGUAGGCCGCGGCCCACAGGCUUGUGGCCCUCCUGAGCGCCCCCUGACCUAGGGGUUGCGCCUAUAAAUUCCCUAAAAAUCCCAAAAAACUUAGGAGAUCAUCGAAAUUACUUUUCUGCCGCCGCAAGCUUCUGUCUCCAUAAGAUCCCAUCUGGGGCAUGUUCUGGUGCCCUGCCAGAGGGGGGAUUCGGACACGGAGGGCUUCUUCAUCCACACCAUGACCUCUCCGAUGAUGCGUGAGUAGUUCACCAUAGACCUACGGGUCCAUAGCUAGUUGGUAGAUGGCUUAUUCUCUCUCUUGGAUCUUCAAUACAAAGUUCUCCAUGAUCUUCAUGGAGAUCUAUGCGAUGUAAUCUUAUUUUGCGGUGUGUUUGUCGAGAUCCGAUGAAUUGUGGAUUUAUGAUCAGAUUAUCUAUGAAUAUUAUUUGAGUUUCUUCUGAUCUCUCUUAUGCAUGAUUUAAUAUCCUUGUAAUUCUCUUCGAGUUGUGGGUUUUGUCCGGCCAACUAGAUCUAUGAUUAUUGCAAUGGGAGAAGUGCUUGGUUUUGGGUUCAUACCGUGUGGUGACCUCACCUAGUGACAGAAGGGGUAGUGAGGCACGCAUCGUGUUAUUGCCAUCAAGGGUAAAAAGAUGGGGUUUUCAUCAUUGGUUUGAGAUUAUCCCUCUACAUCAUGUCAUCUUGCUUAAGGCGUUACUCUCUUCGUCAUGAACUCAAUACACUAGUUGCAUGCUGGAUAGCGGUCGACGUGUGGAGUAAUAGUAGUAGAUGCAGAAAGUAUCGGUCUACUUGUCUUGGACGUGAUGCCUAUAUGGAUGAUUAUUGCCUUAGAUAUCGUCAUGACUUUGCGCGGUUCUAUCAAUUGCCUGACAUUAAUUUGUUCACCCACCGUGAUAUUUGCUAUUAUGAGAGAAGCCUCUAGUGAACACUAUGAGCCCCACGGUCUACUCCACACCAUAUUUUCAGCCUUACACUUUUUACUUUGUUGCACUUUCUACCUUUAGAUCUCACUUUGUAAACAAUCUUGAAGGGAUUGACAACCCCUUUGAAGCGUUGGGUGCAAGAUUGUUUGUGUUUGUGCUGGUACUCUGGACUUGACGAGGCCCUCCUUCUGGAUCGAUACCUUGGUUCUCAAACUGAGGGAAAUACUUACUGCUCCUGUGCUGCAUCACCCUUUCCUCUUCAAGGAAAAAACCGACGCAAACCAUUGAAGUAACAAGAAGAAUUCCUAGCGCCAAGGAAGGACUUUUGUUGCCGCAACACCCUCCGUAUCCGAAUACCCCCUCCGGCAGGGCACCGGAACGUGCCCCAGAUGGGAUCUUGCGGAGACAGAAGCUUGCGACGGCGGAAAAGUAGUUUCGAUGAUCUCCUGAUUUUUUCUGGAAUUUUUGGGAAUAUAUAGGUGAAAGACCUAGGGCAGACGUGGCCCAGGGAGCCCACAAGCCUGGAAGGUGCGCCCCCCUUGCUGCGGCUAGGGGGCUUGUGGGGUCCCCGGUGGCCCCCUGCCUUGGUUCUCAAGUCCCCCGAUCGUCUUCUGUUUUGGAAAAAAUCUUUUACGAAGUUUCGUUCCGUUUGGAAUCCGUUUAAAAUCCUCCUCUGAAAAGGGUCAAAAACACGGAAAAACAGGAACUGUCACUUGGCACUGAGUUAAUAAGUUAGUCCCCAAAAAGAUAUAAAAGGCAUACAAAACAUGCAAAGUUUGACAAGAUAAUAGCAUGAAACCAUAAAAAAUUAUAGAUACGUUGGAGACGUAUUAGGGGUCACCUUAUAAUGCUACCGCCGUUCUAAGCAAGAUAACGUGCAUAAAAGGAUUAACAUCGCAUGCAAUUCAUAAGUGACAUCAUAUGGCCAUGAUCUUGUGCUUCUUGAUCUCCAUUACCAAAUCACCAGCAUGAUCUUCGUCGUCACCGGCGCCACACCAUGAUCUCCAUCAUCGUGCCACCAUCGAGGUUGUCGUGCUAUCUAUGCUAUCACUACUAAAGCUACAACCUAGCAAUAUAGUAUACACAUUUGCAAGCACAAACGUUAGUUUAACGACAACCCUAUGGCUCUUGUGGGCUGCUGUAGCAUCAACGUGCACGUUGAUAUUUAACUAUUACAACAUGAUCAUCUCAUACAUCCAAUAUAUCACAUCAUGUCUUUGGCCAUAUCACAUCACAUGCAUACCCUGCAAAAACAAGUUAGACGUCCUCUAAUUUGUUCUUGCAUGUUUUACGUGGAUGCUAUGGGUAUCUAGUAUGAUCGCAUCUUACUUACACAAAACCACAACGGUGAUGUGCAAAUUGCUAUUUAACCUAUCUCCAAGGACCACCUCGGUCAAAUCCGAUUCAACUAAAGUUGAAGAAACAAAUACCCGCCAGUCAUCUUUAUGCAACAAGUUGCAUGUUAGUUGAUGAAACCGGUCUCUCGUAAGCGUACGAGUAAGGUUGGUCCAGGCCGCUUCAAUCCAACAAUACCGCUGAAUCGAGAAAAGACUAAGGAGGGAAGAAAAUCGAACAUCAACGCCCACAAAAACUUUUGUGUUCUACUCGAGAUUACAUCGACGCAUGAACCUAGCUCAUGAUGCAACUGGUGGGAAACGUUGCAUGGGAAACAAACAAUUUCCUACACACACGAAGACCUAUCAUGGUGAUGUUCAUCUACGAGAGGGAGAUCGAAUCCACAUACGCUUGUAGAUCGCUAAGCGGGAAUCGUUCAUAAACGCGGUUGAUGUAGUGGAAUAGCUUCGUGAUUCAAAUCGCCGUCAUCCCACAAUCCGUCCCGAUCUAGCACCGAAUGGACGACACCUCCGCGUUCAACACACGUACAACUCGAUGAUGAUCUCUGCCUUCUUGAUCCAUCAAGAGAGACAGGGAAGUAGAUGAGUUCUCCGGCAGCGUGACAACAUGCCGGUGAUGGUGAUGAUCUAUUCCUGCAGGGCUCCGCCCGAGCUCCGUAGAAAACCGAUCUAGAGGAAGAACUACGAAGUAGAGGUUUAGGGUUGCACGUGGCAAAGUUGUGUCUCAAAAACCCUAAAAUCUAUAUUAUAUAUAGGAGGAGGGGAGGGGCUAGCCUUGAGGAUCAAGGGAGCCCCAAGGGCAUCGGCCGAAGGGAGGAGGAGGGACUCCCACUCCAAUUCAGUUUGGAAGGUGGAGUCCCUUCCUUCCUUCCUUCCCACCUCCUUUUUUUCUCCUUUGAUUUUCCCUUGGCCGAAAUAGCCCUAUUGGGCUGGCCUCACCAGCCCACCAAGGGAUGGUGCGCCACCGAUGGUCCUAUUAGGUUCUCUCCUGGGUGGGUGGCCCCUCCCGGUGAAAACCCGAAACCCAUUCGUCACUCCCGGUACACUGCCGGUAAUGCCCGAAAUCUUCCCGGAAGCCAAAUGAAACAAUCCUAUAUAUCAAUCUUCGUUUCCGAACCAUUCUGGAAACACUCGUGACGUCCAUGAUCUCAUCCGGGACUCCGAACAAAACUUCGGUCACCAACACCUAUAACUCAACUAUACCGAAACGUCACCGAACCUUAAGUGUGCACACUCUGCGGGUUCGAGAACUAUGCAGACAUGACCUGAGACACUCCUUGGUCAAUAUCCAAUAGCGGGACCUAGAUGUCCAUAUUGGAUCCUACAUAUUCUACGAAGAUAUUAUCGGUUGAACCUCUGUGCCAAGGAUUCAUAUAAUCCCGUAUACCAUUCCCUUUGUCCUUCGGUAUGUUACUUGCCCGAGAUUUGAUCAUCGGUAUCCCUAUAACUAUUUCAAUCCUGUUACCGACAAGUCACUUUACUCGUUCCAUAAUACAAUAUCCGUGACUAACAUAGUCACAUUUAUUGCAAGGCUUAUAUGUGAUGUUGUAUUAUCGAGUGGGCCCCGAGAUACCUCUCCGUCACACGGAGUGACAAAUCCCAAUCUUGAUCCAUGCUAACUCAACGGACACCUUCGGAGAUACCUGUAGAGCACCUUUAUAGUCACCCAGUAACGUUGCGACAUUUUAUACACACAAGGUAUUCCUCCGGUGUCAGUGAGUUACAUGAUCUCAUGGUCAUAGGAAUGAAUACUUGACACACAGAAAACAAUAGCAACAAAAUGACACAAUCACAUGCUACGUUUAUAGUUUGGGUCUUGUCCAUCACAUCAUUCUCCCAUUGAUGUGAUCCAGUCAUCAAGUAACAACAUGUCACGCCUAAGAUGCGACCCUAUCCUCAAUUUGGCACGAGGGCCUCGUCAGGGAUAGAAGCGCAUCUCGUCGUGUCGCAAGAAUGGAUAUCUUUACAAGUACAUGUACUGAAAAGAAGAGAUAUAUGGAAUUGGCUUACACUCGCCACAAGCUACAUCAGAGUCACAUCAGUACAUUACAUAAUCAUCAAGAGUAAGAGCAGGGUCCGACUAUGGACAAAAAUAAACGACAAAAGAAGAACGACGUCCAUCCUUGCUAUCCCAGUCUGCCGGUCUGGAACCCAUCCUAGAUCGUUUAUGAAGAAGAAGAAGAAGCAACUCCAAAUGAACAAUCAACGCGCUCGCGUCAAGUAACCUUUACCUGUACCUGCAACUGGUGUUGUAGUAAUCUGUGAGCCACAGGGGACUCAGCAAUCUCAUUUCCAAAGGUAUCAAGACUAGCAAAGCUUAAUGGGUGAGGUAUGGUUAAGUGGUGAGGUUGCAACAUCGGCUAAGCAUAUAUUUGGUGGCUAAACUUACGAGUACCAGAAUUAGAGGGGGAAGAUCUACGCAUAACGGACGUGAACUAUUGAUGAUCAAAUGAAUGAUCCUGAACACCUACUACGUCAGACAUGUUGGAAAUAUGCCCUAGAGGCAGUAAUAAUUAGUUAUUAUUAUAUUUCUUUGUUCAUGAUCAUCGUUUAUUAUCCAUGCUAUAAUUGUAUUGAUUGGAAACACAAUACUUGUGUGGAUACAUAGACAAAACACUGUCCCUAGUAAGCCUCUAGUUGACUAGCUCGUUGAUCAAAGAUGGUCAAGGUUUCCUGGCCAUAGGCAAGUGUUGUUACUUGAUAACGGUAUCACAUCAUUAGGAGAAUCAUGUGANGUUAUAUGGUUGGUUACCGAAUGUUGUUCGGAGUCCCGGAUGAGAUCACGGACGUCACAAGGGUUUCGGAAUGGUCCGGAAACGAAUAUUGAUAUAUAGGAUGACUUCAUUUGGUUACCGGAAGGUUUUCGUGCAUUACCGGAAAAGUUUCGGGCUCAUCGGUAGUGCACUGGGAGUGCCGGGAGGGGUGCCGGGGACCAUCAGGAGGGGUGUCAUGCCCCAAGGGGUCUCAUGGGCUAUGGGAAGAGAUAAACCAGCCCCUAGUGGGCUGGAAUAUGUUCCCACUAAGGCCCAUAAGGUUUGAGAAGGAAAAAACACAAGGUGGAAAGAGUUUCCAAGUGGGAAGGUGGAAUCCUACUCCAAGUAGGAUUGGAGUAGGACUCCUCCACCUCCAAUUUCGGCCAAACCUUUAGGUUUUGAGGCUGCCUCCUCCCCUCCCUCCCUCCUAUAUAUAGUGGGGUUUUAGGGCUUAUUUGAGAUAACUUUUGCCACGGCAGCCCGACCACAUACCUCCAUGGUUUUACCUCUAGAUCGCGUUUCUGCGGAGCUCGGGCGGAGCCCUGCUGAGAUUAGAUCACCACCAACCUCCGGAGCGCCGUCACUCUGCCGGAGAACUCAUCUACCUCUCCGUCUCUCUUGCUGGAUCAAGAAGGCCGAGAUCAUCGUCAAGCUGUACGUGUGCUGAACGCGGAGGUGCCGUCCGUUCGGCACUAGAUGGGAGCGGAUCGUGUGACGGAUCGUGGGACGGUUCGUGGGACGGUUCGCGGGGCGGAUUGAGGGACGUGAGGACGUUCCACUACAUCAACCGCGUUUCUUAACGCUUCUGCUGUGCGAUCUACAAGGGUACGUAGAUCGGAAAUCCCCUCUCGUAGAUGGACAUCACCAUGAUAGGUCUUCGUGCGCGUAGGAAUUUUUUUGUUUCCCAUGCGAUGUUCCCCAACAGUGGCAUCAUGAGCUAGGUUCAUGCGUAGAUGUCUUCUUGAGUAGAACACAAAAGUUUUUGUGGGUGGUGAUGUGCGUUUUGCUGCCCUCCUUAGUCUUUUCUUGAUUCCGCGGUAUUGUUGGAUCGAAGCGGCUCGGGCCGACAUUACUCGUACGCUUACGAGAAACUGGUUUCAUCGCUACGAGUAACUCCGUUGCUCAAAGAUGACCGGCGAGUGUCGGUUUCUCCAACUUUAGUUGAAUUGGAUUUGACCGAGGAGGUCCUUGGAUGAGGUUAAAUAGCAACUCAUAUAUCUCCGUUGUGGUGUUUGCAUAAGUAAGAUGCGAUCCUGCUAGAUACCCAUGGUCACCACGUAAAACAUGCAACAACAAUUAGAGGACGUCUAACUUGUUUUUGCAGGGUAUGCUUGUGAUGUGGUAUGGCCAACGAUGUGAUGUGAUAUAUUGGAUGUAUGAGAUGAUCAUGUUGUAAUAGUUAAUAUCGACUUGCACGUCGAUGGUAUGGCAACCGGCAGGAGCCAUAGGGUUGUCUUUAAACUAACGUUUGUGCUUGCAGAUGCGUUUACUAUAUUGCUAGGACGUAGCUUUAGUAGUAAUAGCAUGAGUAGCACGAAAAACCCGAUGGCGACACGUUGAUGGAGAUCAUGAUGAUCGAGAUCAUGGUGUGACGCUGGUGACAAGAAGAUCGUGCCGGUGCUUUGGUGAUGGAGAUCAAGAAGCACAUGAUGAUGGCCAUAUCAUGUCACUUAUGAAUUGCAUGUGAUGUUAAUCCUUUAUGCACCUUAUCUUGCUUAGAACGACGGUAGCAUUAUGAGGUGAUCUCUCACUAAAAUUUCAAGACGAAAUUGUGUUCUCCCCGACUGUGCACCGUUGCCACAGUUCUUCAUUUCGAGACACCACGUGAUGAUCGGGUGUGAUAGACUCAACGUUCACAUACAACGGGUGCAAAACAGUUGCACACGCGGAACACUCGGGUUAAGCUUGACGAGCCUAGCAUGUGCAGACAUGGCCUCGGAACACAUGAGACCGAAAGGUCGAGCAUGAAUCCUAUAGUUGAUAUGAUUAGCAUAGAGAUGCUUACCACUGAAACUAUUCUCGACUCACGUGAUGAUCGGACUUGAGAUAGUGGAUUUGGAUCAUGUACCACUCAAAUGACUAGAGAGAUGUACUUUUUGAGUGGGAGUUCUUAAGUAAUAUGAUUAAUUGAACUAAUUGUCAUGAAUAUAGUCUAAUGGUCUUUGCGAAUUACGAUGUAGCUUGCGCUAUAGCUCUACUGUUUUUAUAUGUUCCUAGAGAAAAUUUAGUUGAAAGUUGAUAGUAGCAAACUUUGCAGACUGAGUCUGUAAAGCCGAGGAUUGUCCUCGUUGCUGCGCAGAAGGCUUAUGUCCUUAAUGCACCACUCGGUGUGCUGCACCUCGAGCAUCGUCUGUAGAUGUUGUGAACAUCCGACAUACACGUUUCUGAUGACUACACGAUAGUUUAGUACAAAAUACUUAAUGGCUUAGAAGCAAGGCGCCGAAGACGUUUUGAAACGUCAAGGAACAUAAGAGAUGUUCUAAAGAGAUGAAAUUGUGAUUUCAUGCUUGUUCCCUUGUUAAGAGGUACGAGACCUCCGACAAGAUUCUUUGUUCACAAAGUAAAGGAGAAAAGCUCAAUCGUUGAGCGUGUGCUCAGAUUGUCUGAGUACGACAAUCGCUGGAAUCAAGUGGGAGUUAAUCUUCCAGAUGAGAUAGUGAUAGUUCUCCAAAGUCACUGCCACCAAGCUGUGAGAGCUUCAUGAUGAACUAUAGCAUAUCAAGGAUAGAUACAAUGAUCUUUGAGUGAUUCGCGAUGUUUGACACUGCGAAAGUAGAAAUCAAGAAGGAGCAUCAAUAGUUGAUGGUUAGUGAAACCACUAAGUUUCGAGAAAGGCAAGGGCUAGAAGGGAUACUUCGUGAAACGGCAAAACAGUUGCUGCACUAAUGAAGAGACCCAAGAUUAAACCCAAACCUGAGACUAAGUGCUUCUGUAAUGAGGGGAACAGUCACUGAGGCGGAGCAACUCUAGAUACUUGGUAGAUAAGUAGGCUGGCAAAAGUCGAAAGAAGUAUAUUUGAUAUACAUGAUGUGUACUUUACUAGUACUCCUAGUAGCAUGAGGGUAUUGGAUACCGGUUCGGUUGCUAAGUGAUUAAUAACACGAAAUGAUAGCUACGGCAUAAACGGAGACUAGCUAAAGGCGAGGUGACGAUACGUGUUGGAAGUGUUUUCAAGAUUGAUAUGAUCAAAACGUUGCACGCUCCCUCUACCAUCGGGAUUGGUGUUAAAACUAAAUAAUUGUUAUUUGGUGCUUGCGUUAAGCAUGAACAUGAUUGGAUCGUGUUUAUUGCAAUAGAUUAUUCAUUUAAAGAGAAUAAUGGUUACUCUAUUUGCUUGAAUAAUCACCUUCAAUGGUUUAUUGAAUCUCGAUCGUAGUGUUACACAUGUUCAUGAUAUUGGUGCCAAAAGAUACGAGGUAAUGAUGAUAGUACCACUUACUUGUGGCACUGCCGCUUGAGUCAUGUUGGUAUAAAUUGCAUGAAGAGGCUCCAUGCUGAUGGAUCUUUAUACUCACUUGAUUUUGAAUCACUAGUGAGAUCCAAAUCAUACCACAUGAGCAAGGCCUUGUUUUCAUUGAGAUGAAACAAGAUAGUAACUUGUUGGAAGUGAUACAUUUUGAUGUAUGCAGUCCAAUGGGUGCUGAGGCACGCAGUGGAUAUCAUUAUGUUCUUACUUCAAUGACGAUUUGAGCAGAUACAAGAGUAUUUACUUAAUGAAUCACAAGUCUGAAAUAUUAAAAAGUUCAAUUCUGUUUCGGAGUGAAGUUCGUCGUAACAAGAGGAUAAACUGCCUACGAUAUGAUCAUAGAAAUGAAUAUCUGAGUUACGAGUUUUGGUACGCAGUUAAGACAAUGUGGAAAUUGUUUCGCAGUUCAUGCCACCUGGAACAUCAUAGUGUGGUGAUGUGUCUGAACGUCAUAGCCACACACUAUUUGGUAUGGUGCAUGCUAUGAUGUCUCUUAUCGAAUUACCACUAUCGUUUAUGGGUUAUGCAUUAGAGACAACCGCAUUCACUUUAAAUAGGGCACCGCGUAUUUCCAUUGAGAUGACACAGUAUAGACUGAGGUUUAGGGAAAUCUAAAUUGUCGUUUCUUGAAAGUUUGGGGCUUUGACACUUAUGUGAAAAAGUUUCAGUCUGAUAAGCUCGAACCCAAAGUGGAUAAAUGCAUCUUCAUAAGAUAUCCAAAACAUUUGGGUACAUCUCCUAUCUCAGAUCCGAAAGCAAAGUGUUUGUUUCUAGAAACGGAUCCUUUCUCGAGGAAAGGUUUCUCUCGAAAGAAUUGAGUGGGAGGGUGGUAGAACUUGAUGAGGUUAUUGAACCAUCACUUCGACUAGUGUGUAGCAGGGCGCAGGAAGUUGUUCCUGUGGCGCCUACACCAAUUGAAGUGAAAGCUGAUGAUGGUGAUCAUCGAGCAUCGGAUCAAGUAACUACAAGCCUCGUAGGUUGACAAUGCGCGUACUACUGCAGAGUGGUACGGUAACCCUGUCUUGGAGGUCAUAUUGUUGAGCAACAGUGAACCUACGAGUUAUGGAGAAAGCAAUGGUGGACCCGAAUUCCGACAAAUGGCUGGAAGCCAUGAAAUCCGAGAGAGGAUCCAUGUAUGAAAACAAAGUGUAGACUUUGGAAGAACUACUUGAUGGUCAUAGGACUGUUGAGUAAAGAUGGAUCUUUGAAAGGAAGACAAACGACGAUGGUGAUAAGUCACUAUUAAGAAAAGCUCGACUUGUCGCAAAGAUGUUUUCGACAUGAUCAAACAGUUGACUAUGGUGAGACUUUCUCACUCGUAGCGAUGCUAAAAGUCUGUUAGAAUUAUGUUAGUAGUUGUUGCAUUAUUUUUGAAAUAUUGCACAUAGGAUGUCAAAACAUUGUUUCCUCGACGAUUUCCUUGAGCAAAAAUUGUAUGUGAUACAACCAGAAGGUUUUGUCGAUCCUAAAGAUACUAACAAGUAUGCAAGCUCCAGCGAUCCUUCAAUGGACUGGUGCAAGCAUCUCGGAGUUGGAAUAUGCACUUUGAUGAGAUGAUCAAAGAUUUUGGGUUCGUACAAGGUUUGUGAGAAACUUGUAUUUCCAAAGAAGUGAGUGGGAGCACUAUAGAAUUUCUGAUAAGUAUAUGUGGUUGACAUAUUGUUGAUCAGAAAUAAUGUAGAAUUUCUAUGAAGCAUAAAAGGUUGUUUGAAAGGAGUUUUUCAAAGGAAUACCUGGAUUGAGCUACUUGAACGUUGAGCAUCAAGAUCUAUGGAGAUAGAUCAAAACGCUUAAUAGAAGUUUCAACAAGAUGCAUGCCUUGACAAGUUUUUGAAGGAAUUCGAAAUAGAUCAGCAAAGAAGGAGUUCUUGACUGUGUUGUAAGGUGUGAAUUUGAGUAAGACUCAAAACCCGACCACGGCAUAAUAAAGAGAAUAGACAAAGGUCGUCUUCUAUGCUUUAGACGUAGACUCUAAAGUAUGCCAUGCUGGGUACCGCACCUGAUGUGUGCCUUGACUCAAAGUCUGUUGAGAGGUACAGAGAGUGAUCCAUGAUUGAAUCGCUAGCAGCGGUCAAAAUUUAUCCUUAGUAACUGAUGGACUAAGGAAUUUUUCUCGAUUAUGGAGGUGGUUAAAGAGUUCGUCGUAAAGGGUUACGUCGAUGCAAGCUUUGACACUAAUCCGAAUAACUAUGAGUAGUAAAACGGAUUCGUAUAGUAGAGUAGAUGUUUGGAGUAUUUCUGAAUAGCACAUAGUAGCAGCAUCUAUAAGAUGACAUAGAGAUUUGUAAAGAACACACGGAUCUGAAAAUUUCAGAACCGUUGAGUAAAGCCUCUCUCACGAGCAAGACGUGAUCAGACCCCAUAACUAUAUGGGUGUUGGAUUCGUUGGAAUCACAUGGUGAUGUGAACUAGAUUAUUGACUCUAGUGCAAGUGGGAGACUGUUGGAAAUAUGCCCUAGAGGCAGUAAUAAUUAGUUAUUAUUAUAUUUAUUUGUUCAUGAUAAUCGUUUAUUAUCCAUGCUAUAAUUGUAUUUAUUGGAAACACAAUACUUCUGUGGAUACAUAGACAAAACACUGUCCCUAGUAAGCCUCUAGUUGACUAGCUCAUUGAUCAAAGAUGGUCAAGGUUUCCUGGCCAUAGGCAAGUGUUGUUACUUGAUAACGGGAUCACAUAAUUAGGAGAAUCAUGUGANNNNNNNNNNNNNNNNNNNNNNNNNNNNNNNNNNNNNNNNNNNNNNNNNNNNNNNNNNNNNNNNNNNNNNNNNNNNNNNNNNNNNNNNNNNNNNNNNNNNGAUCUAUCAUGUAAUCGAGUUAGUUUUGAUGGGGAUUGAUCCCUAGUAUCCACUAUGUUCUGAGAUUGAUGUUGCUACUAUUUUCCCAUGCUUAAUGCUUGUCACUAGGGCCCGAGUGCCAUGAUUUCAGAUCUGAAAUUAUAUGUUGCCACCAAUAUAUGUGUGUUUUAGAUCCGAUCUUGCAAGUUGUAGUUACCUACUAUGUGUUAUGAUCCGGCAACCCCGGAGUGACAAUAACCGGAACCACUCCCGAUGAUGACCAUAGUUUGAGGAGUUCAUGUGUUCACCAAGUGCUAAUGCGUUGGUCCGGUUUUUUAUUAAAAGGAGAACCUUAAUAUCCCGCAGUUUCCUUUUGGACCCCGCUGCCACGGGAGGGAUGGACAAUAGAUGUCAUGCAAGUUCUUUUCCCUAAGCACGUAUGACGACACACGGAAUGUAUGCCUACAACACAUUGAGGAGCUAGCCACAUAUCUCUCCGUGUUAUAGUUGUUGCAUGAUGAAUAUCAACCAAACAAAUCACCGACCCAUUGCCUACAAGUUUGUCCUACUGCUCUUACUUGUCUUGCUCUGUUGCUGCUGCUACUACUGUUGCUACUGCUGUUACUUGUUUUGCUCUCNNNNNNNNNNNNNNNNNNNNNNNNNNNNNNNNNNNNNNNNNNNNNNNNNNNNNNNNNNNNNNNNNNNNNNNNNNNNNNNNNNNNNNNNNNNNNNNNNNNNUGUUCUUGAUCCUAUCUUGCAAGUUGUAGUCACCUACUAUGUGUUAUGACCCGGCAACCCCGGAGUGACAAUAGCCGGAACCACUCCCAGGGAUGACCAUAGUAUGAGGAGUUCAUGUAUUCACUAUGUGAUAAUGCUUUGUUCCGGUUCUCUAUUAAAAGGAGAACCUUAAUAUCCCUUAGUUUCCAUUAGGAUCCCGCUGCCAUGGGAGGGAUGGACAAUAGUUGUCAUGCAAGUUCUUUUCCAUAAGCACGUAUGACUAUAUACGAAAUACAUGCCUACGUUACAUUGAUGAACUGGAGCUAGUUACAUAUCUCCCCAUGUUAUAAUUGUUACAUGAUCAAUGUCAUCCCGCAUAAUUAUCCAUCACCGAUCCAAUGCCUACGAGUUUUUCCUACUGGUCCUUGCUACGUUACUUUGUUGCUACUGCUGUCACUGCUGCUACUGUUACCACUACUGAUGUCACUGUUGCUACUGUUACCAUUGCUACCGUUGCUAUCACACUACUUUGUUACUGAAACUUUGCUGCACAUACUAAGUCUUUCAGGUGUGGUUGAAUUGACAACUCAACUGCUAAUACUCGAUAAUAUUCUUUGGCUUCCCCUUGUGUCGAAUCAACAAAUUUGGGUUGAAUACUCUACCCUCGAAAACUAUUGCGAUCCCCUAUACUUGUGGGUUAUCAGGGCCCACCUGCAUGGGGGGCCACAAGGAUGUGGGUAGUGGGGAAAAUCCCCACACCCUUGGUCUAGGCACAUGAAUAUUCCCCCUUAAAAGGAAUAGGUGGUGGGUAACGUAGCAUAAAUUCAAAAUUUUCCUACGCAUGUUCAGAUCUUCCUAUGGAGAGACCAGCAACGAGAGAGGGAUAAGAGCAUCUUCGUACCUUUGAAGAUCGCUAAGCGGAAGCGUUGCUAGAACGCGGUUGAUGGAGUCGUACUCGCGGCGAUUCCGAUCUAGUGUCGAACAACGACACCUCCGCGUUCAACACACGUGCAGCCCGGUGACGUCUCCCGCACCUUGAUCCAGCAAGGAGGAGGGAGAGGUUGGGGAAGAAGUCCAGCAACACGACGGCGUGGUGUCGGUGGAGAGACGAGGUCUCCCGGCAGGGCUUCGCCAAGCACCAGCGGAGAGGAGGAGGGAGNNNNNNNNNNNNNNNNNNNNNNNNNNNNNNNNNNNNNNNNNNNNNNNNNNNNNNNNNNNNNNNNNNNNNNNNNNNNNNNNNNNNNNNNNNNNNNNNNNNNUGGUACCAUAUUUAUGCCUUUUCUCUCUUAUUUUGCAAGGUUUAUUUUUGAAGAGGGAGAAUUCAGGCAGCUGGAAUUCUCGACUUGAAAAGGAGCAAAUCCUAGUCCACUAUUCUGCACAUCUCCAAAUGCCCUAAAAAGUUACGUGGGUUUUUUCUGGAUUAUAUAAAAAAUAUUGGGCGAAAGAACUACCGGAGGAGGGCUGCCAGGGCGCCACAAGCCCUGACACCGCCACCCCCUGGUGGCGGAGUGGGGGCUUGUGGGCUCCCUGACGGCCCACUAGCCCCCCUCUUUUGCUAUAUGAAGCGUUCUGGUCCAGAAAAAAUCAAGAGGGAGCUUUUUCUUGGUUUCGCCGCCGCCACGAGGCGGAACUUGAGCAGAUCCAAUCUAGAGCUCCGACAGGACGAUCCUGCCGGGGAAACUUCCCUCCCGGAGGGGGGGAAUUGUCGCCAUCGUCAUCACCAACACUCCUCUCGUCAGAGGGGAGGCAUCUUCAUCAACAUCUUCAUCAGCACCAUCUCCUCUCCAAUCCAUUGUUCAUCUCUUGUAACCAAUCUUCGUCUCGCAACUCCGAUUGGUACUUGUAAGGUUGCUAGUAGUGUUGAUUACUCUUUGUAGUUGAUGCUAGUUGGAUUACUUGGUGGAAGAGUUUAUGUUCAGAUCCUUGAUGCUAUUCAUUACACCUNNNNNNNNNNNNNNNNNNNNNNNNNNNNNNNNNNNNNNNNNNNNNNNNNNNNNNNNNNNNNNNNNNNNNNNNNNNNNNNNNNNNNNNNNNNNNNNNNNNNCGUGUUGAUGUUUGUUUCGAGUUUGCCUGUCUCGAUGGAGUUCCGCAAGCGUGUCGGAAUGUGAGGACCCGUUCGACUACGAUGGUUUGCCGACUCCACCGAGUUGUUCUUCUUCCAAGCGGGAUCUCAGGCAAGAUGACCAUUUCCCCAGAUACCAUUACUAUCAUUGCCAUGCUAGUUUUAUCACUUCUAUCGAUUAUGUCUCGUUGCCUACCACAUGUUAAAUAUCAGCCUCUCAACAAUGCCAUGAAACCUUCACCCUGUUCGACCUAGCAAACCACUGAUUGGCUAAGUUACUGCUUGCUUAACCCUGUGUUAGCGUUGCUAGUUGCACGUGCAGAUGCUUCCAUGUGUAAACAUGGGUUCCUUGUUAUAUCACCCUAUUAAAUGCUAUUUAAUUUAAUGCACCUAUAUACUUGGUAAAAGGUGGAAGGCUCGGCCUUUCUAGCCUGGUGGUUUGUUCCACCUUUGCCCCCUUAGUUUCGGCUACCGGUGUUAUGUUCCAUAAAUGAGCGCUCCUAACACGAUCGGGGUUGUUAUGGGGACCCCCUUGAUAAUUCGUUUUAGAUUAAAGCUGGUCUGGCAAGGCCCAACAUUGGUACUACAUUUGCCCAACAUAAUAAGUCUUUUAAUUGAAAUGCAUAGGGAGUUAGCGCUACCCAAGGAGUAAUUCUACAUAAUACAGGGAGGGCCAGUGCUGAUGGUGCUGGUCCAAAACAGAGCACCGUGCGGGGCCACCGCGAGGAAACUCGAGGUUUGGUACUCGUACACUUCGCUUAUCCGUCGUGUCCUGAGAACGAGAUACGCGGCUCCUAUCGGGAUCGUCGACACGUCGGGCGGCCUUGCUGGAUAAGUUUUACCUUUGACGAGAUAUCUUGUGCAUCGGGAUUCUGGUGAUGCUUUGCGUAAUCUCAGAGUUGAGGUUUUCCACUAGGGAAUCCGACGAGAUCGCGAGCUUCGUGAUUGAGGAUUUCUAUGCGGCUUGUGGUAAUUUGUGAUGGACUAGUUGUAGCACCCCUGUAGGGUUAAAUCUUUCGGAAAGCCGUGCCCGCGGUUAUGUGGCAACGUGGAAACUUUGUUUAACACUGCUUCUAAAUAACUUGAAGUUAACUUAAUUAAAAUAUGCCAACUAUGUGCGUAACCGUGACUGUCUCUUUCGUGAGUUCCUUCUCUGAUCGAGGACACGGUGGGGUUAUGUCUGACGUAGGUGGGUGUUCAGGAUCAUUCAUUUGAUCAUCAGUAGUUCACGUCCGUUAUGCGUAGAUCUUCCCCCUCUAAUUCUGGUACUCGUAAGUUUAGCCACCAAAUAUAUGCUUAGCCGCUGCUACAACCUCACCACUUAACCAUACGUCACCCAUUAAGCUUUGCUAGUCUUGAUACCUUUGGAAAUGAGAUUGUUGAGUCCCCUGUGGCUCACAGAUUACUACAACACCAGUUGCAGGUACAGGUAAAGGUUACUUGACGCGAGCGCGUUGAUUGUUCAUUUGGAGUUGCUUCUUCUUCUUCUUCAUCAUCGAUCUAGGAUGGGUUCCAGACCGGCAGCCUGGGAUAGCAAGGAUGGACGUCGUUCUUCUUUUGUCGUUUAUUUUUGUCCGUAGUCGGACCCUGCUCUUACUCUUGAUGAUUAUGUAAUGUACUGAUGUGACUCUGAUGUAGCCUGUGGCGAGUGUAAGCCAAUUCCAUAUAUCUCUUCUUUUCAGUACAUGUACUUGUAACGAUAUCCAUUCUUGCGACACGACGAGAUGCGCUUCUAUCCCUGAUGAGGCCCUCGUGCCAAAUUGAGGAUAGGGUCGCAUCUUGGGCGCGACAAUUUGGUAUCAGAGCAGUACCGACCUAGGAGCCCCCUUGAUUGAUCGAACUUGGCCGAGUCGAGUCUAGUAAAAAAUACUUUGAGUCUAAUUAUAUAUCAAAGAGUAGGAUUCUUUUUUCUCCUCUUCUAUGCUCUGGUGAGGAAUCUUGACGUAAUAUUUUAAUUCUACUCCUCUUCUCACUCAAAAAAAAAAUUAGGAUCACGCGGAUAUUUUUGGAAUCUAUAUGAUGCCGAUGUGACGGAGUUUUGUCUUGGUGCCUCCUAUUUGCUUUAAGUUUCAGGGGAGUUGAGCUCCAGGGGAUUCUUGAGCACAUCGUUAUCAUUCAGAUUUGUUAGUAUCUCAGAAGGAAGGAUGUUCGUAAUUGCUUCAAUACUAGUAGUGGUGAGAUAACCCCGAUGUCCCCAGUACUGGUGCAGAUUGUUCGGGAGUACUGCCAUACUUUGUAUCAUUGUGAUCACGAGGGUCUGUUGUAGAUGAAGGUCCGAGAUUCUGGUCGUGUGUUGACGGAUGUGAUACAAGUGACGGGUUAGUAUAGGAGUUGUGUGAUUAUUACUCCUUGUAUCCCUGUACCAGAUUGCAUGACGAGAUAUUUCGGGAAUUCAUAGGUGGGAAUUCAAGUACUUGCUUAUAGGACAAUCUUCCAACAAAUGCAUGAUGUUAGGUUGGGGUUCGACAUAUAGUGGAUUCCUGUCCACGAAAAUAUCAGACGAAAUCUCUCUCAUGAGUUUGUUCUGGCUUGUUUCAUAAGCCUCAUCCCUUUGUUUUGUUGGAAUAUGGUAAUUCAAGUUUCUUCGAUGUCAAGUGGUGAUUUCAGAUCUUUCCUAAGUGGUGUUCUCAUAUUUUUUAUGAGAGUAUUAAUUCUUUUGUUCGUUCAAUUGUCAUAUCAAUUCUCGUCAACCGGAGUCGUCAUGACAAUUCUUUUCCAACCGGUGUGUUUCUCUUCAAGUGAAUUCAACCCUAUCCAAUUUGCAAGAUCUUUCUCUCAUUUUAUUCCGGAGUUCAUCUCAUCUAGCCCAAGUUGUCUUUGUUUUUCCCCACCCUCCCACCCUUUUUCUUCAGUGAUUCAAUUUUCAUCCAAGAGUUUUCUUUUCAUUGUUGCUUCCGCUAUCUUUUCUUCCAUGUCCUAUCCGGUGAUUCAUUGUGAAGAUUUUCAGGAGCUUCGUGCUCAUCUUUAUUCAAUCUUGUUAUCUUUCCGGUGAAUUCAGUUCAGUUAUUCAUGCUCAUCAUAUCCUUUUCAACCAUUAAAUUCUUUCCAACGUUGGAAAUUCUUUCAGCCUAUGUUGUUAUCAUUUCUUUCUUUUCUGUCCGGAGUGCUGAAGAUAUUUCAGUAGUUUCUCGUUUUCAAUUAUGUAAUUAUUUCGAGGUGCUCAACCUCAUCUAGUUUUCAUUUAUAUCGGUGCAAUAUCUCUCUUUCUAGCAAUCUUUUCAACGAUUGUUUCUUUGAGUGGGCCCAUAACCCACAGGUUUUUCCCAGGAUCUUAUAUGUCUCUUCUAUUUUUCCAGAGGUCUUUAAUUAUUUUCAACUAUGACGUAAGUAUGAAUUUCAUCAAUCAUAUUACUUCUUCAAGAUAUAUUUGAAUUAAUUCUCAUAUUUGGCUCAACCUUUCAUUCUUCUCUAUUCCGGAGUGUCUUAGUAAUUCUUGGUAUUCCCAUUCAAUUGUGAAUUCUUACCGGUGCUUCCUUCAAUUUUGCUUCAAGUGGUGCUUAUCUCUCUGCCUCUUCAAGAUUCAUUUUUAGAAUAAUAAGUGUUAUGCUAAAUCCGUUUCUUGUCAUCAAUUUAAUUUGAUGAAGGAUGAGCAUAACAUAAUUCUUAUUCUUGUUUUUCCUUCUUCCAAGAGAUUUCAAUUCUUCUUCUGGAGUGGCUCUUGAUAUCAAUUCCUUUUCUCAAGUGUUUUUAUCUUUCUUUUCCGGAGUUCCAAGUUGUAUCAAGUUUCUCUCUGUGAGGCUUCAUCUAAAUCUUGGCAAGGUCAUAAUCUUAUUCCUUCUACCUUCGUAUCUUUGCAUCAUUCAUUUGUAUACAGAGGUCCUUCAUGGUGGUUCUUCAAGGUUUCAAUCCUUUAUCAAAUGUUCUUCAAGAUUCUUGUUGGAGAACCUCAAGUAUCCUUUCUCUUGCAUUUAUAUGCGCAAUUGUUCUUCCUUUAUCCUUUGAGGUGGUAUUACAUCAUUCUUGUUAGUGUAGGAGCCUCGGAGAGAUUGCCUUUCAAGAAGGAGAUAAUUAAACCCACCAAUUCUAUGAUCAUGAGAUAUUUGCAACCCAUGGUUUCUUCAUUGAGCUAUCUUGGCUUGGAGUUCAUCUAAAGCUUUUCCUAUGGAUUGUGGCUAUUAUGGUGCUUGUCAUUAAUCCAAGUUCUCAAUGUAUCCUCUUGGUCUAAGAAAUUGUUCACAUCUUGUUUCUCCCAAUAAAUCCUUGUUUCUGUUAGUGGUUGGUUGUCACUUCAUUACUUUGAAAAGCUUUCCAUAAGCCCACUACUAUCUUGUUCUUUUCGUUGUUGUUUUUUCAAAAACUCUGUCCAAUUCUUCUUGCAAGGAUGCUUGCCAAGUUCAUUGGAGUUAGUAGUUGUCAUUCUCUCUUCAUUCUCUUCUUCCGCUUGAGCUAGUUCCUAUUCUAUUGUUCCGGAGGCAUUGUGUUGUAGCUCUUUUGGGUCUGUUAUGUUGUUCUACCAAGAUCAUGGUGUUCCCUUGUUCUAUUUAGUUGUUUGUUAUGAAUAUUGUCUAAUUCUUCCACCUCGUCGAAUUUUUUGUCCCAUUUUCCUACCGAAGUGCUGCCGAAAUUUUCCGUGAAUUCUUGCUUCUUUGUCAUAUCAUUCCUCACCUCUUGCAACCUUCAAGGAUCGUUAGUUUCACUCGUUUGUCAAAGAAGCGACUGAGUUUUACCUCUUGUGCUUUCUCAUCCUCUCCCCCCUUUCAUUCUUGGAUCUCGGGGCGAGAUCCUCUUGUAGUGUAGGAGAGUUGUGACAGCCCUAGACCGACGCCCAGAAGAUUACCCCUUUUAUUUCCGUUUCCGUCGUGUGCUUAUUUUUAUUUGUUGCAUCAUCAUGUAGUUGCAUCAUCGCAUCAUGCAUGGCAUCUUGCAUCGUCUGUCGCGUGUGGUGCUUGGAGUGUUGUGCUUCGAGUGAUCACCGAGUCNNNNNNNNNNNNNNNNNNNNNNNNNNNNNNNNNNNNNNNNNNNNNNNNNNNNNNNNNNNNNNNNNNNNNNNNNNNNNNNNNNNNNNNNNNNNNNNNNNNNNNNNNNNNNNNNNNNNNNNNNNNNNNNNNNNNNNNNNNNNNNNNNNNNNNNNNNNNNNNNNNNNNNNNNNNNNNNNNNNNNNNNNNNNNNNNNNNNNNNNNNNNNNNNNNNNNNNNNNNNNNNNNNNNNNNNNNNNNNNNNNNNNNNNNNNNNNNNNNNNNNNNNNNNNNNNNNNNNNNNNNNNNNNNUCGAGUGAUCACCGAGUCGUAGAGCGAUAGUAGCUCCCCCUCUCUCUCCCUCUUAUUUCAUUUUUUUGGUUUUUGCUUAAGAACAGUUUUAACCCCGUCAAGGGUUCGUUUUCUUCUUUUCAUUAAAAAUCUUUUUAUUAAAUGUGGGGGCAACCCUUGGGUUUUGAUUUUAAUUUUCCUUUUGUUUUAUUUUAAAAUCGUCUCAUUUUAUUUUCUCUUUUAAAAGGCUUUUAUUUUAUCCUUUAAAUAAAAGAGGUUUUAUUUUAUUCUCUUGUCAAAAGGGGUUUAAAUUUUAUUCUUUUGUAAAAGGGUUUUAAUUUAAUUCUUAAGGAAAAGGUCUCAUUUUUUUUUUGUUUAAAAAGCCCAAACUAUUUCUUAUAGUUGGGGUAUUUUUUUUAAAGGAGUAAAAGGCAUUUUUUUAUUUUGUUAAAAACCACUUUUUUCUCUUGUGAUUGUUUCAUGAUUUUUUUUAAAAGAGAGGGGUUGAGAGGGAGCCAGCCAUCCUGCCACGCCCAAGGCCCAGUCCUCCCGUGCUGACCUAGCGAGCCUGCCCGAGACCCCCAUCUCCCCGUGUGUCUCCCUCCUCUGCCUGAUUCCUCCUCCAUCCCCUCUGCCCCGCGACGCAAGCCCCCUGCCGCCGCCUCUCCAUCCUCCCUGUUCCCCUGCCUCGCCCGAGAUCCACGCCGGCCUCCCAUCCGUGCCGCCGCCCCCGCCUGCGAGAUGCCAGUGCCGAGCCCGGCUCGCCCCCGUUUCCCUCGCCUGCCGCAGGAGCUCGACGCCCUGGCCGUCGUGCUCACCGUUCGUCGUGCCCCGUGCUGGCCCGUCCCCGUGCGCCGCCCUCAUCCCCGCCGCCAGUAGCCGGUCACCGCCCGAGGUCCCCGCCGGGGUCAGCCCGUGCUGGGUCGUUCCCGCGCGGCCGCCGCCCGUCGCGAUGCCGUGCUGACCUGCCGCCGUGCUCGGCCCUCGUCGUGGCAUCGCCAUCCCCAGCGCCCUUGGUCCCGAGCCGCCUCCUCCGCCUUGCUGCGUCGCUGCCUCUGCCGUGUGCGGGUUGCUGGUGCCAGUUGCUGUUGCUGCAUUUUAUUUUCCCGCCGAGCUGCCCUGCUGUGGCGUUGCUAAGCUGCUGCUGCUAGCUUGCUGUUGCUGUGCCAUGCUCCUUGCACGUUGCUGCCUACCGUUGCCGUUGUAGUUGUUGCUUGUUGCUGCCGCCUGAUGUUGCUGGUACCUGCUUGCUGUUGCCCGCCGCUAGCUGCUGCUGCGUGCUGUUUGCUGUUGCUGGUACCCGUGCUGCCGCUGAGGCUAGAAGCUGCUGCUAGGUAGUUGCUAGUUGUUGUAGUUGAUGGUUGUUGUUCCUGCUAGCUUGCCGUUAUUUCUUGUUGUUGCCGCGUGAUGUAGGUUGUUUGCUGAGGCAUGCUAGUGGCUAGAUGUUAGUUGCUGCCGCCAGUAGUCGUGGCCUUCGCUCGCCUUUGCUCGUGCUGCCGCUUGCGCCGCCGCGUGCGCCGUUUCCCUCCGCCGUGGAACCGACAAGAUCACAGUGCACAACGACGACCCCGACGACCCCGGAAGUGAGUUCGACUUCCUCGACGUCGCUGAAGACCCGUGACCGACUACCAACGCCGAAGACUGUGAACCACGACGCCGAGUACGACUACCGUCGACGAGACCUGAGUUCCUCGACGACCAUGACUUCCACGACGACCGUUGUUCCCCUUCACCGAACCGCUCCGAUUCGCACACGUCGAAGGUAUACCAAUGAGACGUGGCCGAGAACCGUAUGCAUGUGAUGUAUGAGUUGUAUCGUGUGUAUGCACCGUAUCUUUCCCAUGCACGUUGUCCCUCUUAUGUUGUGCCCGACACAUGGGAACCCGAGAUACGGGAUCACCCCAUCUUAAUUUAACGUUCCCGCACAUGAUCCCUAUUCAUUGGCACGAUAUCUCGUCGAGUUAUCGGGAUAGGAACGUUGUCGUGGCAUCGUAUCCGUCUUNNNNNNNNNNNNNNNNNNNNNNNNNNNNNNNNNNNNNNNNNNNNNNNNNNNNNNNNNNNNNNNNNNNNNNNNNNNNNNNNNNNNNNNNNNNNNNNNNNNNUCCGGCUCCCUCCGGACGUCCGAGCGUCGGACGUCCGACCCCCUUCGGAAAUCCGGAACCUCCCACCAGUAGCAGUUGUGUCGUAUAACUCGGAUUUCCGGCCUCCCGCCGGACGUUUGGUCGUUGUUCAAUUCACAGUAUUUUCAGUGAUAUCUACAGGCCUCGGACGACCGACCCCUGUCGGAUAUCCGACCCCUCGCGGACGCCCGGACUUCCGAAAACUGUCGGACGUCCGGACCCUGUGUGACUUAAAGUGUCCCUAGUAUUUUCAGUGAUAUCUACAGGCCUCGGACGACCGACCCUUGUCGGACGUUCGACCCCUCGCGGACGCCCGGACUUCCGACAACUGUCGGACGUCCGGACCCUGUGUGUCUUAAAGUACCUCCAACGGCUGGAUUUCACUCCACACUAUAAAUACACCCUCCCACUUCGUGAGAGCGUAGCUGUAAUGCCCCAAGUGUAGAACCUACCCCUUUUGGACCUACUUCAUGUGGGACCACCUUGUCAGAGAUUAUGAUGUUAAGUGGGUACCAUGAUUUCAUGUGUGUUCCUUGUUAUUUCCUUCUCAUGCAUGCAUGCAUAGCAUAUCAUAUCAUUUCAUGUGUUAGGUGUUAGGUGUUGGUGCAUGUGGUCAUAUGAUUCCAUGUGGUGUUUUUAAUCUUGUGGUCAUGUAUCUUGUGAUUUCAUGUGUUGAGGCAUAUGUUAUGAUGUGGUGUGAAGUGAUGAGAGGGUGGUGCUUGGCAUCAAUUACAAACCCCCCUUGUGUAGUUCCAAACCUUUUUAUUUAUUCUUUUUCCCAAGUUCAAAUCCUUUUGCUCCUAUGUUGUUAUAAAAAUGUUACACCUUUAGAGCAUUUUAGUUGGUAUGUGGGUAUGAAGCAGAGGGGUUUUUAAACUUAUUUUGUUUGGGGUUUUUCCUUUAUUUUCAGUUUAUUUUAAUCUGAUUGACAAUUAUUUUUAGUGUUAAAAUAUCAUUUUGGUAUUUUAAGAAUUUGGGGCAUAAUUCCCUUGUGCCCAGGAGUAUUUGUUUCUAUUUUUUCUUAGGCCUUAGUUUUUCUUGGGGUUUUAUUUGCUAAGGUGGUGUAUUUAAAUUGGCAAGGGCCAGGCUCCCUCUUCUCUCCCUGGCGUGGUGGCCCAACUCCUCCCUGGCCCAAGCCCCCUCGCGCAGCGCAGCCCACUCGCCGUCCCUCGUCUUCCUCGUGGCGACGUCACGCUGUACGAUCAGCGCUCCACCACUGAUCUCCCUUCCCAUCGAUCUGGUGGCUCCAAGCUCGCCUCCCGAGACGUUAUAAGGAGCCCCCGGUCUUCCUCCUCCUCCGUAGGGUUCCUUCUCCCCCUCCAGUGCGCCGCCACCUUCCCCAUCUCUCUUCCUCCCCGCACGUAAGGUCUGUAGGCUAGCAGCCGAGAGAGAGAGGGACGAGCUCGCCGCGUCUACCUCGCGUACGUCGCCGUCCGGCGAGUCCGCCAUGUCCAGGAGCUCGGGGUUCGGCCCCGCGUUCCAUUCCCGUCGUCGGUAGGGUCGGGGAGCGACCCCAUCGUCGAGCACGAGCUCGCCUUCGCCGCGAACCCGGUGGACUACCUCCUCUUCCUCGGUUCUGCAGAUCAGCAGGAACUACUUCGACUUCUUCUUCCUCUCCGGCCAGCCUCCUCCUGCAGAUCGGCCUCCUACUUCUUCCCUAGGUGAGGACGUCGUCCCCUUCCUUCUUCCUCCCUGGUUCGCCCUAGAUCCGAGAUGGGGUCAUCGUAUUCCUCUCGAGUGUUGUUCGUUAGAGGCCAGCAAGUUCGUGUGCGUGCAUCUUCUCGAUCGGGAUGGUGCGUAGAGAGGUAGCUAUAGCAGGGGAGCUCUCCCCUUCGGAUUGCAACGUCGUGUUGCAGGGGCCCUCCUUCGGUAGCACAGCGUAGCAGCAACAACGCCGGCAAGGGAAACCCGGCAGCCUCUCUGUCGCUGGUGUUCUCUGUAGGCAGAGGGGGUUUUCCUAUUAGCUUACCUGUUUCAGUUCCCCCUUCUGCCAGUAUCCAUGUCGUAGCCCAGUGGUUUGUUCCCUGUAGUGCCUGAUGCAGGUGCUGGGUUCGAUCCCUCCCCGCGGCACUUUUUUUGCUUCUCCGAAUUAUGAGCACAGAAUACUGCAGGAAUGGCCUCAACUUGCAUGAACCCUUCGUUCUGUCGAAUAGUUGACAGUAGCAGAGUGGUAGAGGGUAGUUUGUGGCGUCAGUGGGUUCUGGGUUCGAAUCCCAGGUGCUCCUGAUGUAUUUUUUUGCCAUUUCUUUUAUUUCUAUUUCUUUUGCUUGUCUGACCAUAUUUGUGCCUAACCCAUAGGCAUUAAAGUGGACCAUUUCGAUCCCUUCUCCUGCUGUGCAUAGAUAGAGGCAGGUUCUUUGGUUGUGAUGUGUGUGUGCACACACAUGUGAUAGUGCAAGUGUUGUGUGUAUGUGUUUAUGUGGCUUAAUUGGAAGUGGCUCAUGUGAUCUUGCUAGUGUGUUUGGGUGUGUAGUACUUGCAAGUAUGUGCAUUGUGGAAUAGGUGAGAUGUGUGUGUUGAGGUUAUGUGUGUGUAAGUAGUGCACACAUAUGUGGUACCUAGCAGGAGUGUAUGUAUGUGUGGAUCCAUGUUUACUUGCAUAGAAGUUGUUCCUUCAUGUUGUGCUUGAGAUUAAGUGCUUGUGAUGAGGGUAUUGUGAUGAAAUGUGUGUGUGUGGACCUUCCCCCCCUUUUUGCAAGUUGAACACCUCCUCAUGUUUAAUAUGAGAGAGGGCAUGUUGUGUGUGGGGUUGGAUUGUGAGAAGUAUUGGUGUUGUUGAUGUGCAUGACACAAACAGGGGGUUCAAACCCCCAUGUCACUUUGUCAUUGUGCACAUGAACCCUACCUUUGUAGUUGUUGUCUUAGAAGGGUACUUUAUGGAGUUGCAUAUUCAGAUUUGUAGCAAGUUUGAUCUUUGAUUCCAUGGAAUAGGUGGAGCCCAAGGGCAUGAGUUUUUGUGUGAUAGAAGUAGGGAUUUUGCUCUACACUAUAGUGGUGUCAAUUACCUCUUGGUGUUUUGUGUGUGCAAACUAUGCCUAGACAAAGUGGGCAUGUGGUUGAAAAAUUCCAGAUUAGUGAACUCUGAAAUUUCACUAAGUCUGGGAUUCUGGAAACAUUUUCUUCAUCUAUAGAUGAGGAUGUGCUGGUCAUUCUGUUGAGAACUAGCUUUAUUUCAGUGCUAGGAUUUUGAACCUGGUAUGUUUGUGAAGCUCCCUGUCAAAUUUCAAAUCAUUUGGAGUCCAGUAGCUUGUGUUUUGAUUGCUAUCAAAAAGCUUCAAAACAGAGACAGAAACUCAGGUGCAAGAAUUUUCACUAAGUCCCUGAGAUCUGAUGGUUUUGGGAAAGUUUGUGGCCUUGUAUCUUCUAGAGUUUAAUACCUUCUCAUGCAUGUCAAAAUAUCUUAGUGUACAGUACUGUCCAGAAACUUGCAGUAGUUUAUUUUGCUUGUGAUAGUGAUAGAAAUAGUGGUGCAUGCUCAAUUUUCAUCUCAUGCAUCAUGUGAUUGUUGCAUCUUGUAGUGCUGCUGUUCAUUGGCUGUUAUUCUUAUGUUGCGUAGCACCGGGAUCGGAGAACGAAUACGUGGAGUCAGGAGAGUACGUGCAGGACGAACCAGAACCAUUCCAAGCUGAGGAUAUCACAGGCAAGAUGAUAUGACCUUGAUUCCAUCUCUAGACUUGUUAUGUUAGUUUCGUUUCCAUGUCAUAUUGCUCGCUACCUACCACUGAAAUUAAAUUGCCUCUUCAUAUGCCAUGAGCCCAAACACCGUACUCCUUCCUAGCAAACUUGUGUGGCUAAGUAGGCUUGCUCAGCUACUAAUGUUAGCAUUGCUAGUUGCAGGUGCUUUGCCUCAUGUGAUAACAUGAGCUUGAUAUCAUUAUCUUAAAUUUUGUUAUUUAAUUAAUGCACCUAUAUACUUGGUAAAUAACGGGAGGCCUAGCCUUUUGCCGGGUGCUUUGUUCCAUUAUUGCCGCCUUAGUUACCGGUUACCGGUGUUUGAUUCCAUAAUGAUCGCUCCUAACACGUUCGGGGUUGUUAUGGGGACCCCCUCGAUAAAUCGCAUAGUGCUAAGGCUUGUUCGGCAGGACCCGGCAUUGGUGUUAAUUUGCUAAACAACUUAAUAAUAAUCUGCAUAGGGAGUAGCUACCCCAAGGAUCAUUAAUCAACAACCCGGGCUAGUGCUCCUCAUGAGUGUUGGUCCAAACUGGUCUGCCUGCGGGGCCACCACAAGGAAACUUGAGGUUUGGUAUCUGUAGCUAGUUCCAUCCGUCGUGUCCUGAGACUGAGAUACGCGGCUCUUAUCGGGGUCAUCGACACGUCGGGAGGUCCUGCUAGCCUUACCUUACCUAAGCGGUAUAUCUUGCGUAUAGGAAUCCCAGUGAAGCUUUGGUUUCCCCCAGAGCUGAGGUUUUCCUCUAAGGAAUCCAACGAGAUCACGAGAUUCGUGAUAUAGGAUGCCUUUGCGGCCUGUGUUCGUUUGUGAUGGACUAGUUGGAGCACCCGUGCAGGGUUUAAUCUUUCGGAAAGCCGUGCCCGCGGUUAUAUGGCAACUUGGAAUAUUUUGUUAACAUCCGGUAUUAGAGAACUUAAACAUAAACUAAUAAAAUUGCCAACUGUGUGCGUAACCGUGGCUGUCCCUUCGAAGAUCUCUCUUCGAUCGGGAACACAGUGGGGUUAUGAAUGCCGUAGGUAGGUGUUCAGGAUCACUUACUGAUCAAGUAAUCCCGACCGUUAGCGUAGACCACCUUCACUUCUCUUCUGCGUAAGUUAGCCACUUAUUCAAACAUAGGAUGCAGCACCUGAUACACCUUACCCCUACCUUACCCAAUAACAUGACUAGUUCUGGCACCAAGGUCUUAGAUUGCUGAGUCCCCGUGGCUCACGGAUUCCUCCGAAACUCCCAGCAGGUACAGGUACCCCAGAGACAGAUGAUCCCGAUGGCACCCAGCUGGCGUGGCAGUACGACGAGUAGACAGACCGCCUCUACGUGAACUAUCCAGAGGACUGAGCCGUGGUCGUGAUCGUGGGCCUGCAGCAGGGUAGCAUAGCAUUUUCCAUGUUUUGUAGUCCGUACCGGAACUACCUUGUUUGUAUCUGUGUUGUACUCUGAGUUAUUAAUAAGAAGACGGUUGAAUCCCGAAUUGUCUACUUGUAUUAUUAUUUUGUGCUAUGUUACUUGCUUGCGAAACGCUUAGAUGCGCUUCUUUCCUAUUCGGGGGCCUCGACCCCCAGAUCGGAAAGGACCGCAUCUUGGUCGUUACAGUAGCCCAACACAGCCUUAUUCUCAUAAGAACACAUUUCCACCUCACACACAUUUGCUCACUCCAAAUCUUAGAUCCCAAGAGCAUUUGUGAGCCCCUUUGAGAGUUGUUCCAAUCAAAAGAUAGAUNNNNNNNNNNNNNNNNNNNNNNNNNNNNNNNNNNNNNNNNNNNNNNNNNNNNNNNNNNNNNNNNNNNNNNNNNNNNNNNNNNNNNNNNNNNNNNNNNNNNNNNNNNNNNNNNNNNNNNNNNNNNNNNNNNNNNNNNNNNNNNNNNNNNNNNNNNNNNNNNNNNNNNNNNNNNNNNNNNNNNNNNNNNNNNNNNNNNNNNNNNNNNNNNNNNNNNNNNNNNNNNNNNNNNNNNNNNNNNNNNNNNNNNNNNNNNNNNNNNNNNNNNNNNNNNNNNNNNNNNNNNNNNNNNNNNNNNNNNNNNNNNNNNNNNNNNNNNNNNNNNNNNNNNNNNNNNNNNNNNNNNNNNNNNNNNNNNNNNNNNNNNNNNNNNNNNNNNNNNNNNNNNNNNNNNNNNNNNNNNNNNNNNNNNNNNNNNNNNNNNNNNNNNAGGAAUCAAUCCGUGUGAUUACCCCCCGGAAAAGUUUGUGAGGGUUUGGAAGCCACCUCAAAGGCUUACCACUAGUGGUUGAGAAACGCCUUCGUGGUGUUAUCUCAAAGGGAGAAUAGGGUGAGCCUUCGUGGCGUUGGUGUGCCUUCGUGGUAACAUCCACCUCUCUAACGGUGACUAGCUUCCCUACAAGGAAGUGAACAUCGGGAUACAUCUUCGUCUCAGUGACCUUGGUUAUCCUUAACCCUAACUCCUUACUUGUGGUUUACUUGUGUUAUUUGAGCAUACAUACAUUGCAUAUUGUUUGUGCUCAUUAUAUUGUGUUGGCUAUUUAUUGUACAAGANNNNNNNNNNNNNNNNNNNNNNNNNNNNNNNNNNNNNNNNNNNNNNNNNNNNNNNNNNNNNNNNNNNNNNNNNNNNNNNNNNNNNNNNNNNNNNNNNNNNNNNNNNNNNNNNNNNNNNNNNNNNNNNNNNNNNNNNNNNNNNNNNNNNNNNNNNNNNNNNNNNNNNNNNNNNNNNNNNNNNNNNNNNNNNNNNNNNNNNNNNNNNNNNNNNNNNNNNNNNNNNNNNNNNNNNNNNNNNNNNNNNNNNNNNNNNNNNNNNNNNNNNNNNNNNNNNNNNNNNNNNNNNNNNNNNNNNNNNNNNNNNNNNNNNNNNNNNNNNNNNNNNNNNNNNNNNNNNNNNNNNNNNNNNNNNNNNNNNNNNNNNNNNNNNNNNNNNNNNNNNNNNNNNNNNNNNNNNNNNNNNNNNNNNNNNGUCGUAUAGCUCAAGUAAGUUUGUGUAACUUACUUGUGCUUGUUAGUAACUGUAUUGUGUCCAUCUUUGUAGAUCGUGUUGUUAAUACACGUUCCAGUGCCUAGCGCAUUUAGGAUUUGUGCUUGACAAGUACCCUCUUAGUUUAUUUCCGCAUUAGGUUCAAGCCAAAUCCGAAGAAGUUUUUAAAUAGCCUAUUCACCCCCCCCCCUCUAGGCGUCAUCGAGGUAUUUUCAAAGGUUUUAUCCAAAGAUUAGUCAUAAAGACACAUGGUUGAUCAAGACUAAGUCACAGAGUGAAUCAAGUUGAUCAACACACAAAGCGUACGGGACGUAUCGAGAGGGAUCAAGUGAUCCCAUGGUAUGAUAAGCAUUGUCCAUUAUGCUUUGUGUACUAACCCAUGGUCUUCGUGCGAGUUCUAUGUGGGAUUAGGUGUGUUUCCAUGGGCUUGUGUCAAGAGGAAGAUCUCAUUCAACCCAUGGAAGGUUGCGGUGUGCAAGUUCAAGUGGAGCAUUAUGAAGAGAUCAUGCUUGAAUCUUGCCGUCCAUUGUGGUGGCAAUGUACUUGUGAAGAUGUGCUGAAGAAUGGCUCACCCAUAGUGGAGUAUGGAGGAGCAAUCUACUAGUCUUCAUCGAGCCGGCGCAAUCAAGAAAGGUGGUCCAUCUUCAGGAUGACAACAUCAUCAUCAUCUAGAUCAAGUGCACUAUGUGUAAGGCAAAGGUUUGUCCUUGAUAGGUUUUCUAUUUUAUCGGUCAUCGUGUGUUAGUCGGGAGACCAGGUUAUAGGAUAGAUUGACGUACUAUCAAGGGGGGCUAUCAAGUGAGUAUCUUGGUCGUAUUGUUCGUUGAGAGCUCAAACCAUUGCAUUCUUGGCAUCAUCCUAUUUCUUGGUUGUUGGUUGGCUUUCCUUUAUGUGGGUUUUUGAGCUUACGGUCAUGUUGAUGACAAGCUCGAGUUCAUUGAAAACGGAGUCCAUAUGCAUCUUCUAUGAUGUUUUAGAUGUUGGAGUUUUUGUUGGUUCUUCUUUCAUAGAGGUUUCACAUCUCUAUAUCAUUGGCAUUUUCAUAACUGCAUGUUGGAUAGUACUUGUCGUGUGCUAUUCAACAAGCUUGAGUUUGCUCAGUUUGGAGCUCGUAUGGGAAAGUUAUGGCAGUUUUUGUGGCAAGGCAAUUUUUCUGUGUUAAGCGGAAGUACCCCUAGGAGCGGAGCGGUAGUACCACUCGGGCGGUACUUCCGCCCUCCCCUUUCGUCCCUACUUCCGCUUAGUCCUUAUCUAUAGCAUCAUCGGUGUGUUUCCCCACUUUGAGCGGAAGUACCGCUUGGGGAGGAGCAGUUGUGUCGCUCGAGUGGUACUGUCGCCCUCCCAAUCCCUCCUUACUUUCGCUUAAUUUUUCCUUAUGACAUCUUAGGUCCAUGUUUUCCAUGUUGAGCGGAAGUACCGCUGGGGGCGGAGUGGUAGUACCACCAUGUCGUGUCCAUCUGCUUGUGGUGCCCAGUACUUCCAUGCUAGCGGUAGUACCAGUUUUGCACGAUGAGUGCACAUAACGGUUGGAUUUGGAGAGCACUAUAAAAGGAGGUCUUCUUCCCCAUUUCUCCCCAACCUUUGAGCUCGUGUUCUUCCACUAUUGUUGACCUUCUUCGAGCUUGCUAACUCUCGAUCCCUCCAAUGAUUCUUGCUAGUUCUUGAGGGAAAAGAGAGAGGAGAUCUAGAUCCACAUUUCCACCAAUCACUUUCUCCUCUAUGUGAGGGGAACCCCUUGGAUUUAGAUCUUGGAGUUCUUUGUGAGAUCCUUGUUCUUCCUCUCAUAUUCCUCAAUAGUUUUUGUUGUUGUGGAGGGAUUUGAGUGUGAGGGACUUGACCACUUCAUGUGUUCUUGCCAUUGAUUUAGUUGCAUCGGUUUGAGUUCUCCACAGUGAUAUGUGGAAGUGAAGUUUGAGAAGCUUAUUACUCUUGGGUGUUUGGUACCCUAGAGCUUGUUCUUCUUGGGUGCUUUGGCAUCCUAGAAGCUUGAUGGUGCCUUGGACCUGAAUCAUUGUGGUGUAAAGCUCCGAGAGAGCAUCGGAGUCUCCAAUUACGUUGUGGAGAUUAUUGCCCCGAGCAUUUGAGGUCAUCUCGGAGCCACAAUCCAUUGUGGUGAAGCUUCGUGGUGUUGUUGGGAGCCUCCAAUAAGUUGUAGAGAUUGUCCCAACCUUGUUUGUACGGGUUUGGUGACCACCCUCAAGGGCCCCUUAGUGGAAUCACGACAUCUCGCAUUGUGUGAGGGCGUGAGGAGAUUACGAUGGCCUUAGUGGCUUCUUGGGGAGCAUUGUGUCUCCACACCGCUCCAAACGGAGAUUAGCAUCCGCGCGAGUGUGAACUUCGGGAUACAUCGUCGUCUCUGUGUGCCUCGGUUAGCUCUUCCCCGAGCCCUUUACUUAUGCACAUUGCUUUGUGAUAUCCAUAUUGUUUCCUGUUAUAUAUCUUGCUAUCACUUAGUUGUUUAUCUUGCUUAGCAUAAGUUGUUGGUGCACAUAGGUGAGCUUAGUUGUUUUAGGUUUUGUGCUUGACACACUAAACGUUAGUUUUAUUCUGCAUGUGUCCACGUCCUUUCAGUUUCCCUAUAUCCUCAUGCUCUCAUACAUAUUCUUGCAACUUUUCUUAUCCCCUAUAUCUAGUUUGUUGCAAGUCAUGCUAUCUACAAAAUAUAGGUAAAGUGGUGAUCCUAGUGUGUGUGAUUUGCAUUCCAAAGACAUAUCAAAUUAGUGCACACAUCUAGGGGGGCACGUCUAUAUUUUGUAUAUGGUUGGUUUGCAUAUUAUUCCUUGAUAUAUUUUUUUGGAAAAAGGAGGAUGACCCCCGGCCUCUGCAUCUGGGAGAUGCAUGCAGUCACUUUAUUAAUUAUUCAAAAGAUCUUACAAAGCAAUACAUCAAUAUGUUUGAAGCCACCCUCUUGGCAACAUCUGUCGCUACUCCUAUCCAAUGAUGAAGGGGUGCAGAAAGUGUGAGCCACAUACCGAAAUCUCUCACCUAGCCUAAUAUCUAAAGCGGGAGGCCCAGACCGAGCCACAUAUCGGGUCACGGGCACAAACUGGUCUGACGCACCCUCAUAGGUCAUCGCCGCCGACCUCCAUCAAUCCAUCUUCAGAACAGUUACUGACGCAUUGACCUUUCAAGACCUGCCGUCGAUGCCCCCACGGCGCCAGACAGCGCCUCCUCCCUACGCGCGCUCAUCAUCACGCAUCCGUCGCCGAGACUUUGCUAUGCCUCGCCGCCGAGACUCCACGUCGUCGAUGUGUCACACGGAACGCCGCUCCACUAUAGAUGUCGACCAAUGGUCCCUCGAGCCCGUGUGUACCUCCAUGAAUGACGCCCCCAAGGGGGAAACAACACCAGAGCGUCGCCGUCAUCCGAUCUACUGAUCUAGGGUUUCCCCCGGAGGUAGCACAGAGUGGCCUUGAACUUCUCCUUGGCAAUGCCUUCACGAAGGUAACGAUGUAGACAGCUCCGCCAUCGCCGGCCUUGGCAGUAGACGAAAGCAAGCUUUUACCCAGAUUUGUUCGAAGAACCCAUCUCUCCUGCACGGGCCACCACAUCCUGCGACGUCCCCGGGAGCGGGAUCCCAAGUUCCACCGCCACCGGUGACGCCACAACGACCCACCACCUGGUUGUCAUCCCUGACGAAAGGGAUGGCGCCACCACCUUGUUUAGAUCCAGCAGCACACCAACGCCUCCUGUUGCGCCCAAUCACAUCGGUGAAGGAGGACAGUCAACGCGCGCGCCCACCACUGCUUAGGGCCGUCGAACGGCGCCCGAGCCCAACCACCCGGAGGAGAACCGAUCUGGGCGGGGAACCCUAGAUCCACCGCCGCCAGUCCCCGCAGCGCCGCCGCGAUCCCAUCGGGCCGCCGCCCGAGCUCGCCAACUCCGCCUCCAUGUCGUACACCCACGGGCGCUGUCGCAUCUCAGCUAGAGGAUCCCCUAGUGAAGAAGGGAGGAAGGCCCGUCGUCCAUCGUCCGUCGGGCGAGCUUCGCUCGCCAGCCUCCUCCGACGGCGGCGGGGAAGCAGGGAAGGAGGAAGGUCGAGGGCGGCGGUGGCUAGGGCGCCCAAGUCGCCCCCCUAGAGGCGAUGCGAGCGGUUACCUGGAGGUCCGAUAUGACCUCACUCUAAAGUGCAAAUAUCUUGAUAUCUAUUGUGCAAAUAUCUUAUUGUCGUCAAUUCACCUAAAAGUGGGAGAUUGUUAGGGCAUAUCUCUCUGUAGUUGGUUCUGGUGUUGAUGACAAUGCAUUGUGCGGACUAACCAUGUGCUUCAAGCAUUUCGAAUAUUAUUAUAUAUGGCACAAGACGAUUUUAUUCCCUUCAGAUGAAGAAAGAGCAAAGACGGGUUUUCCGGUGUUUCGUUUGUUUUGAGCUGUAGCAAAACUUUACUAUUAAGAGGAGGUCCCCAUUUCAGCGGAAUCAACACGUACACAAGCCAUAUGCACCCACAGUCCUUCCCAUGGCUUUGGAGCAUCCAACUAUUGUUGCAUUUUCACUUUGUCACACGCCAAGCGGUAGUACCGCUGGUACCCACGGUAGUACCUCCUAUGCGGUACUUCCGUAGGUUUGUACCGUAGCAACUUCCGCUUGGAAAUAUGCAUUAUGUUAAACUUCAUCUGCGCUUCACGGUAGUAUCGCUAGUACCCACGGUAGUACCGCUUAUGCGAUACUUCCGUUGGCUAGUACUACGGCUAAUGUCACUUAGAGUUUUGCUUCUGUUAUCUCCAUCUGCACUUCGCGGUAGUAUCGCUGAUGCAGUACUUCCAUUGAUCAGUACAACAGCUACUACCGCUUGAAGUUUUGCAUUAUGUUAUCUCCUCUAACAGCUUGUGGUAGUUCCGUUGCCAUGAACGGUAGUACCGCUUCAUGCGGUACUUCUGAACUGGUGUCGUGCUGGCUACCGCUAGUUCCUCUGUAGCCCUUCGACUAUUAGCGAUGGUACCGCUCCGACGAAACUUCAUUCCAGUCUUGGUUCACCACCCGUUGGGGUGCAGGAAUUACUUUGCCAAGCAGUAGUACCGGUUGUGCACGACCAUUGCACAUAAUGGUUGGUUUUGUUCCCCCACUAUAAAUAGGCGGUCUUCUUCCCGAACAAGAUUCAUCACGUUUCCCCCAUUGGUCCAUUGUUGCCCAAAACUCAAACUAGCUCGAUCUGCUUCCCUAGCCAUACAAACUUUUUGAUUCUCCAGGGUUUGGUGGAAAAGGCCUCGAUCUACACUUCCACCAAGAGAAAUUUGAUCCCCCACUAGUCCCUUGCGGAUCUUUUUAGGUGUGGGCACCCUAGACGGAAGAGGUCACCUCGAAACCAUAUUCCAUUGACGCGAAGGUCCAGUGGCCGCCUUCAAGUGGACCGCUAGUGAAAUCACGACAUCUUGCAUUGUGCGAGGGCAUGAGGAGAAUACGAUGGAUCUAGUGGCUUCUUGGGAGCAUUGUGCCUCCACACCGCUCCAAGGGAGACGUACCUCAAAAGGAGGGAACUUUAGUAGCACAUCCUCGUCUUCAUCGACUCCACUUGUGGUUACAUCUUACCUUUACUUGGUGCAAGCUUAUAUUGUGUUAUGUCUUGUGCCUGCUAUUGUUGUUAUUGUUGCACUCAUCAUAUAUUGUCCACCUAGUUGCAUAUCUAGACGAUUGAUAUUCUUGUUAAACCUAAUUUGUAAAAAGAAGUUAAAAAAAUAGUCAUUGUCUUUCACCCGUUCCCCCCUAGUCAACCAUACCGAUCCUUUCAUCUGUGCGGAAGCUGAUCGUCACUUUGCCAAUGGUGUCCAUCUCUAGGGUAAUGUGAACCACCACAAGUCAGCCUAAGCAGGCCGGCAAUGGCCCGUGUCGCUACCUCACCCCGGCCCGCCGUCCAGCCCAUAGGCGGAAAGCCUCAUGUGUAAAGAUGCAUCCUUACUUGUAAUAUAGUAUGUAUACCUUACUUGAGUUUCAAGCCAUGUAAACACUUGGACUCUAAUAGCCCUACCCCCCCCCCCCUCCUCCCACUUAUAUAAAAGGAGGUGUAGGGGCCUCCUAAGUUAGCACCUCAUAACCAUAGGAUCCUAGAGAUGUGACCUUCCCUAUGAGAAAAUUCCAAUAUCAAUAAAGAUAAUACAUGCAAGAUGUAGGGCACAUUACUUGAACUUGGAAAAUCGUGUGUCUCGUAUGCAUCCAAUCGGAUCCUCUAUGUGUGUUUGACCUGCUCUCUUUCUCAACCGGCCUACUCACCUCAUCGGGAUAACCUUCAAGGGAUCUAACUGAAUCUCCUCUAGAAAAAGGCGGUACCGUAGUUUGCCAAUUAUGUCAACUUACUUGUAGGGCAAUAUCUACCUUCAAACAAGAAUCCUCUGAAAGAAAUAUAAGAGCGUNNNNNNNNNNNNNNNNNNNNNNNNNNNNNNNNNNNNNNNNNNNNNNNNNNNNNNNNNNNNNNNNNNNNNNNNNNNNNNNNNNNNNNNNNNNNNNNNNNNNNNNNNNNNNNNNNNNNNNNNNNNNNNNNNNNNNNNNNNNNNNNNNNNNNNNNNNNNNNNNNNNNNNNNNNNNNNNNNNNNNNNNNNNNNNNNNNNNNNNNNNNNNNNNNNNNNNNNNNNNNNNNNNNNNNNNNNNNNNNNNNNNNNNNNNNNNNNNNNNNNNNNNNNNNNNNNNNNNNNNNNNNNNNNNNNNNNNNNNNNNNNNNNNNNACGCUCUUAUAUUUCUUUGCAGAGGGAGUAUAGUCGAAGGAAGAAAUUCUUUAGGGAUUUGAAACGUUAUUUUUAAAAAGAUCCAUUCCUCUAAAAGCAUGAGUCACACGACAUGAUUAGACGAGGUCAUGUAGUUCGACUAAUCAUGUCGUCCGCGAAUGAUGGGGUCUACUCAACGGCCACCGUGUACAAGGCUCGUUCCUUGGUUUGACUCUCUCUCCCAUAGGCCACAUGGUUUGGAAGGCUCCCCUCAGUUUAAAUUCUUUGCUUGGUUAUCUCUACAAGACCGUAUUACCUUAUUUGUUUAUCGUUACACGCUUAGACUAUGGAGAUCUAUCAUCAAGAAGAGAGAACAAGAAACAAGGUCUCAUUUGUUUAUCGUUACACGCUUAGACUAUGAAGAUCUAUCAUCAAGAAGCUUAGGCCAUAAGGCCUCAUUUGUUCUUCAAGUAUCGUUACACGCUUAGAUCAAGAAGCUUAGGCCAUAACUCACGUUAACAUCUUGAUGAAUCCAUCACAAGUGAUAGGACAGUUGAACCGAUAACCAGAGUCUAAAUUGGAAUGGACCAUCUGGACCGAACAGAAUGCUAAAGUCAAAACUUUGCUUCACCACUGCUUAUUCUUCUUGCAUCCAUUCUUGAAGAAGCAAAGCUCUGGAUUACUGCCAGCCCAAAAAAACUUCACUAUAUUUUUUUUACUAGUAAUUAUCAUGCUGUUUGCUAGGGGUGUUAUGUAAAACUCUAAACUCUAUUUUCCUCUCAUUUAAUAGAUGAGGGACUCCGUUUUGGAGAAUAAAAUAGUGAAGGCCACAAUUGGUCACAUCCAUGGAACGGAGCAAAUAUUGUUGUAUAUAAAUUGCAGUUUCUUGGAUCUCAAAAAAAGAUUCAGUUCCGUGUGAAAUGUAGUGUAGAACAUGUACGCAUACAUGAUAUAAAUUUCAACACAGUACAAUGAACAGCACUGAACUAAUAAGAAUGUUCUGGACAACUGCAAGUUCCACAAGUUGAAAAGCAAAAUACCAGAUACCAGCAUCAUAGCUUGCAAAUAAAACAUCCUAUAAAUUUAUGCUACUAUAAAAAUCUGGAUUGUCGAUGGAAACUACUUUCCUGUUUAGAUUUUAUGCACCUGAUGCAUAGUUACUUGUUAAUGUUACAAAUGACCGAGUCACAUCCAUGUUUUGAGACCCCUCCCCACCUACCAAAAUGUACCAAGAAUCGCAACAAACGCCAUACCAAACUGAACAAAAAGCAGAACCAGAAAGUUACAUACGAUGAUCAAAGUUAAUGAUGGAAUUGCUUGCUCGCACACCCACAGAUUAACAAGGAAAAUGGCAGCCAAACACCAACAGUUCAGCUCCAAAAUUUGAGCACAGCAAUUGAAUAAACUGGCAUCCCUCCUAAAGCAACAAUCAGAACACAAAGAGAAAAAGGUAGACCACGGAAGUUUCCCCACUUUAGCAUCAUUUGAGACUGUUGAGGUUGUUGCCUUGUCAAUAUGCAGGAGGCCUUCACAUCAACUUCCACAUUCUUCCUGGCAAGCAAAAAUGUUUGCACAACUGGACAACUGAUAAUAUCAAAUCAGACCUGCACAGUAAAACUCAUAAGUAGUCUUUGGUGUUACUGAAACUGCUUCGAGCCUGCAAUGACCUUCGCAGGCUAGCCAAAACCUUUACACUUGACUUCCCAACCAAUUUCAUGCAUAUCCAAUCAAUAAGGAGUGUGAGGCAGCCUGUUAAUGGGAAAGACAGUUCUGGAACAGUUCAGUAAAGGAAGUAACUGCAAACAUUCUUGAUUUGUUGUAUUCUCAUCAAAGCAUCAUUCUAUCAUAUCAACAGCAGCCAAAUUACCAGGUCAGAUAUAUGCUUAAAACAGAUGAAAAAAUAAAAUAGAUGCGGUACAUCGAAACAUGCUCUAACUCACAACAUAAGUAGGUUAGGACAUGGACACGACCAAAUUUGUUACUACCAAAAAUGUGUUGUUCCUAACAAAAUAUACAUAAAUUAUAAUAUAUUUCAUGGCAAAUCUAUACAAACAUUAUGAAAAAAAAUAUUCCAUGGAAAAUCUACUAAUUUAAAUUCGAUAUGACGGCAAUUCUUUCUAUAUUGAUAGUCAAACCUGAAAAGUUUGACUGCCACAAAUCCUACAACUAUUAAUACGAAUGGUCGGAGUAAUUGUUUGGUUGGACGAAACGCACCUAUCAUACUGGCUACUAUAAUUUAUACAAGCUUUAACUUAAUAAACAUUGAGGCCUUGUUUGGUACUAGGGUUUUUGAGGAGAUUGGUGGGGAUAAUCCCCACAGGGAUUGGGUGAAACCCCAACCUUCACCCAAUCGCUUCAAAUCCCCAUUUAUCCCCAAUCCACUAGGUAGGGGUAGCGUAUUGGGUAUUGAGAAAAAUGCACUAGAAUUUAGGGAUUUGUGAGGAAAUGUGGGGAUGAAACAUGUCAAAUACACAGAACCAAAUGGUGUUAUGGGAUAUGUGGGGAUUUAGGGGUUUGACCGGAAUAAUCCCCACUGAUUCCCUAAAAUACACUGGUACCAAACAAGGCCUGAAGGCGGCAACGACGCGGGGAAGCAAAAAAUGCUCUGAAAAAACCAUUGUAUUUGCAUCGUUGACCAGCUUAUACAAGAGAUAAAGCGGAACCAUGUGUUGGCUCAACAGGAGAGGGGGUGAUUAUGAAAUUUGAGGGCAUGCAGCUGGCACCAAAUCCAAAAUUCUCAGCAUUGAUCUGGAACCCACACUGGGAAUGUUAAAUUCAGAUAUGGAACUUGAGAAAUCGCCAGCAUUUAUCUCUUGAACAGUAGAGAUGGACAGCACUAAACGUUUUGAACAAUGAAACAGAUUAUUUCCUCGAUGGGUUGGGAAUGAAAAACAUGUUCUCUUUUAGGAAUUGGAACAUGGAGAUGUGUGUCACUAUGAAAGGCAACUAUAAGAGGAAAUGAUGCAAUCAACCAAUUCUUGUUAGUAGUCUGGUAAAUUAAUGAUGAAGUGCAACUGUUAAGAUGAUCCAAAUUUUCUAAGCCCAUAGAAUCAAAAUUCUGAGAUCUUAUCAAUGCUGGUCCUAUGCUGUGGUUUCCAUAAUCCAUUAGCCAUCUGUAUCAAAUCUACAAGUUAAUCCAGAAAAAACAGAUAGUACUAGUAGCACUCACAUGAUUCAAAAUGGAGCUUCAAGUGACUCGUCCCACACAUCACCACUUCCAUUUGAAGCAUCUUCACCAUCCUCUUCCAUCGACAGCCUGAUAUAUUCCCUAUGGGCGAACCGAUCCCACUCAGUUAGGGUUGGAUUUUCACGCUCCUGCAAUUAAAAAUGAUCCAACCUGUUAACUAAAUAAAUGCAGUGGAUUCAAACAGUUUAUUGCAAAACAGUGAUUACCUGGCGAAUUAGGAACGGAUCACGAGUUUCAAAUGCCAUAAAUUUGUUGAGAUUAAAUAGGAUAUUGAAUAUAUUUCCUGAGAGUUUACACCUUUUUAAGUCCCGCAAUGUAAAAUAUGUCUCAUUCUGCACAAAGAAAAAGUUUUAUGAAAUGCAGUUUAAGGGCAUGACUGAAUGCAUGAACUUUGAAGAGAACAAUGCAAUUCCUCCACAUUGCCUUUGGAUUCCACUGUUCCAGACAGGGGAUAAAAUGAAUUCACAGUUAUAUCCAGGAUGAUGAUACCUCUGGUCCAAUCAUAUCAAUCAUUUGGCAUAGUAUGUCCUCAAAAAGUACAGGUUCCUGUGCCAUGCACUCCAUACGAUGCAACUGCUCCUCAUAGAAAAACUGCAUCUCAUUGGUAGUUAAAAUACCAUUGCCAUCAAGAUCAAUGCACUUAAACCUGUAAAAAGUGUGACACGUUUCAGUACGUGAAAUAACAUAGUUUACCACAAACCAUACAUAAUAUGAGUUGCAGACAUGAUAUAAGCGCCCCAUACCCAUAACUUCAUGUUGGAAAUUUGGAGCAAAAUUGUGUACAAAAAAUCACACAUACUACUCAGAAAAACAUUUCCAUUAAAACGCAAUUGUUGGGACUUCGUUCACCCAUUUGCCAUCAAUGCCUAGAGACCAAAUAGCACAGAAUAGGGACUAUGAUAUUUAAACAUACAUUCGAAGGAUGGAACUGAUCACUUAUUAAAGCAACCCUCAGAUAAUAGAACAGUUACAGGCAAAACACAUCAAAACCGGGAGAACACAAUUACCAGUACUCAAGGCUAGGCUCGGAUGAUUUAUCUUCCUCUGACAAGAUGAAGUAAACAAAAUCCUCAUAACCCAUCUUUCCUUCGGUCAUGCUUGUGAAUUUCCUUGGGACCUUAGUUGGAGAAAAACCAAUGUAAGUGCACAGUAACCAACAUGAAUGCAAUCCAGCAUCUCAGCUGCCCAAUAUGAACCUGUAAUGGACUAACCUGUGAAAAGACUCUAUCAACUAUUCUAUAGGUCAAUGAAUGAUUUCCAUAUCUGAUAAGGUUCUCUUUGUCAAUCAAGAAAUCAUGAUCUGUGUCCAGCUCCCAAAAUUUGCAGUAGAUUACAUAAAAAUGCUCAUAUGAGAAAUAUCUGCAUCAGAUACAACAAAGUUACAAACUUAAAAAAAAUGUAAAAUAUUCUGUGUUUGCAACAUAUAGUAGGAUCAACUGAAGCCAUAGAAUUCCUGUGAGCCAUCACAACAACAUAAUGAAGGAGCUCAUGAAAGAACACAAUUCGUAAGGAGCUAAGAGCCAGUUCUUUUGUGGCUUAUUUGGGGCUGUGGAAAUAAGUUGCCCUCUACCCAGCUUAUUCUAGUAGCCCGACCUAAAAUUUUAUUUUAUAUGCCUAAUUAAGGGUUAACUAGUAGGCUUCUAAAAUAAAACUUUAAGUUAGGCUUUUAGAAUAAGCUGGGUAGGGGCAGCCUAUUUUCACAGCCCUAAAUAAGCCACAAAAGAACUGGCCCUAAAAAGCAUGUAACGGAAACCAUACUCUACUGAGAGAUCUUAGGAAAUAGAAAUAUACAUGCACAGAAGGGCAUCGAAGGAAUUUGUACAAUUCCAUACAUGAAUUACCUCAGUAUUUUGUUGAUAUCCUCUUCCUCAUCAAGUUGUUGCAUUGCAGCUACUAAAUUCCCACGUUUUAGCUCUCUGAGGGUAAGAUGACCAUUUCCAGAUCUAUUUAUGGAGUAGAAGAUUCUGUAUAUUACAGUCUCAGCUGAAAAACACAUUAAAACAUAAUAAGCAGAUGAAUGAGAUGCAGCAAAUUACCAGCAUUAGUUUGGUAUAUCCAUUCAUCACAAAAUCAAAAAGUAGUGUUAUUACUGACAAAAAAAAAGGUAUGCUCUACCUGCAAGUAACAGCUUGUCCUUGCAUAGCAAAAUCAUUUUCCUAUGUUACUGAAUACAAGAUAAUAACAGAUUGUUUCUUAAGGAAACAAAUACAAGUUCUUCAGAUAGACAGAAAGACAGACCAUAUUUUAGAUGUUAAUACAAAGAGUUCCGUAUCAACAAGUCUAUUGUAAAACAGACAAAUAUUGCAACAUUUAUACUCCCUCCGUACCACAAUAUAUGACGUUUUAGCNNNNNNNNNNNNNNNNNNNNNNNNNNNNNNNNNNNNNNNNNNNNNNNNNNNNNNNNNNNNNNNNNNNNNNNNNNNNNNNNNNNNNNNNNNNNNNNNNNNNNNNNNNNNNNNNNNNNNNNNNNNNNNNNNNNNNNNNNNNNNNNNNNNNNNNNNNNNNNNNNNNNNNNNNNNNNNNNNNNNNNNNNNNNNNNNNNNNNNNNNNNNNNNNNNNNNNNNNNNNNNNNNNNNNNNNNNNNNNNNNNNNNNNNNNNNNNNNNNNNNNNNNNNNNNNNNNNNNNNNNNNNNNNNNNNNNNNNNNNNNNNNNNNNNNNNNNNNNNNNNNNNNNNNNNNNNNNNNNNNNNNNNNNNNNNNNNNNNNNNNNNNNNNNNNNNNNNNNGCUAAAACGUCAUAUAUUAUGGGAUAGAGGUAGUAGAAGAUAAUAAAAGAGCCACACUUACGAUUCUUAACAUACAGAAAGACCAUGUUUUAGAUGUUGAUACGAAGAGUUCCAAAUGACGAUAUGUUUAUUGUGGAACACACUAGAAUUUCUAUAAUCAUACCUUGAGAUAGCAAACCCAUUCAGGUCUAACUUUCUAAUACCAAAGUGCGGGGGUGUCAGUCUACAACUGGGUACAGGACUUCUGUACUAACAUCUCAGGCUCAAUUUAAUUCUCAACGGAGGCCACCGCAAGCGCCGGUGCAUAGCGGACGGAUAAAGCGUGCUGAGAAUGUUAAGAGGGGUCGUGGUAGACCAAACUUGACAUGGGAGGAGUCCGUUAAGAGAGACCUGAAGGUUUGGAAUAUCGACAAAGACUUAGCCAUGGACAGGGGUGCGUGGAAGUUAGCUAUCCACGUUCCAGAGCCAUGACUUUGCUUCGAGAUCUUAUGGGUUUCAACUCUAGCCUACCCCAACUUGUUUGGGACUGAAAGGCUUGGUUGUUGUUGUUGUUGUUGUUGCGCAAUCAGAACUAUGAAGGAAUCAAUGCCUUAUUUUAUUUCCGUGUUAGGCCCUGUUAAUAAAUUAUAUUCCAUCUCUUUGACAUACACAGCUAAAAACGGGAUCUGUCUCAUUACUCAUUAGAUGCGGAGAACAUGACCAAAAAGGCUCAUAGAAAAAACAUAACAAGAAUUCGCAAAAGAAACCACUCUGCUAGGGAUCAUUUCUUCAUAUAAGAUACUAUCGUCAUUGGUUUUUGAAAGAACAGAUGACCCAGAAUGCACAUCUAAUGCACAAAUAUACAAAGAAUACUGGUGGUAGAGAUAACUACUAGGCGAGUUGAAUAACACAUAAUAGCAAUUACCGUAUCUGUCCUGAAACUCGGGAGUGCCUUGUAAAAACUCUAAACCUGGGUGAGUUGCCAGGAGUUCUUUUAGAACAGGCUUAAAAUCCUCCUGCGCAAAUUAUGGAGAAUUAGUGUUCCCUUCAAGAAAACAAACAGUAAUAUAGAAUCAUCAUCUUGUCCAGUUGGAGUCAUAUAUACAUGUCUACCAAGACCAAAACGAGGAAAGAAAUGCUGACCUGAGUGAGAUAACUGUAACCUGGCUUUCUUAAUAUUUCAAAUAUCUGGCUAGCUGUGUCCAUUGUUAUCUUAUUGUCAUUAAACCAGUAAUCGAUAAAUGCAUCCCUGAGUUUAAAUAAGAGAACACCCAUGUCAGAACUGAAAUAUAAAAUGUCGGUGUUAAUCAAGAACUGAAAUUGACAUCAAAACUGUGCAGCCAAAAUGCAACUACCGAUUGAGACAUGGCAUUCCAUAACAAUUGUUAAGUACACAUGAGACCAUGAAACACCAAAGAUGUGUUUGAUUAAAUGUUAUGUCACAAACGCUCUUAUAUUAUGGGACGAAGGGAGUACUAUCAUAGGGGGGGUGCAAUAAAUGAAACCUGACAUCCUAGUCCAUGCACACUGGAUGAAGAGGAAAACAGUGCCUAAGUAUUAUUAUAGCAAGGAUAAUGCAUUGGUGGAUAACCAUAUAUGAAGCAGGGUUAAAAAACAAGAUGAGCAAUUUCUGCUUGCUUCUGGUCUGCUUAAUUACACUGGACAAGGUAGUGUGUUUGUUCAACCUUGCACUAUAGUAGUUUGCAUUACUUAUCUCUCAAAAGCAGGAACGAUAACUAAGAUUUCUCAGAUUUCCAACACUGGUUGCGCAAUCAAAUGCUAAUUUUAAUAUCAAGUCAAAAUAUCUCAAAGAUUUCUCAGCACUUGAAACAGGUUAAUAUUCCAUAAUGAACUCAUGUUUGACCAAAUUUUGGCUACAGUUGGUAAGUCCCGUGUGCUAGCUGCAUGAAGUAUUUGUCAGUGCCCUCAAAAUAUGAUGGAACAACUAAGAUUCACUAUAUCAAAAUAUAGACCAACACUAGUGUAGCCAUGUGAGGUAUUGAAUAAACAGUGCACCUUGUUACAGUUCCAGAGCAAGCGGCGUCAAUCUUCUUGAAAAGAACACCAGAGAGGUACGAUGGCAACUUGCAUAUGUCUUUUAUAACUGGUCUGAAUUCUGAUAUGUGCAAAUAAGACGUUCGAAGUUAAGAAUGCAUUUCAAUGUGGACAAAACAAAUGAAAUCCUCAAAUAAGGUCACCUUGAAUCUGGAGCCCCUCCCCAGCAAAAAAAAGGUGAUCUAGUCUAGACAAACACUGCUCCCUCAAAUCUUUUGGUGGAGGGCGCCCAUGUUUGAAGUAAAACUGCAAACAUAUUAAAUACAGAACUAAGACUAACAAGCAAGACGCUUACAUAGUUAUAGUAGGAACAAAUAUACGUGAACAAUAACAAGCACAAAUGGGAAGCACCUGAGGUAUAACUUCUCUCACAGGUUCACUGACUAAUUUUAGAGGAGAUCCCAAGGACGAUGGUCCAGCACUAGAACCUCGUCUCAUAACACGGGGAGAGCCAGCUGUGCUCCUAGGAGAGAGUGGGGGGGCACUACCAGCAGGGAACAUUGACGGCAAAGAACUACUUGAAGCGGCAUUUGUGCUAGCAGAGCUCCCAGCAACAUUCAGUGUGGCACCGGCUUUUGCGUCUUCAAUCAAAGAUUUCACCUAGUAGUGAAGAAACCAAAUAUUAUAAGGAAUGGUACAUCCAACAGAAGUAUGUUGUAGAAACAAAUUUAUUGCUUAUUUACAAAACAAUGUCCAAUGCUUCUAAUUUACAAAAACAGUAGCAUCCAACUCCACAGAAUCAGUCAAUCAGAUAUAGAAAGGCUUAUAAUGACGAAGAAAGCAAAGUGUAUAAAACAUCAUGCUGUCACUUCAACAGAUAUCUAAGGAUAACAAAAACAGAAGAGCAAUCAAGCAGCACCAUUAAAGGCUUAUAAUGAUACAUAUAUGUAGAACCUAGCAGUAAGCACAGAUAAAUACUUCUCACCAAAUUACAAUGUGUUACUAAUAAAUUUAACUAACAAUGAUUUGUAUUCGUAUGCAUCACAUAGAAGGUAAACUCAGUGGCCAUUGAGUUCUAAUUAUAGGUGUACCACCUUAAGAAGUUAAGAGAUGUAAGAUAACAGAGUAGCCAAAGCCAAGAAAAGAGCACAUAACAAAAUUAGAAGUUCUAGUGCCUCGGAAGCCUAUUGUCACAGUUCCAAGUACAGUUGCACCACCUGUAAUUUUGAGAGUUUGACCGCUAUGCUUUAUUAGUUGGACUAGACUUGUCUAAAUCUUACAAAAAAAUCUUGGACUAAUCUGUUCAAUAUCUACCAAUACGGUUCCAAUAUUACACUUGCUGAUACAAGCACACAAGUCUUUUUUUUAAGUUAGCAGCAGUGCUGCUAGGAUUCCAUUAAGAAGAAGGUACCGAUGGCAAGUACAGAAUGGCCCAAGGACCCAAGAAACAACGAACUCGAAAAAAAAACACUAAAAGAGUGUAGCUGCAAGAUACGCGGCUACAAGAAACUAGUGAGCUCAAACUUUAUUUAAUGUCCCGUUAAUGAAGUAUAGAACAAACGUCAACAUACGUUCCAUAUUCCCAGAAGAGUGAGCUAUUUCAAGCAUAUACCAUAUAUACAGACAGGUUAAAAUUUGAAACAUCUGCUAUGUUGCUAUAUAUAUUAAGCAAUGCCUGAAAUACAAGAUGUAAGAAGCCAGCCCAUAUAGUAGAUCUAUAUUGUCCAAAUAAUCACACGUUAAAAAUCAAACAUAUCCCAAUACAUAUAUAGCACUACAUAGUAGUAACGGCAGCCUGGGGAGCCAGGAAUCCAGUCAAAUAAUCACACAUGGAAAAUCAAACAUAUCCAAUACAUGUAUAGCACUGCAUAGUUAUCACGGCAGCUUAGGGAGCGAGGAACCCCAUAUCGGUGACACUAGACAGUACCUUAGCUUAACCUAAUUAGCGCAUUACAACAUAUAUAACAAGGCGGAAAUGGAGAAUACAUGUCCCACUAGCCACUUGGUCCAAAACAUCAUCUGAAGACAAAAGAAUAUCAAAGCAUCCACUACCUACUCACAUGCUCAAUUGCCAACAGCAAAGCAGAGGGCGACGGAGCUAACAAGUGAGAUGCACAACAAGCAGCAGAGAAAACCAGCAAGAUGAAGGAGCUAAGAAAGCCCAAUGAGAGCUGUGUAUUCGCGAAGCGACAACACUGAGCGGGGAGGUGACGAUGCACGGUAGUUUUGAACUACAAAAGGCUAACGAUGAGGGGCGGUGGAGUCCCUGUGCCUCCUGGACUACUGCCAGUCAAGGCGAGCAGUUAUGUCAUCUGCUGACCUAUUUGAUAACAUGUUGUUUCCCGCAAAAAAGGUAGCAUGUCGUUGACUACUACGCUAUGCCCAACCAUAACACUCAAGACAACAUUCAACAUAACAAAGCAGAGAAAACAACGAAAUGUUAGUAGCAUCAUUUGGGAGAACAACAAUAAACACUGGAGUGGUAAAGCCUUGAGACCGUGUUAACACUACAGGUAACACCGCACACGAUAUUGUCAGCAUGAGUUCUUUUUUCUAAGGUUUCAUGUGUUUGACCAGCAAAGUAGGCAUCCCAUCAACAAGAGCUAUAUAUUCUAUGCUGCAUUAUAUCUACUGCUCUGCACAGGUAUGCAUCAAAUUAGCAGCCAAAAAGAGCUCAACAAAAUAUGCACCCCAAACAACAAUUAAACCUUCUCACAUGGAACCAGACAAUUCAAGCCAGAUCUCUAGCACAGUGCACCACUGCGAGAAUGUCCUAAGAAGAGUGAACUAUCAUUUUAAGUGAGCAUCGGCUCGAAGUAUAACACAAAUUGUUGUAGCAUAAAACAAAUAUCUUGAUAGCACUAGAUUUCAGUACAGCAUUCGAGUCCACGUCUCCUGAAAUCCAUCAUUCUUCUAAACACAUGCAACAUUGAUUAUCAUACCAACAUUCCUUUAUCUUUAAUAUAAUGAUAAAGCUGAUGAAUACGGUGAGGGCUCGUCUCAAAAACCAAUAGUAAGCACAUCAGUUCAAGAAGCCAAAAUUAGUACAGAUGGUACAUAUUCAUUCACGGCAACUGAGGAGCAGAAAGUAAGCUCCCCGAAGAAGCAGGCCAAGUACAUAUUUGCGCAAAAAUUACUACAAUCACACUCUCCCACAGAACCUUAGCCUUUGAUGUACCAGACCUCAUCGCUUUCUAUCCUCGGCUUAAGCUAGCACUCGUAAUACGAACAUGACAAUCUAAACCCAUGCAGAUCACUGCAGCAUAAGACGCCACCAAGGCAGAGCAUUCUAACAAACAUUUUUCAAGAGUUCCAACACGAGAUCACAAAAGGCCACGCAAAAUCAACGGACGAACCACGACAAUAUAGGAGCACCUCCAAAGGAGCAGGCGAAGGCAACAGGACGCGUGAGAGGUUACCAGCUUGGACGACUCAGGCAGCACGAGCCACUGGAAAUAGAGUGCCUCGGCUAUGCUUGAGUUCUCCCGGAGAGCGCCCGGCGCGAGCUCCGGCAGCUGCAGCAACUCCGGGUCAAGAGCCGACGCAUCCCUCCUCGCCGCUUCCACCUCCAUGCCGUCAACACCCUAGUGCCCUUCUCAUGCACCAAGCAAGGCCCCGAACCCUAGAUCUGUUCCCCGCGAGCGCGUCCAGAGGCUGGAGGACGCGGUGGCGCGGUGGCGCGGCGUGGGGUGAGUGACGAAUCGGGACUCGGCGGGGUUGGCGGCAGGCGGCUUAGGAGGAUCGGGGGUCGCCGGCGUCGAGAUCUGAGGCGAGGGCCGGGGGCGGGUGGAGGCGAAACCCUAGGCCG
Molecule: long non-coding RNA, 93621 nt
Filed under: Hordeum vulgare
Lineage: Eukaryota; Viridiplantae; Streptophyta; Magnoliopsida; Poales; Poaceae
Description: long non-coding RNA (HVUL_LNC001213)
Source: RNAcentral